UGCAAGAAGAAACGAACUAAAAGCCAAUCCAUGGUGCAACCCUAUCUGACUCGGAGUGCUAUAAAAUAAAGUUUGAGAUAAUCGUGGUGUCCCAGUUCGGAGGUGCGAGAGGCUAGCUUCGGAUGGCUUCAGGAGGAGUAGAGGUAGGCCAAAGAAAUACUGGAGGGAGGUGAUUAGACAUGACAUGGAGCAGCUACAGCAUACCAAGGACAUGACCCUAGAUAGGAAGGUGUGGAGGUCGCGGAUCAGGGUAGAAGUCUAGUGUGAGUGUGUGGGUUAUAGCAAGGUGGUAGAAGAGCGCUUGUGUAGCCGAGUUAGUAAUCCUAGGUCUGUGUCCUUGAGUAGGAGCCUCUAGUCUGGGGAGUUUGGUUGUGAUGGGUGUCUUUGGUCUGGGAGUGUAUUGUUACUACUAGGUGGGUGUCCUCUUUCUUAUGUCUUAUUACGAAUUGAUAGUAUUUCGCUUAUUUUCGUAUUUCUUUGUUAUUUAUUUUGUAUUUUAUGUUUAUUAUUUCUUAUUUAGUCUAUGCCAUCCAUCCUGUUUCAUGUUUCAUUACGGCCUUGGUGUACUAUUCUCUAUCUUGAGCUGGGGGUCUAUCGGAAACAGCCUCUCUACUUCUGCGGAGGUAGUAGUAUGGACUGGGACUGUUGUUGUUGUUAAUAAUCGUGAUGUCCGGACCAACUUGCGUGCACCUCGACUAAUAUCAUGGGAAACCUUCCACCUCCACCAGCAAUAGGUACUAGAUACCUCUAUCCACCAAGGAUAGGAAGGAUGGGAAGAAAUCACCUAGAGAUUUUUAGUCUCCGUUGGGAUUUGAGACCUCAUGGUUCUCACCCACUACAUUGACCACUAGGACACACCCUUGGGUGCAAGCUAUAAAAUUAUUUUUAAAUAUUCUAGUUUAUAGUUUCAGGUCAUGUGGCAGUGAUAAAGCUAUAACGCAUACUCAGUGGCACUGGAAUUUCAUAUGAUAUGAAGAUAAAACAUGCUUCAACCUUCUCUUUUGGUUACUUCCAACAUCCUCAGAUUUUUAAUCUUAUACUACCAUCUAUCGUAUUGUUCCAUAUUUUUAUGGAAUCUCCCCAACAAAUAAAAGGAGAGUGAUUAUGCACUAUAUAUGGAAGGAUGCACCAGCAACAAAGUAAACACUUACCUUAAGUUUCAACUCAGCUACCUCUGUAUCAUCACAUACCUCAGUAAUCAGAGCCUGAUGAAAAGCAGUAGAACAAAUAAACAAUCAUGCUUAAAGUCACAGCAAGCAAGAGCUAGUCUAGAAACUUGUCUAAGAUAAGAAAGCAGUAUUAAAAUAAAUAAAUAAAUAAAGCAUGAUUACAAUUGUCUAACGAAGACUAGAAGACAUGAUUUUGACUUGGUUGUCAGAAUUAGUAAAAUGACACUAGUGACUAUGGGAUCGCCAUAAACAUGAGCUGCGUUUUUAAAUCAAACAGAAAAAUGAGAAACAUUUACAUAAUCACAAAUUCAAAACUAUGUCUGACAAAGAUUGGCCGAAGUUGCAAGAUUUCUUAGUUUCUACAUAGUUCAAUUUGCAUUUGAAUGGAAAUGGUGAAAAAAGGAAAUCCAUAGAACUCAUGCUUUAAUACAGAAGGACCAAUUAAGUAAAUUAAAAGUUAAGCAUCAAGCAUAUCAUGAUAAAUAAUCACCACAAGGUACAUACGGCCCCCAAUAAAAAGGAAGAAAAGAAAAAAAAAGGCAGUGAGACAUUCUAACGUCCAAAGAGAUAAACCAACCUUGAAGUUACCAGUUUCAAAAAAAGAAAAAAAACAGAGAUAAACCAACCUCAAAACCCUUUGGAAAUGUUGUUGUUGGCAGUGGACUACUCUCCGUUGGCACUUUUUUGUGGCUAUCUGCAAGAACAGCUCCUUCAGAUCAAGAGAGUUAGGCCUAAAAAAGUUAGAUGUGACAAAAUAAAGGAAACUAGAUGACUACUUUCCACUCUUUAUCAGAUAACAAAAUGAUAAGUUUUAGAUUCCAAUAGGAGAUCCGCAUACUGCUCGAAAUGAAUUAAUAGGUUGUGAUUGAAAGCAUAACAGUAUGUUAGAUUAUCAAAAAGUACCAACACAUCAAAUAAACCAAGGAUGAUAUGUGCAUUCAAUGCACUAUCCAAAUGGAAACUAGAAAAGAUUAGCCCCUAGAUACUGAUUCACACCUGAUGCGAUAACAAAUUAACUCACCAUCAGAUUUCGCUGUCACGGUUGUUUCAGAUGUCUUUGCACAAGACAGCAUCAAUCUACCAUGUUUGUUAGGAGAAGACAUGAACCUUGCACCAUUUGAGGAGUCCUUUAGGGUCAACUUAGUAAACUUGGAGAAGGCAAUACUAUUUGUUGGAAUAACACCAGGCAUUUCAAUUCCUGACCUCACAUGGGAAGUGGUACCAACUGAAUCUAUCAGAAACAGUAAAGUAGGAUAACAGAAAGAUUGAUUAGAACUAUUGGAGGAUAUCCCACAUGAAACAGAUAGCUAGAGCAGACCUAUUGGCAAGCAUUUAUGCAAGAAAAUAGAUUGGCACCAGUAAGGUAAUUGAGAAAUGGAUACAGUGAAUGCCAAAAGCUAAAAGGAACUUUAGGAUACAGUGAAUGCACAAAAACAAGUAAAGCUGAUUAUAUGCUUAUGCUAGAAAAAUAUUGGCCCUUCUUUUUGUUCAAGCAGAAGGAGAAACAUUACUUUUGUCCUUUCCUGGAUCAACAUCAGUUAAUACUCAUUAAUUAAGAUUCUACCUCAUGUUUUUCUGGCUCAAUUGCACAUUAGUCCCUAUAUUCAGCAGAACUGAAAGUAAAUUGCACGAGAAGAUCUUGCAGCAGCAUCAAUCAAGAACCACUAGUUUGAAGUUCCUCUUAGAGACUAAGCUGAUAACACAUAUUUACUGCCACAAGUUUCUGAUCUUCAAGUCUUAUAAAAUCAGGCAUAAAAGAAAGAACACUGUAUAGCCACUACACAGUUUAAAAUAUCAUUCAAUGCCAUUAUAAAUCCACGAAAACUAACAGCAGAGAAGAAAACAUACAGAUAUCUACAAGCUAUAAAGCUCACUUCAAUUGCAUAAUUAAUGCAUUUAAACCAAUGUCAGUCGGAUCUGAGAUGAAAAUAAGGUAGCUAUCAUUUAUUGUCAAUGAGAGAUAAAAAGAACCUAAUUCUAACAACUUAAUCCUUCAACAUGAACAGAAAAAAACUGCAGAUAAAAAUACAUGGGUACAUUAACAUAUAAAACCAUUCAAUGUAAAUCUUACGGUGGAAGGAGCGGAGAACGACGGCGGACUCCAUCUGGUUAGCAGCUCUGAACGGAGAAAACGAUGAAGAAAUUGGAGAUAUUAGAGGGAAAAUGGAAAAUGAGAGUUAGGUUCGGCGCUUAGCACAGUUGCGACAUAUAUUACUAUGAGAAGCUCUAUAUUGCUAUUAUCUUUCAUUGAGAGGUCCGCCAACUUAUAUUUCUUCACCCAUUUUCCCACUGUUUAGUUGCACCAAACCAGAUCUUUAUUAAUCCUAAUUAAAUUUCUUAAUAAAAAUUAAAAUAAUAUAUUUACAGCUGAAAUUUAUUUUUCCCUCUCCAAUCUUGCGGAAACAAUUGUACUUUCCCUUUAACUAUGGAUAAAAUAUUUUUUUCCUCUCAUAUCUCAAACAAUGCUAUUUUAAGUUCUUUUUGUCUUAUCGUAAAGGCUUCAUUCAAAACGUGCAUCAUUUUAUUUUAGAAUGUAGUUUUAAAGUCACUAGAAGUAUAAAAAGUACAUAUUUUUUGAAUUUGUAAGAAGUUACAUUUUUAUUAUUUUGAUAUUAGAAUUAUUAGUUAUUCAAGUUGGUCUUAAAAAAUUAAUUUUUUAAGAACUACUAUUUUGAUAUUAUGUAUAUUAGCUUUUUUGUUAAAAUAAUGUAUUUUAGUAAUUCGGGAUUUGUUUUUCUCCUUUUUUUAAAAAAAAAAAUCAAAGUAAAAUUUAGUUUUCAUUACUGAAUACAUUCAUACAAAAGGAAAUUUAGUUUCUUACUCGUUUUUAACAAGUUUUUUCGUUAUUUAAAUCAUUAUUUCAUAUGUUAAUACCCACAAAAAUACAGGAAGUUUAACCAAAUUUUCAGUGGAGCAUAUUGAACUUUGCGAGGGUCCUAUUACCCCCUAUACUUUUUAAAUUGAAAUUAAUUCCCCCGAACUUUUUUAAAGUGGAAUUAAUCUCCCUUCAACAUUUUUUCACAAUUAUAACCAUAUUAAAUAUUCCAAAUGAUUCCAUUGAGUUUAUGAAGAAAGCUUUUUCAAAUAAUUGAAUGAAAUCUUCCAUUAAUUUUUCAUUGAAACUCGGAAGAUUCAAUUAGCGAAUUUCAUUAAUGGAAGAUUCAUUGAAACUCGCUAAUUAAAUGGAACUUGCUAAUUAAUGGAACUCAAAAGAUUCAAAAAAUUUAAUUUCAUGAUUCAAUUUCCAUUAAUGGAACUCGGAAGAUUUGAAAAAUUCAUUAAUGGAACUCGGAAGAUUCGAAAAAAUUAAUUUCAUGUAUGAAGUUAUUCAAUCUUCCGUUAAUGGAACUCGGAAGAUUCAAAAAAUUCAUUAAUGAAACUCGGAAGAUAUGAAAAAUUUAAUUACAUGUAUGAAGCUAUUCAAUCUUCCGUUAAUAGAACUCGGAAGAUUCAAUUUUCAUUAAUGAAACUCGGAAUUAAAUUAGCAAGUUUCCGAGUUUGAAUCUUUCGAAUCAUCCAUUGAGUUUCAAUUAGCGAGUUCCNNNNNNNNNNNNNNNNNNNNNNNNNNNNNNNNNNNNGACGAAAGAAGAAAGAAGAAAGAAGAAAGAAGAAAGAAAAAAUAAAUAAAAAUAUAAAACUUUAAAUAAUUAUAAAAUUAAGGGACUGUUUGGUAAAAAAAAAAGAGUUUAAAACGUUUUUAACACUGUUCACGCACUCAGUGCGCGUGAAUCACACGCAGUGUGCCAAGUGGUUGAUAUAUGCCAUUAAAAUACGAAAAACAAAAGUCUGGGGGUAAUAGGACCCCCGCAAAGUUCAGUAUGCUCAACUGGUAAUCCAAUCAAACUUUAGGUAUUUUUGUCGGUAUUAUCCCUUCAUUUUUCUAUUGUUUUACUCCAUAAAUAACUUUGAUUUGGUAUUAAAGGAAUAAAAAUUUAAAAUAUUACAAAAUAAUAAAAUUAAAUUAUUCAUAUCGGUAGUUUCAUUAAUGCACUUUGUGGGAAUACAUUGGGUUUGGUGGUGGUGGUGGUGGUGGUAGUUUCAUUAAUGCUAAUUAAAACUAAAAUAUAGAUCCACCAAAAUGAAAAAUAAAAGUCAGAAGUGUAUGUAACUAGAGAAAAUUGAAGAAAAGGUGUCAUUUAAUCUUAAAAUGAAGGAUUGGUGACAUUGACCAACACAAAGGGUCAAACAUAAUUAGAAAACUUGAUUAAGUUAAUUAUAGACGAUUAAUAUUUUUAAAAAUUUCUAAUUUUUUUCAAAAAUACAAAUCAAACCACACCCCUCUCCUCUCUAAAUCAUCAAUUGUCUCUCUCCUUUCUCUUUCGACAGUUUCUCCCAACUAACAGUUCUGCAAAUUGCUCCUUUCAAUCCCUGGGGACUUCAACCUCCAGCUACAAAUAGUUGGGCUUUGAUUUUUUUUUCGAAUUUCAACCGUCAAUCGACGAGACAGUCUUGCUCUCCGGCAACAACAGUUUCGAGUUCUUCAUCGUCCCUUUUUCUUCUUUCACAGAUAAAAAAUUAUGGUCUUUUUAGUUUUAAAGAAAAAGAAAAACUUGAGCCAACUUCUCUUCUAGUAUUGAUUAACAAUUUCAAUAUUUGUUGCUUUAAUUUGAAAUGCGAUAUGAAUAAAAUUCUAAUUUCUGAUAUUUUUUCUCUUCUCUUUUCAGAGUGAAAUAUAAUCUUUUGUUAUUUGUUGCAUUUUUUUUUAAAUUUGAUUUUCGUUGUUUAUGUUUAUACAAACAAAACAAUGAUGUUGGUAUUUUUGGUGUUGCGUUCGCUGCUGGGUUAAUUUGUUCUUGUUCUUGUUUUCGGUAAUAAUGGUGAUAUUGUUGUUGCUCUAUUGAACAAAAUCAUGCUACUAUUUUUUUCUACAACAGAUUAACUAUCUGAUGCAACAGAUUAACCUUCUGACGCAAUAGAUUGAUUAUCUAAUGCAAUAGAUUAACCUUCUGACGUAACAGAUUAACCAUCUAACACAACAGAUUAACCAUUUGAUGAAGUAAAUUAACCAUCUGAUACAACAGAUUAACCAUUUGUUGCAACAGAUUAACCAUUUGAUGCAACAGAUUAAACAUUUGAUGUAAUAGUUUUACAAUCUGAUAUAAUAGAUUAAAUAUUUGUUGCAACAGAUUUACCAUCGGAUGCAAUAGAGAAAUCAACCAAUUUAUAAUUUGAUGCAACAGAUCAACCAUCUGAGGUAAUGUAGAGAUCAUCUGAUUAAAAAUCUAAUGCAAUAGAUAAACCUUCUGAUAGUUAAAAUCCUACCAACUAUUCCAACAAGACAUGUCUAAGACUUGAUUUUUUCAAUUGAUCAUUCAUCUGUUGUGAUAGACGACCCUUCUAUUGGAGGAAAUCUAUACAAUAUUGACCAUUGAUAACAGUUCUAAUAGAUUCCUCAUAUGUUACAACAGAUGUGUGAUCUGUUGCACAGACCAGACAUCUGUUUCAAUAGAUGAGUGAUCUAUUUUUAUUAUUGCAACAGAUUACUCAUCCAUUUCAACAAGUUAGUUAUAUAUUCCAACAGAUUACCUACCUGGUGCAACAGAUAUGUGAUCUAAUGGAACUAUUAUUUUACUGUUGUAUAUGUUAGAUAUAUUGUUAUUCUUUUUUAACGAUGCAUUAUUCAAUUAUAAUCUACCUGUUAUUUUUAGAUUAGAUGGCUCCUAAAAGUCCAAGUAAAAGAACAAGUGAUGCAGCUAGGCUACAUCCACCACUCUAUAAGCUUGCUAAGCGUUAUCUCAAUCAAGAGCAGAAUAUGAUGAACAUGGGAAGGAGGAAUGUUUCAAAAGAGAUGAUCCAAAUACAAAUAGCCCUUCAACCGAAGAGUUAGUCAAAACCUUCUGCAUUGAUCGUUAUCCUGUUAGAAUGCAGUGCGAUGGUGCCAUAGAUUUAACGGGUGAUUUCGUGGUUAAGUUAGCCAUGGAAAAAUCUUUCGAUGCUUUCAGAAAAAUACUUCAAGAACAAAAAUUAGAUGUUUAUUUUAGGGGCAGCUGCUUUGGGCAAUAUCUUGAUUUGCCAGAGGACAACAGUGCUCGUUUCUAAAUAAAAAUAGUAUAUGAUCUUCUCAAGCGUAGGUUUAUAUAUGAAAAUAAAGAUAAGAUGGAUGAGGUAUGGAUAAAUUAUUGUGACAUGCCUGUUUAUUUUGGUUGGAAGGAGUUUUCCAUAGUUACUGGACUAAAAUAUUAUCCUCCAUCUCCUUCUCAAGUUAUACCUAUUCUAACCCAAAAAAGUACCCCGCACACCCAAAAAAGGCAAAGGCAAGUCGAGUGAUCGUGAUGACCUGGUGUCCAUUGUUGCGCCAAGCUUCAAAAAUAAAAAUUUGAUAGAAGCGUUGAAAGGUAAAAGAAUUUCAAAGAAGAACAAGCAAUCAUUGUGCUUGGUUUGGUUUGUACAUAAUAUUUUUUUGGCGAGAGACGUUAACAACAACAUAAGUGUUGGUUUAAUAAAGCUAUCCGAGGAUCUUGAGGCAUUUAACAAAACUAUCCUUGGGGUUAUGAAAGCUUCAAAAUGACUGUUAAAUAUUUGUUGACUCCGUUAAUGCCAAAGAUAGUCAACUUAUAUAUCUUUCCACGGGCUUUCAUGAUAAAUAUUUCUUUUAUUAUGAUAUGAUUUAUUUUUUUUAUUCAAUAAUGGUUUUAAUUUAUUGACGUUAUUUUAUAGGUUUGGGCAUUUGAAGUCAUUCCUUAUUUGAGACGACAAGUGAACUACCAGAAAAAAGUUUCAUAUCCAAGAAUCUUGAGAGGGUUGUUGGCCAAAACUAAUAAAAAUGUAAAAUUUCUUGAUCUCUUUAACUCCCCGAAGGAUGCAGUGAGUAUAAUUACAGUUAAAUUUUUAUUUUAAUUAAUGAUAUUUUUGAAUGAUCUCAUCAUCAUUUUAAUAUAUGUAAUGAUUUAUGUUAGAUUGCGCACCCGUGGCUUGUUCCGACCAAUCGAGAGUUGAAGAUGCCAUUUUUCUUACUUUAUGGUCUAUACAAACUUUAUCGGACUCUAAGAUCAUUAACAGAAUAAAAAUAGAAUUGUUGGGAGCAACAACCAUCACAAGAAAAAUAAUUUGAAGGGUGGGCUUGUUGUUGUUGUUGAUGGUCUUAGUGGUGAUGGAGCUGUCGGUGGUGAUAGUGGUGAAGCUAUUGGUGUUGAUGAUGCUCCUCUUAUAGUUUUUAAAACAAACCAUUAUGAGUAUGAUCGUGCUUGUUAUAUAGAUUUUGUCUCUCCUAGCAAAUAUUCUGCAUGCAAAUGUCAAGACUGUAAGGCAAAACAUGAUGUAGUGAUUAAUGCUAUUAAUGCAUUAGCUACUUCUGUAAAGGAAGUGACAUCUAAGAAGGGUGUCAUUCCAUCAAAGAGGAUUUUAUAUCUAUCUACUUUAUUAGAGAUUAAGCCUAAGAGAAGAAGGAAAGUAAUUUCCAAGGCAUUAUCAAGCAUCCAAAAAAGCAAAAUUGCAACUCCUCUGUCCGUGUGUUGCACUUUAAGCAAUGUACAAAGGCCACAACAGAGCAGCACGAGUUGAAAAGGGUGAAUAUAUAUCGUCUGUUUCAACUAACAGACAUAUAUCUAUUUUAACAGAUGACACAUCUGCUGAAAAUUAUCAAACAAAUAUAUACAUUUGUUGCAAUAGUUAACUAACCUGUCCCAUUAGAUACAGUAUCUGUUGUAAUAUAUGUCUCAUCUAUUUUAGUAAAUCAAAUAGCUCUACGUAUCAUUUUUAUUUAUACCAACAGAUGACCUAUCUGCUACAAUGGACUGGUCAUUUCUUGGGACAAAUUAAAUCAAGAUUUCCUACCAUUUUAGUUUUUCCAAACAGAUGAGUCAUAUGUUGCAAUAGAUGGUUCAUUCAUUGGAAAUUAUCAUAUGGGUCUUCCUCAUCUUAUAAUUUGUCCCAACAGUUGAUCCAUCUGUUGCAGCAGAAAUAUAAUCUAUUUGGGAUAAUUUAAAACAAGAGGAAGACCUAUUUUAUUUGUUAAAACAAAUGAGUUAUCCUUUUCUGUUUUUUGUAUCUAUGAUUAGCAUUGACCAAUUCUAGCUUUCUAGGUGGAUGUUACUGUAGAAGCUACUGCUAAACAACAUUGAUAAUAUGCUAUUCUUUUUAUGGAAAUACGGAGAAGCGAAAGCGCAGAAAUCGUAUGCAAGCGACAAUAAUGAUCCACGAUGACCAAAGUCAAAUUCCAUAGCAUAGGAUGAAGAACAACUUGUCCAUAUUGAAUAAAUAUUUAUAGCUUGAGUCUGUCAAAGUAAUAACCUCACCCCUCCUUAGGAAUUAUUGGCAUCAAAACUUAAUUUGUUGAUUUAUUUGUUGAGAUCUAUACCCAUAACAACUUUUUUAUAUUUUAUUUAUUUGUUGAUUUAUUUCAUAUAAUUUCUUAAGGCUUCGAUUUAUUUUAUUUUUUCUAUGAAUUUUAUUUUACCCUUAGAUUUGAACUUAUUAAUUGAAAUGGGAUACUAGAUUCAUAUAUUGCAACAGGUAAGGUAUUUGUUGCAACAGACGACAUAUCUGUUAGAAAUUAUCAAACAGAUUUAUACAUAUGUUGCAACAUAUAGGUAAUCUGUCAAAAAUUAUCAAACAGGUCUUUCCACUGUUGCAACAGAUAUACUUAGAUAUAAAUAUUGACAUAAUGCAACAGAUGACCAACCUAUUACAACAGAUAAAUUAUCUGUCAAAACAGGUAGAAUAUUUAUUACAACAGAUGGACAAUCUGUUGCAUUAUAAAAAAUUCAACUUGCAUUAGACAUAAAAAAUUGCCACUACAUGUAAAGUGAAGUGACAAUAAAAAAGGCGGAACCCAUUGACAGGCACCUAAAGUUGUAGUGAUCUUUCACUUUGGUAGCUCGGGUGUAAUUCACGCAGCCAAGGCUCGUUAAACCCCCAUUUUUGCUGACUUGACGUCUGAUUUGGCCCCUAACGGUUAUUUUUCCUCUUAUAUAUUCAUCUUCUUCCUAAAAAUUAACCCUAAAUUGCCAGAUGUUCUUCUUCAUCAUCUUUUUUUCUCUAUCCAAAUUCUUCAAAUUAUUUGUAUUUGGUUUCUCCGCAUAUUUUUUUCAUUUUUAACAACUAAGUUUGACAAUGUCGAGCUCAUCUUUCACUAUUUUUUAUGAUAAAGAUUUUCGAUAUUGUAAGGGUGAUCAUGAAGCUCUAUUGAAUACUUCUUGGACUCAACAAAAUCCAGGUCGUAGGUUUUUUACUUGUAAAAUUUCAAAGGUAAUAUUUUUUUUAUUUAAUUAGUUGAUUAAUUAUUGACUUGUAAUUAUUUUGUAAUUGUGGGCUUAUUUUUAUAGAAGUUUGGUGGAUGUGAUUACUUUGAUUGGUACGAAGAACGACACCCUUCACAAGCAAAUCGUGUUAUCUGAGUUUUGUUGAAGAAAGUCAAGGCUUUUGAAGAGAAACAAAAUCGAGCAAGAAGAUACUACAUUGUUGGCAUUAUUGCUACUGAUUUGGUGUUGUUGGACACAUAGAUAUUCAAAUCUAAUUGCUGAAAUUUUUAUGGUGGUGUAUUUUUCUUUGCUAUUGGUUUGGUGUUAUAGAGCACAUGGAUAUUCAAGCGUAAUUGUUGUAAAAUAUCAAAAAAUUGCCACUACAUGUAAAGUUACGUAUGUAAAGUAAAGUGACGAAAUAAAAAUUGUUAUUUCAGAGGCUCUUCUUUAUACACAGGCUCCAAGCGUGAUACAAAAUAAACAAGGAAGACGUGGAAUCAUACACCAAAAUAGUCCACAAGUUAAGAAACCAAGGACUAUCUUAGUGACUACACUCAGAUUUGCUAGUGAUAACAAUAAUAGAGAGAAUAUCACAUGUUGAACACAAUAAUCAGCCAACCCUAAGCUAAGAUUAACAAUAAUAUAUGAAGCACAAGAUGAACAUAACAAUGUGAACAACAACAACAAGACAAACGACUUACAAUGCAAGAUACCAAACCGUGACAAGAUUACAAAAAUGUAAAUGAUAGAAAGAUAGACAUACACUACUACAAAGUCUAAGAACCUAAUGUGUUCUCAAACAUAAAGACCCUUAACAAUGAAAGUAGCAACACCUACACUCUUCAAAGAACAUAAGAGGGAACUCAAUCCUUCAAGCAUCCAAGGUUCCAAGCAAACAAACAACAAGAGUGAAUUCACACUCUAAUUGUUACCUAGUUUUGGCCAAGCCCCUUUUGGGAGAGAACUUGUGUGUUUCAAGAGUGAGAUACAAUAUUCAAUAUUAAAAAUUUGAAAACUGAAACCCAAGAAUGUUUCUUUUAUAGUGUAUUACAUAAUAAGAGUUAAAAAGACAAAAAGGCCCUUCAAUGAUGGGACGCUCCGCUAGUGCAUAGUGGGCUGGUUUGGUGUGUAUUUAGGUCUUAUUUGCACUUUAUUUUGUACACACCAAGCUUUGGGCCUCGGUCCCAACACAUACUCUCUUAAAUCCAUCUACGUGAUCCCAUUUGUAUCAAAGCGUCCAGUUAGUACCCCAAAAGCCCAGACCUCUUGCAUGUUUGCCAUAAUAUUAUAGCACAGAAAGGUCGUUGGCUCGAUCAUUUUUGUGCCAAUCAACAAACAUUCGAUGUGUGUAAGCACGUGUGACCCGUACGUGUCACCGACUUCAUUUUUUGGAAGGUCCAUGUCCUUGUUUUGACUUUCAAAAUCCCAUGGUUGCUUCACCAACACUUUCAUUGGCAAAUAAUCCAUCAGUUUACUCUGCCUCAAUAAGAUGGGGAACAACUCCAAUAGUAGCUGCUUGUGGGUUAAAAAAUUGGCCUCGUCCAAGGCAGAUAAGUUGCAGUCAUAAACCUUGAUCUUCUCCUUCUCAAGUAGUAUCUCAAAGACCCAAUAAAAUAUACCAUCCACGUGUAUGACUCCAAAAAUCCUUUUUGCCUCGGUCCAGAUCUUAUCGUAUAGAUUUGGCCUCUCCCCUCUAACAUAUUUUAUCAUUUCUUCAUCCCAUUGGAACCCAGAAACUAACGAAUAAAAUCCUGUACCAUCGGGAGUUGAUGCUCGUUUACUGAGAUCAUCAUACCUAUUCUUAAAAUUCUUGUAGAAGUCGAGGUCCAUUAUUCCAUCGGCACCAUCAUAAGCCUCUAGGUAUGCAAAUUACCUGCCCCUCAUGAGGCAGAGAAUUUCUUCAACAUACUGUGAUAUAAGAAGUUAAUUUUUAAAUAGUCUUGUAAUUGUAAAGAAGGAAAGCAUAGUGGGAAGAUGCAACGGAUUGUCCAUCUAUUGUAGAGGGUUCUCUGAAUUUGUUCAUAGAUUACCCAUCUAACACAACUUAUGCAAGAGAUGGGUAAUAUGUUACAAUAAAACUACCAUAAGUUGCACCAAACUACAGAGCUGUUGUAAUAGAUGACACAUUUAUUGUGUAGUUUCUUCUUCAUGAAGUAGAUUAGAAGGCUAGGUUAGGAAAAUUAAACUUACCCUGUCUAUGUACUGCGUACGCAUAUCUGUCAUACUCUUGAAGUCUUGGGUGGAAAAGGUAUGGAUGGGGUAAUUUUGUGCGCUUUGCUUAACAUUCUUGGCCCGUCGCAGAUCUUUCUUCUCUUUGGUGCUAAGUUUCAUGUAUAUGUCCACCUUCUUGAAUAGCCCCUGAACUUCAAAAAAUUUUGAAGAGGGAGGAGUUGCAAUUUUUUUAUUUUUAAUUGGAGAGUACUUGGCUAAUUGCCUUUUUCAUCCUUCAAACUGCCACUGCAGGAGUGUAUGACUCCCUCACCUUCUUGGAUGGUAUGACACCCCAAUUAGAUUUCUAUUCCUCAACAGCUUUAGAGAUAGCCUCUAAUUUUUCAAAGAGUUUAUUCUGGUUAUUCUUGCACUCUUCGCAUUUACAAUGAGAACAUGAGGGUGAAGAGGGGUGAGAGGGACCGGUGUAAGGAUGAGAGGUCUUGUGUAAGGGUGAGAGGGACCUAUGAAAAGAGUGUUUUCAAAUAUAUAUUUUUUAGAACUAACAUGCUCAUCAUGACAACUGGCAGCAACCAAUAUCAACAACUACACCAGCAACACCCCAGAAGAAGCACCCUGAUCUGUUGCAGUAGGUUGGUUAUGAAGAGCCUCAACAUUAGCUGACCUUGCCUAAUUGCUCUUCUUAUGGCUGUUGCUCUAGCCAAUUCCUUCUUAUUAAAUCUACCAUUAGGUUUACUAUUGUAUCAACAAGACCUAGAGUAAUAAUAAAAGUCAUCCCCAACUCCUGCUUAGUAGGCACAAUCUAUGGGUGCACAACCUAUAAAAAAGACAGAUACAUUUAAAUCAUAUAAUAAUUUGCAAUCAGUUGGGUUACAUGUUAACACAAACAACUUAUACAACAAAUAAUCUUUCUAUCACAAUAGCUGAUCUAUGUGUCACAACAUAUUAAUAAUAUAUUGCAUCAGAUUACCCAUCUGUUACAUAAUUUAUAGUAGAUGUGUAAUCUGUUGAGUCGAGUUCAGAGAACCAAAGCAACAGAUGGGUAAUUUGAUGCAAAAUAUGAAUCAUCUGUCAUAACAGAUUACCCAUCUGUUGUAUCAAUUAUAGUGUAUAGGUAAUUUAUUGCAAAAUAUAACCCAUCUUUUGUAAUAGAUGACACAUCUAUUUUAAUAUCGUUCUUUAAGUUAAAUUAUUUUACUCGAAAGAAGAUAUACUGCAUCAUCCGAAGGGUUAAAAAGAUCAACCUUCUUAAUUCUUAUGUAGCUUUUUGUAGCCAACCACCUAAGGAUCCUUGGAUGAGAAACCUCAUCUGAGUAAUCCUUGACCUAUUUUUGAAGGUUUGGCUUCAAAUUCCCAAACCUACAAAAUGCAAAUAGGAGGCAAGCAAAUAAUUAUUCAAUAUAAAUUAAUGGAUGAUUAAACAAAUAGUGAUGAAAUUUACCCUAAAAGCCCAAGAAAGGCUAUAUAAUUUGGUCGUCUUUGGGGAUAGCUUGGUCAGUAAUUAUUCGACAGUCAAGUAGUAGUUGUCAUAUCCUCAGGAAUAAUUGUUGAAUUUCUCAAAAUCCUCAGCAAGCUUCAACAAAUCAUCUUCUAUGACUUUGUAGACGUCUCUUGCCAAUAUAACAGAAUGGGCAAACCAAACUAAGCAUAAUUGCUCCUUGGACAUCUAUGAUAUAGUGUUAUCUUUGUGUAAUGUCUCGAAUCUGGUACCCGGAAUGCCACAUGGUGCUCAUGACACCGAAGGACCAAAAGUUAACCCAUGACUAAUAUCUGUAACUGAGCACUGCAUAACAUACUUUAUAAAUACGGAAUAAAAGGCUGAAAAGCCAUAAGGUUCAAAAAUCUAUUAAAAAAUAACAUCUGGAGAUACGGUAUAUCAAUACCAAAAUAACUAAAAUACCUGUCUGAACAUGCUAGUCUAAAAGCCUCUAAACUAUCUGAAUAAGGAGUUGAUGGGACAUGUCCCCAACUAACUCCAACUGCUGAAAUAAAAUAAGUACUACAAGAAUGAAAUAGUCAAAUAAUAACAUCCUCGAAUGAUGAGGACUCACUGCUAGGCUAUCUAUUAAACGGCUGAUCUACUAAGGAUGCUCUAGAGCUCGUGCUUCUGAAUCUAUGGUAUAAAACACCAUAGCGCAAAAGAAAAGUAUGCAUCAAUAUAUGAGAAUGUACUGGUACGCAAGUGAGAUAAGCUGAAUGCAAAAGUUCAUAUGCAUGAACUAUAACUGACUGACAUGAACACGAACAUGAUGUGAGGAUGCAUGCAUGAAUACGUGUACUGUAGCUGAAGUCAUUAUAAUACAGAAUCUAAAUACAGAUAACAUGAGUUUCGUAUUAACUAAGAGACUGUGUUUAAUAGUCCUGAUUCUAAUAGAACUAGCUGAGUUCCAUGCUGAACUGUGUGACUAUCUGACAGUCCUGAAUCUGAAGACCUAUUUGAGUUCUUUUACUGAGAUUGAGAUUGAGACUGUGGGAGAUAAUCAUCUAACCAACAUGCCCUUAAUAAGCUAUUAUAACUGAGUUGGGGUCUAAUCUGUAACCCCAAUUAGAAGGGUAUCAAUACCGCGCCAUUGGUAAGGACAAGCAGUGAGUGACCCUCAUCUGGCAGUGUCCCUAAAUGUGAACGGUGGGACCUUCAUCUGGCAGUGUUGAUCCACCUCAUCAACCCUCAUCUGAUAGUAUUGAUGUCUCAACCUAUGCUGGCUACAUAGUUCUGGAAUGCAAGGAUUGCUUCUAAGGGCCAUACCCUCUACUGUCAGUAUGUGCCCUCGUCCUUGGGUUUGCUCAGUGCUGAAUCCUACUUCCAACUAAGUAGACAUAUUGAGAUGAACUGGAUUGAGUUCAUUGAGUUCCGUAGACUGACGAAAUAUUACUGAAUCCUUUUAACUGACUGAGUUCACGAGAUUUCUGAGUUUUCCUGAGUCAUGUAACUGACUAAAUUCUACUGAUCAUGGCAUGACUGAGAUUAUCAUGAAACUAACACUGGCUCUAGGCAUACAACUAAAUUAUUGGAUAUAAAUAUCCCCAGGACUCGAUAGCAUAAAAGUAAUUCAUGGCACAAGUUUGAAAGCACAAUAAUGGCUACACAUAUAUCCAUAAUUCAUUAACUAAGACAUUUCAUCAAAUAUAUAGGGAGCAUACUUUGGUUAUACCAUCAUCAAUGCAUCUAAUUAUCAUGGUUGCAUAAAUAAAUUUGUAAUUUUAAGGGUUUAUCAUUAAUAUUAUGAAAAUCAUCACAUACUAGGAUCAAUCAUUGGAACAUGUAAUUUAAAACAUGAAUCAAAACCUAACAACAACAUGGACAUGAAUUUCAAUUCAGCCAAAUCAUGAACAUUCAUAAAUACAUAAUCUUUGGAAUUUGAAAAGAGAUUCUUGAGCUUCAUGGGUGAAAGAGACCCAUGAAUCAACACUUAACAUACCUUGAUUAUGAGUUUCUUGAUGUUCUUGGACUUAAAGAACAUAGAUCUCUUAGUUUCUUAAAGAAGGGUUGGGAUCUUGUUCUUGGGGAUUGAUCUUUGAGAAAAAUCCUAAUUUGGUGUUGUAGAUGAAUAAUGAAGUUAUGAGCCCUAGUCUGGUAUAAUUAGGUGUUAAAAGGGGUGAAAAGACCUAAAUACCCUUAUAAAAAUGGCUUUAAAUUGCUGAACGAGAUCUACGAUGGCUUGGGCGACGGCCCGUCGACCUUCCCAUUGUACUAGGCCAGAAUAUGAUCUUUUUUCCUUGGUUGCGAUGGUUUGGGCAACGGUCCAUCACUAGUUUGAUGGACUGUUGGACAUUUUAUCGCACCUGGCCAGAAGGUCAACUCACUGCAUCUACUACGACGGUUUGGGAGAAGGCCCGUCGCUAGAUCGACGAUCCAUUGGCCCUUUCCGUCGCACUUGGGCGGUUCAGACUGCUUUCUUUAUUUUAGUCAUAACUUUCUACCUCGAUGCCAAAUUUAGGUGAAUUCAGUAUCGAUGGAGAGCUUAUUCAAUUGCCCAAAAUCAUAUACUAUUUUUUUUGUAACAGAUUAACCAUCUGAUACAACAUAUUAACCAUCUGAUGUAAUAGAUUAACCUUCUGACGUAAUAGAUUAACCAUCUGAUGCAAUAGAUUAACCUUCUGACAUAACAAAUUAACCAUCUAAUGUAAUAGAUUAGCCAUCUGACAAAAUUGAUUAACCAUCUGAUGUAACAGAUUGACCAUUUGUUACAAUAAAUUAACUAUCUGAUACAAUAGAUUAAAUAUCUGAUGUAAUAGUUUCGCAAUCUGAUGCAAUAGAUUAAAUAUUUAUUACAACAGAUUUACUAUUAGAUGUAACAGAGGAACCAACCGAUUUAUAAUCUGAUGUAAUAGAUCAACCAUCUGAGGCAAUGUAGGGACCAUCAGAUUAAAAUUCUAAUACAAUAGAUAAAUCAUCUGAUGCAAUAGAUGAACUUUCUGAUGGUUAAAAUCCUACUAACUAUUCCAACAAGACAUAUCUAAGACUUCAUUUUUCCAAUUGAUCAUUUAUCUGUUGUGAUAGACAACCCUUCUAUUGGAGAAAAUCUAUACAAUAUUGAUAGUUGAUAAUAGUUCUAAUAGAUCCCUUAUAUGUUGCAACAGAUGUGAAUCUGUUGCACAGACCAGACAUCUGUUUCAAUAGAUGAGUGAUCUGUUUUAUUAUUGCAACAGAUUACUCAUUUGUUUGAACAGGUUAGUUAUAUAUUCCAAUAAAUUACCUACCUGGUGCAACAGAUAUGUGAUCUACUGGAACUAUUAUUUUACUGUUGUACAUGUUAGAUAUACUGUUAUCCAUUUUUAACAAUGCAUUAUUCAAUUAUAAUCUAUUUUAUAUUCCUAUUAUUUUUAGAGUAUAUGGCUCCCAAAAGCCCAAGUAAAGGAACAAGUGAAGCAGCUAGGCUACUUCCACCACUCUAUGAGCUUGCUAAGCGUUAUCUCAAUCAGGAGUAGAAUAUGAUGAACAUGGGGAGGAGGAAUGUUUCAAAAGAUAUGAUCCAAAUACAAAUGGUCUGUGCAAACUUUAUCGGACUCUAAGAUCAUUAACAUAAUAAAAAUGAAAUUGUUUGGAGCUAUAUCCAUCACAAGAAAAGUAAUUUUAGAGGGUAGGCUUGUUAUUAUUGAUGAUGGUCUUAGUGGUGAUGGAGUUGUUGUUGGUGGUAGUAGUGCUGCUAUUGGUGUUGAUGAUGCUCCUCUUACAGUUUUUAAAACAAACCAUUAUGAGUAUGAUCCUACUUGUUAUAUAGAUUUUGCCUCUCCUAGCAAAUAUUCUGCAUGCAAAUGUCAAGACUAUAAGGCGAAACAUGAUGUAGUAAUUAAUGCUAUUAAUACAUUAACUACUUCUGUAAAGGAAUUAACAUCUAAGAAGGGUGUCAUUCCAUCAAAGAGGAUUUUAUAUCUAUGUACUCUAUUAGAGAUUAAGGCUAAGACAAGAUGGAAAGUAAUUUCCAAUGCAUUAUCAAUCAUCCUAAAAAAUAAAAUUGCAACUCCUCUAUCAGCGUGUUGCACUAUUGAGCAAUGUACAAAGGCCAUAGGAGAGAAGCACAAGCUGAAAAAGGUGAAUAUAUAUCAUCUGUUCAAACUAAAAGAUAUACAUCUAUUUCAACAGAUGACAUAUCUGCUGAAAAUUAUCAAACAAAUAUAUACAUCUGUUGCAAUAGUUGAUUAACCUGUCGUAUCAGAUACCAUAUCUAUUGCAACAUAUGUCUCAUCUAUUUUAGCAAAUCAAACAGCUCUACGUAUCAUUUUUAUUUGUACCAACAGAUGACCUAUCUUCUACAAUGGAUGGGUCAUCUGUUGGGACAAAUUGAAUCAAGACUUCCUACCUUUUCAAUUUUUCGAAACAGAUGAGUCAUAUAUUGCAAUAGAUGGUUCAUUCAUUGGAAAUUAUCUUACGGGUCUUCCUCAUGUUAUAAUUUGUCCCAACAGUUGAUCCAUCUGUUGAAACAAAAAUAUAAUCUAUUUGGGAUAAUUUAAAAUAGGAAGAAGACCUAUUUGUUUUGCUAAAAUAAAUGAGUUGUCCUUUUCUGUUUUUUUAUCUAUGAUUAGCAUUGACCAAUUCUGGCUUUCUAGGUGGAUUUCACUAUAGAAGCUACUGCUGAACAACAUUGAUAAUAUACUACUCUUUUUAUGGAAAUAUGGAGAAGCGAAAGCGCAGAAACUAUAUGCAAGCGACAUUAAAGAUCCACAACAACCAAAGUCAAAUUCCAUAGCAUAGGAUGAAGAACAACUUGUCCAUAUUGAGUAGCUAUUUAUAGCUUGAGUCUGUCAAAGUAAUAACCUCACCCCUCCUUAGGAAUUGAUGGCAUCAAAACUUAAAUUGUUGAUUUAUUUGUUGAGAUCUGUACCCAUAACAAUUUUUUUAUAUUUCAUUUAUUUGUUGAUUUAUUUCAUGUAAUUUCUUAAGGCUUUAAUUUAUUUUAUUUUGUCUAUGAAUUUUAUUUUGUCCUUAGAUUUGAACUUAUUAAUUGAAAUGGGAUACUAGAUUCAUAUAUUGCAACAAAUAAGGUAUUUGUUGCAACAGACGACAUAUCUGUUAGAAAAUAUCAAACAUAUUUAUACACAUGUUGCAACAUGUAGGUAAUCUGUCGAAAAUUAUCAAACAGGUCUUUCCACUGUUGCAACAAAUAAACUUAGAUUUAAAUAUCGACAUAAUGCAAUAAAACAUCGACAUAAUGCAACAGAUGACCAAUCUAUUGCAACAGAUAAAUUAUCUGUCAGAACAGGUAGAAUAUUUAUUACAACAGAUGGACAAUCUGUUGCAUUAUAAAAAAUUCAACUUUCAUUAGACAUAAAAAGUUUCCACUACAUGUAAAGUGAAGUGACUUGAAAUAAAAAAGGUGAAACCCAUCGACAGUUACCUAAAGUUGUAGUGAUCUUUCACUUUGGCAGCUUGCGUGUAAUUCAUCAGCCAAGGCUCAUUAAACCCCCAUUUUCACUGACUUGACGUCUGAUUUGGCCCUCAACAAUUAUUUUUUGCUCUUAUAUAUUCAUCUUCUUCCUAAAAUUUAACCCUAAAUUGCCAAAUCUUCUUCUUCAUCAUCUUUUUCUCUCUAUCCAAAUUCUUCAAAUUAUUUGUAUUUGGUUUCUCCACUUUUUUUUUUUUCAUUUUUUCAUACUAAGCUUGACAAUGUCGAGCUCAUCUUUCACUAAUUUUUGUGAUAAAGAUUUUCGAUAUUGUAAGUGUGAUCAUGAAGCUCUAUUGAAUACUUUUUGAACUCAACAAAAUCCAGGUCGUAGGUUUUUUACUUGUAAGAUUUCAAAGGUAAUAUUUUUUUAUUUAAUUAGUUGAUUAUUUAUUGACAUGUAAUUAUUUAGUAAUUGUGGUCUUGUUUUUAUAGAAGUUGGAUAGAUGUGAUUACUUUGAUUUGUAUGAAGAACGACACCCUUCACAAGCAAAUCACAUAAUCUGGGUUUUGUUGAAGAAAGUCAAGGCUUUUGGAGAGAAACAAAAUCGAGCAAGAAGAUACUACAAUGUUGGCGUUAUUGCUACUGAUUUGGUGUUGUUGGGCACAUGAGAUAUUCAAGCCUAAUUGCUAAAAUUUUUAUGGUGGUGUAUUUGUAUUUACUACUGGUUUGGUGUUGUAGAGCACAUAGAUAUUCAAGCGUAAUUAUUGUAAAAUAUCAAAAAAUUGCCACUACAUGUAAAGUUACAAAUGUAAAGUGAAGUGACAAAAUAAAAAUUGUUAUUUUAGAGGCUCUUCUUUAUACACAGGAUCCAAGUGUCCAGUUAGUAUCCCAAAGGCACAGACAUCUUGUAUGUUUGCCACAACAUUGUUGCCCAGAAAGGUCAUUGGCUCGGCCAGUUUUUUGCCGGUCAUGAAACAUUCGAUGUGGGUAAGCGCGUGCGACCCACACAUGACACUGGUUUCAUUUUUGGAAGGUCCAUGUCCUUUUUUUGACCUCCAAAAUCCCAUAGUUGCUUCAUCAAUAUUUUUGUUGGCAAAUGAUCCAUCAGUUUACUCUGCCUCAAUAAGAUGGGGAACAACUCCAACAGUGGCUGCUUAUAGGUACAAAAAUCAGCCUCGUUUAAGAUAGGUAAAUUGCAGUCAUAAACCUUGAUCUUUCCCUCAUCGAGUUGUAUCUUAACAGCCCAAUAACAUAUGCCGUCCAUGUUUAUGACUCCAAAAAUCAUCUUUGCCCCGGCCCAAAUCUUGUUGUGUGGAUUUGGCCUCUCCCCUCUAACAUAUUUUAUCAUUUCUUCAUCCCACUGGAACCUAGAAACUAAAGAAUAAAAUCCAGCGCCACCGAGAGUUGACGCUCGCUUACUGAGAUCAUCAUACCUAUCCUUGAAAUUCUUAUAUAAGUUGAGGUCCAUUAUCCCAUCAGCACCAUUAUAAAUCUCCGGGUACGUUAAUUGCCUGCCCCUCAUAAGGCAGAGAAUUUCUUCAACAUACUGUGAUAUAAAAAGUUAAUUUUUAAAUAUGCUAGUAAUUAUAAAGAAGGAAAACAUAGUGAAAAGAUGCAACAGAUUGUUCAUUAGUAGAGGGUUCUCUGAAUUGGUUCACAGAUUACCCAUCUAGCACAACUUAUACAAGAGAUGGGUAAUAUGUUACAAUAAAACCACCAUAAGUUGCACUAAAAUACACAACUGUUACAAUAGAUGACACAUUUAUUGUGUAGUUUCUUCUUCAUGGAGUAGAUUAGAAGGCUAGGUUAGGAAAAGUAAACUUACCCUGUCUAUGUACUGCGUACACAUAUCUAUCAUACUCUUGAAGUCAUGGGCGGAAAAGGUAUGGAUGGGGUAGUCUUAUGCGUCUUGCUUAGCCUUUUUGGCCUGUCGUAGAUCUUUCUUCUCUUUGGUGCCAAGUUCCGCGUAUAUGUCCACCUUCUUGAAUGACCCUUAAACUUCAACAACUUUUGAAGAGGGAGAAGUUAUAAUUUUUUGAUUUCUUAUUAGAGAGUACUUGGCUAAUUGCUCUUUUCAUCCUCCAAACCGCCACUGCAGGAGUGUAUGGCACACUCACCUUCUUGAAUGGUAUGACACCCCUCUUGGAUUUCAACUCCUUAAUAACUUUAGCGAUAGUCUCUAAUUUUUCAAUGAGUUUAUUCUGUUUAUUCUUGCACUCUUUGCAUUUCCAAUAAUAACAUGAGGGUAAAGAGGGGUGAGAGGGACUGGUGUAAGGGUGAUAGGUCCUGUGUAAAGGUGAGAGGGACCUAUGAAAAGGGUGUUUUCAAACAUAUUUUUUUAGCGCUAACAUGCUCAUCAUCAUAACUAACAGCAACAUCAGUAUGCCUGCCACCAACAUCAAUAACUACACCAGCAACACCCCCAGAAGAAGCACCCAGAUCUGUUGCAGUAGGUUGGCUAUGAAGAGCCUCAACAUUAGCUGACCUUGCCUAACUGUUCUUCUUAUGGCUGUUGCUACAACUAAUUAUGGAUGUUGCUACAACCAAUUCCUUCUUUAUUAACUCCACCAUUAGGUCUGCUAUUGUAUCAACAAGACCUAGAGUAAUAAUAAAGGUCAUCCCCAACUCCUGCUUAGUAGGCACAAUCCAUGGGAGCACAACCUAUAAAAAAGAUAAAUACGUUUAAAUCAUAUAAUAAUUUGCAAUCAGUUGGGUUACAUGUUAACACAGACAACUUAUGCAAUAAAUAAUCUUUCUGUCACAAAUGCUGAUCUAUCUGUCGCAAUAUAUUAAUAAUAUAUUACAUCAGAUUACCCAUCUGUUAUAUAAUUUAUAGUAGAUGGGUAAUUUGUUGAGUCGAGUUCAGAGAACCAAAGCAACAGAUGGGUAAUCUGAUACAAAAUAUGAAUCAUCUGUCAUAACAGAUUACCCAUCUGUUGUACCAGUUAUAGUGGAUGGGUAAUUUGUUGCAAUAGAUAACCCGUCUGUCGCAAAAAAUGGCACAUCUAUUUUAAUAUCUUUCUUUGAGUCAAAUUAUUUUACUCGAAAGAAGAUGUCCUGCAUCAUCCGGAGUAUUAAAAAGAUUAGCCUCCUUAAUUCUUAUGUUUCUCUUUGCAGCCAACCACCUAAGGAUCCUUGGACGAGAAACCUCGUCUGAGUAAUCCUUGACCUGCUUUUGAAGGUAUGGCUAACCUAAAAAAUACAAGUAGGAGGCAAGUAAAUAAUUAUUCAAUAUAAAUUAAUGGAUGAGUAAACAAAUAAUGAAUAAAUUUACCAUGAAAGCCCAAGAAAAGCCAUAUAAUUUGAUCGUCUUUGGGGAUAACUUGGUCAGUAAUUAUUUGACAGUCAAGUAGUAGUUGUUAUAUCCUCAUGGAUGAUUGUUAAAUUUCUCAAAAUCCUCAACAAGCUUCAAAAAAUCAUCUUUUAUAACUUUGUAGAUGUCUUUUGCCAAUAUAAUGGAAUUGGCAAACCAAGCUAAGUACAAUUGCUCCUUGGACAUCUUUGAUAUGGUUUUAUCCUUGUGUAAUGCCCCGAAUCUGGUACCCAGAAUGCCACACGAUGCUCAUGACCUCGAAGGACCAUAAUUUAACCCAUGACUAAUAUCUAUAACUGAGCACUGCAUAACAUACUGUAUAAAUACAAAAUAAAAGGUUGAGAAGCCAUAAAGUUCAAAAAUCUAUUAAAACAUAAAAUCAAGAGAUAUGAUAUAUCAAUACCAAAAUAACUGAAAUAACUGUCUAAACAUGUUAGUCUGAAAGUCUCUAAACUUUCUGAAUAAAGAGUUGAUAGGACAUGUCCCUAACUAACUCCAACUGCUGAAAUAAACUAAGUACUGAAAGAAUGAAAUAGUCAAAUAAUAACAUUCUCGAAUGAUGAGGACUCAUUACUAGUCUGUCUACUGAACAACUGAUCUACUAAGAAUGCUCUAAAGAUUAUACUUCUGAACCUAUGAUAUAAAACACCAUAAUGCAAAAAAAAAGUAUGCGUCAGUAUGUGAGAAUGUAUUGGUACGCAAGUAAGGUAAGUUGAAUGCAAAGGUUUAUAUGCAUGAACUAUAAUUGACUAACAUUAACACAAACAUGAUUACUAAGGAUACAAGCAUAAAUACGUGAACUGUAACUGAAGUCAUGAUAAUACUAAAUCUGAAUACAGGUAACAUGAGUUUCAUAUUAACUGAGUGACUGUGUUUGAAAGUCCCUAUUCUAAUGAAACUAGCUAAGUUUUGUGCUAAGCUGUGUGACUGUAUCUGACAGUCUUGAAUCUGAAAAACUAUCUAAGUUCUUUUACUAAGACUGAGAUUGAGACUGAGACUGUGGGAGAUAAUUAUCUAAUCGACAUGCCCCUAACAAGCUAUUAUAGUUGAGUUGGUGUCCAAUCUGUAACCCUAAUUAAAAGGGUGUCAAUACCACUCCACUGGUAAGGACAAGCUGUGAGUGACCCUUAUCUGGUAGUAUCCCCAAAGGAGGACGGUGGGACCCUCAUCUAGAAGUGUUGAUCCACCUCAUCAACCCUCAUCUGGCAGUGUUGAUGUCUCAACCUAUGAUGGCUACAUAGUUCUGGAAUGCAAGGAUUGCUUCUAAGGGCCACACCCUCUACUAUCAGUAUAUGCCCUCAUCCUUGGGUUCGCUCAGUGCUGAAUCCUACUCCCAACUGAGUAGACACUGAACUGAUUAUAUUGAGAUAAACUGGACUGAGUUCAUUAAGUUUCGUGGACUGAUGGAAUGUUACUGAAUCCUGUUAACUGACUAAGUUCAUAAGAUUUCUGAGUUUUCCCAAGUCAUGUAACUGACUGAAUUCUACUGAUCAUGGCGUGAUUGAGAUUUUUAUGAAAUAGACACUGACUCUAGGCAUACAACUAAAUUGUCAGGUAUAAAUACCCCCAGGAUUUGAUAGCAUAAAAGUAAUUCAUUGCAAAAGUUUGAAAGCACAACAAUGGCUACACAUAUAUCUAUAAUUCAUUGACUAAGACAUUUCAUCAAAUAUAUGGGAAGCAUACUUUGGUUAUACCAUCAUCAAUGCAUCUAAUUAUCAUGGUUACAUAAAUAAAUUUGUUAUUUUAAGGGCUUAUCAUUAAUAUUAUGCAAAUUAUCACAUACUAGGAUCAAUCAUUGGAACAUGUAAUUUGAAAUAUGAAUUAAAACCCAACAACAACAUGGAUGUGGUUUCAAUUUAACUAAAUCAUGAACAUUCAUAAAUACACAAUCUUUGGAAUUUGAAAAGAGAUUCUUGAGCUUCAUGGGUGAAAGGGACCCAUGAAUCAACACUUGACAUACCUUGAUUGUGAGUUUCUUAAAUUUUUUAGACUUGAAGAACUUAAAUCUCUUAGUUUCUUGAAGAAGGGUUGGGAUCUUGUUCUUGGGGAUUGAUCUUUGAGAGAAACCCUGAUUUGGUGUUGUAGAUGAAUAAUAAAGUUAUGAGCCCUGGUCUGGUAUAAUUAGGUGUUAAAAAGGGUGGAAAAGACGCAAACACCCUAAUAAAAAUGGCUUUAAAUUGCUGAACGAGAUUUGCGAUGGCUUGGGCGAUGGUCCAUCGCUGGCUCGAUGAUCUGUCAAAAUUCUCAUCGUACUAGGCUAGAAUAUGAUCUUUCUUCCUUGGUUGCGAUGGUUUAGGUGACGGUGCGUCGCUAGCUCGAUUGUCCAUGGGCCAUUCCGUAUCACCUGGCCAGAAGGUUGACUAACUGCCUCCACUGCGAUGGUUUGGGCGAUGGCCUGUCGCUAGAUCGAUGGUCCGUCGGCCCUUUCCAUCACACUUGGGCGGUUCAGAUUGCUUUCUAUAUUUUAGCCAUAACUUUCUAACCUGAUAUCGGAUUUAGGAGAAUUUGGUAUCGAUGAAAAGCUUAUUCAAUUUCCCACACAACAAAAGGUCAAAAUCUUAAAAAUUCCACGUAUAUGAAUAUGGAUUCAUCCUUUAAAGCAAGUCUUUAACAUUUUUGGGAUAAUUUUUAAGCUAGGUAGUAGUAUGGGGUAUUACACCUUGAGAUGUUUUAUCAACUUAUUGGCUUUGUACCACGUCUAGCAAUUUCCAACAACCCAUAUAUUGGCUUUGGUGGGUGAUCACUGGGAUAAUGCCUUCUUUGUAUUUAAUGGUGGUGGUUUGGCUGUCCUGCUUGCCUUGGACCUUUUUCAUGGUGUUUUAUUGGUGAGAAGUUUUUCUGGAUGAUCACAUCUCAAGCCUUUCACUACGACAAACUCUUUCAAGCAAAAAAAAACCAGUAUCCCACAAUAGUUGAUCCAGAUUUUAUCUAUUUUUUUUGCCCUACUUCGAAUCUUUAUCAUCCCCCAUGUACUUGAUCCUGUGCUUGAGAAGACCAUAUACCAUGCUCAUUCAGAAAUAGGCAGUGUGGUCCUCAGGAAGCUCAAGAACAUAUCCAAAGUAGCUCUUCUUAAAAAGUCUGUCUAUUUUUUCAUUCUUUAUAGUUUUCCUAAAUUUAUCAAAAGGUUUUUCCAACUGACCUUUAAGUACAAGAUCACCAGUUAGUUCUGCAGGGUCAUCUGUAGGCAUCACAACUUGAAACCUUUCAAUAUUAAUAGUUUUGAUAGCCUCAUGUUGGGAUUUCGAUCUUAAUUCAUGCCCCAUUGGUGAUACAUUAUCAUCAUGUUGAUGAUCAUCCUCUUUCUCACUUUAUACCUCCUUCCCUUUUUGUUUAUUUUCUUCUUCUUCCUCCUCACUUUCAUUUUCCUUAUCACUAUCUCCAGACCCUUUUCUAUCUCCCACAAUAUUAUUUUUAUAUCUUUCCUCAGCUUUACUAUUCCCUGGCUAAGAUUGUUCAGGAAGAUCCUCCAAAUCCCUCUGUACUGUAGCCUUUUUUAUUAGGUGGUCAAAAGUUGAUCCACUUUUACUUUCUUUUCUUUUGGGAGACAUGUUUACCUAAAAAUAGUUGAAAAUAAAAAUUACAUUACAAUUGAUGUAUGCAUAAAUGUUAAAAAACAUAUUACAAUUACCACCAAUACCGACACCACAACAAUCACCACAAACACCACCAACCAAUGCCACCAACACCACCAUUAAUAGCCACCACAAAAACACUACCACGACCACCAACCACCACCACUACCAAUUCCAUGAUAGUCAAUAAAAUACUGUGAUAAAAACUAGGGUUUUCUCAAAUUCUUCCUACGAUCUUACCAUCAAAACUUAAAAUUAUAAACUCAUUCUUGAAGAUAAUAUAACUAAAAGUCUUUUUUUCAUCAUUAACUUAAAAUCCCUAAUUUUUACAAAAAAUAACAAAUAUAAAACUCUUCUCAAACUAUGUUACCUAUGAAGACAAACAAAACAAUGGAUACAAGAAAGAAUAAAGUCGAAAAUAACACCUAUAUGGUUGAAAAUGGGAAGAAAAUCGAUUUGUUGUGAAGGGUUGAGCAAUUUAUUGAGUAGUUGUUGUCUGUACUGUUGAGAGAGAGAGAGAGAGAGAAAAAAGAGUGAGAACUUGAGAUUUGAAAUGAUGAAAUAUUUUUACCGCAAAUGGAUGAUUUGUAUUUUGGAAAAGAAUGUCAAGUUUUGAAAAUGUUAAUUUGGUCCAAAUUGAUCUUAAUUAUUUUUUUAAAUGUUAAAAGAUAUACAUAUUUUUUAACCAUCUUAUCAUAAUAAAGUGUAUUAAGUUCAACUUAAACACUAAUGAAUUUUAGGUAUUAGUUUUAUAAUGAGGUAAUAAGAAUCGUUUAAACUUGGAGUGAUUGAUCGACGACUUAGGUCGGGAGGAAUGCAAUACCAAUAUCAUGUAAUUGCCAAAGUCUCAAUUGAAGUUGUAGUUGACCCCAUGGACUCACCCUUAUUUUUGGAUAAAUCAACUUAGAUAUUAGCUUGAUAAUUAAUUAAGUUAAUAAGAAUUAUUUCAACUUGGAGUAAUCGAUCACGACUCAGGUUAGGAAGAAUGUAAUAGCAACAUCAUACAAUUGCCAAAGACUCAAUUCAAGUUGUAGUUGGCCCUUUGAAAUUACCCCUAGUUUUAGCUAAAUUAAUUUAGGUAUUACCUUGAUAAUUAAUUAAGUUAAUAAAAAUCAUUCUAACUCAGAGUGAUCGAUCGACGACUCAGGUCGGGAGUAACUCAAUACCAACAUCAUGCAAUUGCCAAAGACUCAAUUAAAGUUGUAGUUAACCACAUGAAAUCACCCCUAUUUCAAGCUAAAUUAAUUUAUAUAUUACCUUGAUAAUUAGUUGAUAAGAAUCAUUUCAACUCGAGGUGAUCGAUUGACAACUCAGGUCGGGAGGAACGCAAUACCAAUAUCAUAUAAUUACAAAGACUCAUUUGAUGUUGUCGUUGAUCCUAUCAACUUAUCCUUAGUUUUAGCUAAAUUAAUUUAGGUAUUAGCUUGAUAAUUAAUUAAGUUAUUAAGAAUCAUUUCAACUUGAAGUGAUCGAUCUAUGACUCAGGUUGGGAGGAAUACAAUACCAACAUCAUGCAAUUGCCAAAAACUCAAUUAAAAUUUUAGUUGACCCUAUGAACUCACCCCUAGUUCUAGAUAAAUCAGUUUAGUUAUUAGCUUGAUAAUUAAUUAAGUUAAUAAUAAUUAUUUCAACUCGAAGUGAUCGAUCGACGACUCAGGUCGGGAGAAACGUAAUACCAAUAUCAUGUAAUUGCCAAAGACUUAAUUGAAGCUGUAGUUGACCCUAUGAACUCACCCCUAGUUCUAGCUAAAUCAAUUUAGGUAUUAGCUUGAUGAUUACUUAAGUUAAUAAGAAUCAUUUCAACUCAGAGUGAUCAGUCGAUGACUUAGGUCGGGAGGAACUCAAUACUAACAUCAUGCAAUUGCCAAAGGCUCAAUUAAAGUUGUAGUUGACCCCAUGAACUCACCCCUAGUUCUAGCUAAAUCAAUUUAGGUAUUACCUUGAUAAUGAGUUAAUAAGAAUCGUUUUAACUCAGAGUGAUCGAUCGAUGACUCAGGUCGGAAGGAACAUCAUACCAAUAUUAUGUACUUGCAAAGACUCAAUUGAAGUUGUAGUUAACCCUAUCAGCUCAUCCUUAGUUAUAGCUAAAUUAAUUAAAGUUGUAGUUGAACGAACUCAAUUGAAAUUGUAUAAAAACAAAUGUUCAACCUGUUACAACAGAUGACUUAUCUGUUUGAAUUUAUUAAGUAGAUUAAGUCAUCUGUUGUAAUAGACUAACUAUCUGUUGUAAAUUAACAAAUAGGCAUUGCCAUUUGUUGCGAUAGAUAACUUAUCUAUUGGAAUUUAUCAAACAAAUUAAGUCAUUUGUGGCAACAGAUUAACUAUUUAUUGUAAAUUAUCAAAUAGUCAUUACCAUCUAUUGCGACAGAUGACUUAGCCAUUGGAAAUUUUCAAACAAAAAUUGUCAUAUAUUGCAACAGAUGACUGAGUCAUUGGAAAUUUUCAAGUAAAAAUUGUCAUCUGUUGUAACGGAUGACUUAUAUAUUUUAAGAUCAUCUUUUUUAUUUUAUUUUAAAGAAAUUUCCUAAUUUCCUAUAUGAGAUAAAAGAGAUAAAAUACUAAGGCGGUAAAAAAUAUUACUUGGAUAACUCAAAAAUCUCCUCCUUGAGUAGUCUUAUUUUUUCUUUUCAAUGUCACUGUCUCCUCGUUCCCCUUACAAUUUAUUAAUGAAUAUUUAAAACCCAUCUCUAGAAUUCUCUUUCCUUUAGCCAUAAAUUAACUCAACUCAUCUCUCAUCUUUAUUCAAAUUUAGAAUUCUCUUUCUCUCCUCUUCAGGGUAAUCACAACCAUUUUUUUUCUCUUUUUUCACCUCUUUCGCAUGAGGAUCCUUUCGGAUCUCAACCCAUUCCCCAAUAUCUUUGAUCAACUGAAAUGGAUAUUUUGAUCCCUUUGGUUUUUUGACAUUGCAGGUAUGGUUCACUAUUGCUCUUUCUUCUCAUCAUUUUCUUUGUAUGUUAUUUAAAUUAGAUAUUUACAUUUAUUUUUAUUAUUGAUUUACCCAUUACCAAUUUCCUAUUUAUUGAGAAAUGGGUGUUGGUGUUGUUGAUAUGUGGUGUUUGUAUUGUUGAUAGUGUUGGAACAUAUGCUGUUGUUUCUUUGUUAUUGUUGAUGUUGUUGUUUUUGAUGUUGAUGGUGGUGUUGCAACAGUUUUUUAACUAUUGCAACUAAUGAAUCAGCUGUUGUAACAGACAGAACAACUGUUGGAAGAAAUCAAACCAAUAGUAAGGCUAGUUUGAUUUAUUCCAAUAGAUGAUCCAUCUAUUGCAAUAUGUCAUCCAUCUGUUUCCACAGAUGCGUCGCCUGUUGCAAUGGAUUACUCAUCAGUCGAACAAAUGGGGAAUCUGUUACAUCAGAUGGGCCAUCUAUUGAUUCAUUCAAUUUUGUGUUACCCCUUUGUAAUAUUCUUUUUGUUCUUUUCUUAUUUGAUAUCAAAUGUUUUUCUCUUGUUUGAAGAUAAAAGAAAGUAAAACUGAAUCAACUUUUUCCCGACCAACAUUAAAGGCUAGAGUAAAGAUGGGUUCAGAUAAAUAAGUUGCUUGUAGAUGGAACCACUUCAUAUAUGAGAGGUAUGUAUUACUGAUCAACCUAUCAUGAAAACAUACAUCCAGUACACUGAUUUUGUAAAUGUUGGUUCCUUACCUAUUAGGAGUUAAUCUUUCAAAAAAGAUAUGGUAUUUUAUAGUUAAGAUUGUUAGGUUAGAACUGGUUAGGCUGAGGAACCAAGUAGGUGGUUUCGAUACCUUGUUAUGGUUUAAUAAAGAUUUUCCUAAUAUUUAUGUGUCAAGUUUGGAGAAGGGUUCAAGUUUUUGGUGGCCGUGUAGAUAUUCAAAUAGUGAUUGGACUGAUUUUAAGGGUUCAAUGGACUUUUGAAACGCCUCCAAAGCCUUGCACUACUGCAAAUAAGAAUGAAAAUAAAUAUAGUUAUUGCUCUGGUCCAAAUUUAUAUAUAUAGAUUGCUUGAAGAGACUUAUACAAGAGAAGGUGAUUGGAAGAAUACCUAUAUGGGAAGGAGGAGGUGAAGAAGACCAUAUAUCAACUUAGACCUUAUUAAAGAAGAAACACAGGGUAAAAAGGAAAGCGUAGCAAAACUAGCUGAAGAAAUUAACAUGAAAAAUAAAAAAAUUAAAUGAGCUAAAAUGUGAAAAUGUAUCCAAAAAUGAAAAUCCAUCAGUCCAUUUUAAAAAGAAAAAUGCUGAAUUGGAUUGGAGCUGUGCAUUUUGUUAGGGGUUGCAACUAGCUAUCGGGUCCUGAAUGAAGACCCACAAAAUGCAGGAUCAGAACUCUAAGGUUUCAGUUUUGUGAGCACCGAUGGUGGUAAGAUUAUUGGUCAGGAAUGAAACCUGAACCAACAAAUCCUGAAGUAAAAAUAAGGGAUCAAGUCAAGGUGGCAAUUUCUCAAGUUAAACUUGCAUCCCAUGCCUCCUGUUUAUGGAUUUGGUCUGGUCAAAGUAAGUGGAAACAACAUGGCAUGGGAUUUCUACCCAACUUCAAACCUUUUUCUUUCUACUUCCAUUGACCUGAUCAAAACCACAAACAGAAGGCAUGGGAUGUAAGUUAGACUUAAGAAAUUGACGCCUUGGCUUCCCUUAUUUUUACUUCUGGAGUUAUUGGUUCAGUUUUCAUUCUUGACUGAAAAUCUUACCAAUCCUCUGUGCUCGCCAAGAUGCUUUCUUAGAGUUCUAGUCCUGCACUUUGUGGGUAUUCAUAGAGGCCACGCUCACUAGUCGUAGUCUUUCGCAAAGUGUCCAGCUCUAGUCCUCUUCAGCAUCUUUCUUUUUCAAGAAUGAAUGAUGAAUUUUAAUAUUUUGAUACACUUCCACAUUUGAAGCUUAUUCAGUUUUUCAUCUCUCAAGUUAAUUUCUUUGGCCAGAUUCGCUAGAAGUUCCUUACUUGCUUUCCUGUGUUUCCUCUUAAACAAGGUCUGAGAUGAUAUAUGGUCUUAUCCACCUCCACCUUUCCACACAGGUAUUCUCCCAAGCACCUUCUAUUGUAUAAUAGUCUCCUUGAGAAACCCAUCCAUAAAAUUUGGACCAGGGGAAUUUCUAUUGGUUUUUAAUUCUUGUUUGCUGUAGUGCGAGGCUUUGGAGGCCUUUCAAAAGUCCAUUGCACUAUUAAAAUCGGUCCAAUCACUAUUGGAUAUUUACAUUUCCGCCAAACACUUGAACCCGUCUCCAAACUUAACACAUAAACAUAAGCAAAACUGUUAUUAAAUUAUAACAGGGUAUCGACACCACCGUCUUCGAACCCUUUGUCCUUAUCAGUUCUCACCUAUCAAACUAAACUUUAAAAUACAGGAUCUUGUUUGAAGGAUCAAUGUGUAAUCGGUAAAAAUUGCAUUCACAAAAUCAUUGUACUUUAUGUGUGUCUGUCAUGAUAGCCUAAUCAAUAAUUCAUAACUCCCACGCAUGAAAGUGGAUCCAUUCAUCUGCACAUACCUUAUUCUUCCUACCCCAUCAAUGUCAGACAGUGUUUAUUCUUCAAUUUCCAUCAUUAAGUAGUGUACAAAACUACAGAGGCUCAAAGGGUAGCCAGCUUUAAUGUCAGAUGACUACUUGCCCGUUAAGAAAAAAAAGUGCUAUAAGUCAUGAUUUUUUACCUUUUUUGUUUUUAAAUAUAUUUAUAUAAUAAGUCACCAAUUUGAAUUAAUUAAGGUAUGUGAUGACUAUUAAAAAAGAGGUGAGCAGUUGUGACUUUUUGUCUAACAUAUUCAAAACAGCUGAUGAAUUAAAUCCCUCAUCUAUUGCAACUAAUGAAUCUGCUGUUAGAAGAAAUAAAAACAUCUCCUCCAACAGAUGGUCCAUCUAUCACAAUAGAUAAUACAUAUGUUGCAAUAUAUGGUAAAUUUGUUGCGCCAGUGGGUUAUCUGUUGUGAUAGAUAGAUGAUCUAUUUCAACAACUCAAUAAUAAAUAUUGUUAUUAAGUAUCAAACCAUUUUAAAAAGGUGAGAAUUUUGAAUGUAAAAGAAAAAGUCGUAAAUUUUCACAGAAAAUAAAAAGGCAGCAGUUUGAAUGUAGUUAAUACAGUGGAGCUGAAUAGUCGUGCCUUUUUGCCUAACACAUUCAGAUUUAAUCCUCUAUAAGUAAAUCCCUCCUUAAUCUUCAUUCUACUCCUCUUUUAUUUAUUUCUUGCAUUUUGUCUCUUUGUAUUGCGUCUUCAACCACUUUUAUUCAAAGAGCAUAUUUCUUUUUCGUUGAGGUAAGUUUUUUAUGUGUAAAUAUACCCAUAGAUUGUUUGGCAGGCACCAGAGUAAUAUGCCCACUAUAUGCCAUUGUAUAUUUUUCCAUCGAAUAAUAUGAAGAGGAGUACUCAUAAAUUUUACUUCUAUAUUUUGCACUGUAUUGAGCUUGAAGAGCUGUCAUACCAUAUGGAUAAGGAAUUUUAUCCAAGUCAAAAACUCUGCACCUACAAAAUCUUGUUUGAAGAUCAACCGUGGCAACAUCACCAUGACCAUUGAUACUGAACUUGUAAUCUGCUAUUUGAUGAGAUAAUAACCUAUUCCCUAGAUUGAUGUUCAUUGAUAUUAUUUUUUCCGCUUCUAGAACAAAUGGGGUUCCUGGGUCCUCGUAUUCCACAUACCUUUUGUGAAAAAAUUGGCCAAACUUCUUGUUUAUUAUUUCAAACGGAGCCACGAUGGGAAAUUCUCUUUCAUCACCAAAUAAUGAAUUCACCGUUUCGGCUAUGUUUGACGUCAUAAUAUUGUACCUAUACAAAAGAAUCACUUAGUACGAUAUCAUACUAAACUUGUAACUCAAACAAGACAUUAAAUUCAUAAGAAUGUACCUAUUUGCUAGACAGAAUGCUAGAUUCCAUCUCUCAAAACUGACACAUACGAGAUGUUCUGCUGCCUUGGGAUUUAUAUCCGCCAUUUGAUUGAAAUGGUCUAAAAACUACUAUCUACUAUAUGCUUUAGAUGAUCUAUAAAAAAAGGCCACGACCCUUUCGUUGUGAAAGUUGGUUAGAAUGUUCUCUCCAAGUUGCCUGAUACAAUAACUAAAGUAAGCAAAAGUGAAGAAAAUUGAACCCAUCUUUGGAAUACUUGGAUGCCUAUCCAAAAUAAAACACAACUCUGUAUUAUCUUUGAUGCAGCUUCGCAGUUGUUCAAAAAAAUAUCCAUAAAAGGCAUCAUAUUCCUUGUUCGCUACACAAAAAGUGAUAGGAAAUAUGUGAUUCUCUACAUCCUGUGCCACCACCGAUAGCAGAACUCCAUUUUACCUGCUCUUCAAGAAGGUACCGUCAACGGCUAUGCCUUUUAUCAAAUGUCAAAACCUUGAAUCUAAGUACCAUAGGAUACAAAAAAGUAUUUGAACUUUCCGUUUUUAUUAACAUGCAAUGCCGUCUUACUUUCGAGAUUUGUGGACCCAAGAAUGUAACGGUAGGCAUUGAGGACUGCAUACCCAUGCUCGUGUGUCCCCCUAACCAAGUCCUUGACAAUCCCCAUAGUCAUAUAUAUCUUCCAAUAACUGACCAGGACACACAAUUUCAUAAGGAGUUGAUUGUCUAUAACCCUUAUAGAAGGGCCUUUGCCAUCGGGGAAUUUAUUCUUAAAAUAUUCAUAAGGACCUUUACCGUGGCGUGAGGAUUUUGGCCCGAGAUAUGCUCCAAACCACAUAUGUGAUACAUUUUAUGUAUAUGAAUGACGAAUCUAUUAAAACUUAAGUACUUCACCACUCUUAACCACCACUUGUAAUUCAGAUUAGCAUAUUUGUAGCAAAAGACUUUGCUCGAAUUAAUCACCUUCAUUAUUCUAAAAUCUUUUUUCAAGAAAGAAAUAACCAAAGUAGUAGAUAGUUCUUUAUUGUCCUUGAAUGAAAUUCUCUUGUAAAAGCUGGUCUCAUCAUCUUGAUGAAUGUCAGACUGUGUCGAUCGAGAAGAACUGCCCACUUUAUUGGUCGCAUCAACGGGCGUAGGUAUUUGAUCAUCAUCUAGAAUGUUCAUGUCUAGAUCAUCUAACCUAUCAUCAAAGAAGUCUUGUUGUUGUUGUUGUUCUUCUUCUUCUUCUACAUUUUAGUUCUUAUUCUCUCUCAUAUUUUCAACCACGUACACCCUUAACACUUACCUGGAUGAAUCACCAAAAGAAGAACGCAAUUGAACCUGAUCGAUUAUCUUGAAAGGUAGUACCCUCUGAUUUUCCAAGGAGCUGUGUAUGUUCAGUCCACAAUAGAUGAUGAUUAAGUUCACAAAAUUAUCAUACAAAACAUCACUUUAGACUAUCAUAGCUAUUCUCUCUAGCAUUUUACCCUCCUUCCAAUACCAUACAUAUCGAUUGCUCUUGUCAAUUUAUUGACCAUGACAAUCUACCCCUACUGUUAUUAAUCCUUCCAUUAGUUGUACCUAAAUAAAGUCAUUUGUUAAAAAAAUUUAAUAGCGAUUUCAUAGUGCCAUAACAUGAAUCCUAAUAGAUGUGUAAUCUAUUGCAAUAGGUAAGUGAUCAGUCACAAUAGAUUACUUACCUAUUGGGAUUCAUGUUAUGCAUCUGAAGUUGAUUUCAAUAGAUGAGUCAUCUGUUGUAACGGGAAAAUCAUAUAUUGCAACAUACUAUACAUCUGUUGCAAUAAAUAACAUGUCUAUUGGAAUUGACUUCAGGUUCUGUUGCAACAAGUUACUAAUCUAUUGCAACAGAUUCUUACUAUGUUGCAACAGCCGACACGUCUGUUGGAAUCAAGUUCAGGUUCUGUUAUAAUAGAUAUUUACCCUGUUACAACAAAUAACUAGUUUAUUGUAAUAGAUGACCCAUCUGUUCAAUUCAUGUUACGACAAUAUAGAAUCAUAAACAUGAAUCCAACAUAUUGUUAUACCCUUUUUUCACUCCAAAAAAAGAAUGAUUUUAAGUUUCGAAAGGGUUUUCAUUAUUAAGUGACAAAAAUAAAAAUUUGUUUCGAAAAGUACUUUUAUAUUCAAAAUUCAAAGUCGCCACUUGGCAUAAAUCGGGUGUGCCAGUUACUUUUGAAAAUCCUUUUUCAAAAUAGUUUUGACUCUAAAACUGAUCCGCGAAUAGAGAUUCCACUUAGGGAAUUCUGUUGACCGAGGGGAAGGUGUUAGGCGCCCCUCAAUCCCGUGGUUCGACCAUGGUCACUUAGUGGAGCGUACGGCUAAUUUGACAUUACGAAUGUAUAAACCACACCAAAAAAACACAUAAAACAAUCAAUCAAACACACAAAAAAAAUAAAUCUAAAAUAUAGUGUCCGGUCCAAUUAUACAGUCCAAAAAUAGAAAAAAUACGAAAAUAUAAAUCCUAUUUUAAGCUAAUCCUGAAACUAUGCUCCAAUGCCUUACCCCGAUGCCUCAGGGCUUGAUCACGAACCUCCUUUGCAUACAUGAUAUGUCAGGGCAUUCCCCGGAUAAAUCAAUACAAAUCCCUCGGGGAAUUCCCUGGCCAAAUGAGUACAUUUUUAAAGUAAUAAAGAUGGAAAAAAAUCACUCAACAUAAAUAUUUGCACAUUCGAUAAUUAGAAUCCUAUGAGUUGUCUAUCCCAAAUUCUAGAAUUCGCCUAUAGAUUUAACAAUCUAAUCAUGCUACUAUCGUAUUCAACAAUAUUCAUACUCAAACCAAAUUAAACAAAGUCUUAAUCAAUCUAAAUUUACCCUUUUGUCAAUUCCUUAAUUCCACCCGCCGAAUCCAAUCUCAACAUGAUUAAACUAAUUUGAUACGUGGUUUACCAAUCUAGUUUUCACAUCUAAUUGCAAUAUCAAACAAUUCAGAACAAAGGUUCAUACAUACUAAACACACAAAUCAUUCAGGAUUACUUAAAAUUAAAGGGAGAAAAGACAGAAUUGGACCUCACGGUUUCUUUUAUUCAAUCAACUUGAACUAAUUUCAAUAGCGAAAGAGCCUCGGGAAUCAAUGAACCUCAACCUUGAACUCACCAAUCGAAUAAAACCAACCUUGAUAUAGUUUUUCAAUUGUGGUUUUCACCAAAAAACCGCAUUAUAGAACUAUUUUGGGCAAUUUUGAGACAUUUUUCGGUGAGUUUCAAACAGAGACAGAUGUGAAGCGUAUCAGACUUAGUUAAUUUGGUCAGAUGGAUUUGGGUUUACUUUUUUGUAUCGUUAGAGCUCCGGUGAGCUCCAACAAUGAAUAAAACAAAGAAGAAAGGACGGUAGCAACAUUUUCCAGCGAGAACUCACUGGAAAAAUCCUUCUCUCUUGUGAUUUCUCUCUUUUCCCAUUGGUGUUGUCUUGUCCGAUCUCCCCUCCCCCGUUCCUUCACUAUUUCUGACCUAUAUCCCUCCGUUCACCUUUCCUAAUCUCCAAUUCAUCUAUAUUUCUCUCUUUCCAGUGAUGUGUGCGUAUACUUGUAUGUGGGUGUGUGCAAAUCAGUGAGGAUGAACGAUUAUUAUGAGCUGUGUGUGUAGUGUGUAAAGAAUUCUGUGUGAAUGAGUGUAUAUGUGAGCAAAAUUGAAGAAUGGAAGGUUCUUGUAUGUGUGCCCAUAAAGAAGAAGGUGAAUGAGUGUGUGCUCUUUUUCUUUUCACUGUAUCUUCAUUGUUUUUCUUUUGAAGGGAAGCCGAAUUUGUGAGUGGUCCUUUUUUUUUUUCUAUUUGCCCUACGUAUUGAUAAUGAGGAGGGGUGCUGGGGUAGGUAGGGUAGGAGAGAUAGGGUGUAGUGAGGUGUCCACUUUUAAUUAGAGAGGUUGUUAGGAUAGGAUUAAAACAAGAUAAAAUUUUUUAAGGGUUGUUAUUUUUGUAUAUUUUUGCAGGGUAUAAUUACAUGGGUGAGGGUACAUGGUAGGAUAAAGUAAAAAAUGGGUAAAAACGAUAUGGGGGAGGGACGAAAUUAGGUGUCUACAUAAUGUCCUCUUUGAAUGUAAACAUGAAGUGUUUUCAAACAAAAAAGUAGACAACAAGAUAGAAUUUUGUCUCGACUAUUAUUCAAAGGAAGAAACAGAAAGAAGAAGAACAACCGAGUUCUGGCUUAAGCCAUCCUACCCACCUAAGUUAUGGAGGAAUCAAGUGACGGUGUCUCAAAUGAUUGGAAGAAAAUGGACUAUACGAAAUAGGAGAGUCGAGUGAGGUUCCAUCAAGGUUUCGUUCCGCGGAUCUGUCAUUACAUCAAAAUGAAAAUUACAAGUUGAAACAUAAAUGAAAUUACAAAAUCUUAUCUAUACAGCUUCUGUUGGACUCCUGACUUAAGUUUCAUCACCCUAUUCUUCAGCUGGGCUCCUGACUUGCAAUUUCAUCACUUGUUGCUUGGUCUUCAAUUGCUUCACCUUAUUGCUUAACUUUCCAUUUAUUCGCCUUGUGCUUCGGGUGGGCUCCUGACUUGUAAUUUCAUCACCUUGUUCUUUAGGCGGGCUCCUAACUUGCUAUUUCAUUAAUCUGUUAACUUUCAACUUUUCACCAUGUUUCUUGACUUUCAACUUCUUCACCAUAUUUCUUGAAUUUUCAUUUAUUCGCCCUACUCUUCAGGCGGCCUCCUGAAAUCACAUCAAAACUGAAAAGAAAAUUAUUCUAAACAAAGAUUAUUAUAAAGAGGUUUCAUUUGCCAGAAAAGUGAAGUUUCAACACAAGAAUUAAAUUUUUCCCCAGUUUAUCAUCAAAGGACUUUUGCGAAAGUCACAUCAUUAUAGAAAUCAAGGAGAAUGACUCGAAUAUAAGGUGCAUCUGAUUGGAAUCAAAGGAAUUGACUCGACUAAAAGGUACGUCUUCUAGGGGUCAAGGAGAAUGACUUAACUAAAAGGUACGUUUUAUAGGAAUCAAGGGAGAUGAUUCGACUAAAAGGUACGUCUUACUAGGAAUCAAGGGAGAGGACUCGACUAAAAGGUAUGUCUUAUAUGAAUCAACGGGAAUGACUGCUGCCUUGGGAUUUAUAUCCGCCAUUUGAUUGAAAUGGUCUAAAAACUACUAUCUACUAUAUGCUUUAGAUGAUCUAUAAAAAAAGGCCACGACCCUUUCGUUGUGAAAGUUGGUUAGAAUGUUCUCUCCAAGUUGCCUGAUACAAUAACUAAAGUAAGCAAAAGUGAAGAAAAUUGAACCCAUCUUUGGAAUACUUGGAUGCCUAUCCAAAAUAAAACACAACUCUGUAUUAUCUUUGAUGCAGCUUCGCAGUUGUUCAAAAAAAUAUCCAUAAAAGGCAUCAUAUUCCUUGUUCGCUACACAAAAAGUGAUAGGAAAUAUGUGAUUCUCUACAUCCUGUGCCACCACCGAUAGCAGAACUCCAUUUUACCUGCUCUUCAAGAAGGUACCGUCAACGGCUAUGCCUUUUAUCAAAUGUCAAAACCUUGAAUCUAAGUACCAUAGGAUACAAAAAAGUAUUUGAACUUUCCGUUUUUAUUAACAUGCAAUGCCGUCUUACUUUCGAGAUUUGUGGACCCAAGAAUGUAACGGUAGGCAUUGAGGACUGCAUACCCAUGCUCGUGUGUCCCCCUAACCAAGUCCUUGACAAUCCCCAUAGUCAUAUAUAUCUUCCAAUAACUGACCAGGACACACAAUUUCAUAAGGAGUUGAUUGUCUAUAACCCUUAUAGAAGGGCCUUUGCCAUCGGGGAAUUUAUUCUUAAAAUAUUCAUAAGGACCUUUACCGUGGCGUGAGGAUUUUGGCCCGAGAUAUGCUCCAAACCACAUAUGUGAUACAUUUUAUGUAUAUGAAUGACGAAUCUAUUAAAACUUAAGUACUUCACCACUCUUAACCACCACUUGUAAUUCAGAUUAGCAUAUUUGUAGCAAAAGACUUUGCUCGAAUUAAUCACCUUCAUUAUUCUAAAAUCUUUUUUCAAGAAAGAAAUAACCAAAGUAGUAGAUAGUUCUUUAUUGUCCUUGAAUGAAAUUCUCUUGUAAAAGCUGGUCUCAUCAUCUUGAUGAAUGUCAGACUGUGUCGAUCGAGAAGAACUGCCCACUUUAUUGGUCGCAUCAACGGGCGUAGGUAUUUGAUCAUCAUCUAGAAUGUUCAUGUCUAGAUCAUCUAACCUAUCAUCAAAGAAGUCUUGUUGUUGUUGUUGUUCUUCUUCUUCUUCUACAUUUUAGUUCUUAUUCUCUCUCAUAUUUUCAACCACGUACACCCUUAACACUUACCUGGAUGAAUCACCAAAAGAAGAACGCAAUUGAACCUGAUCGAUUAUCUUGAAAGGUAGUACCCUCUGAUUUUCCAAGGAGCUGUGUAUGUUCAGUCCACAAUAGAUGAUGAUUAAGUUCACAAAAUUAUCAUACAAAACAUCACUUUAGACUAUCAUAGCUAUUCUCUCUAGCAUUUUACCCUCCUUCCAAUACCAUACAUAUCGAUUGCUCUUGUCAAUUUAUUGACCAUGACAAUCUACCCCUACUGUUAUUAAUCCUUCCAUUAGUUGUACCUAAAUAAAGUCAUUUGUUAAAAAAAUUUAAUAGCGAUUUCAUAGUGCCAUAACAUGAAUCCUAAUAGAUGUGUAAUCUAUUGCAAUAGGUAAGUGAUCAGUCACAAUAGAUUACUUACCUAUUGGGAUUCAUGUUAUGCAUCUGAAGUUGAUUUCAAUAGAUGAGUCAUCUGUUGUAACGGGAAAAUCAUAUAUUGCAACAUACUAUACAUCUGUUGCAAUAAAUAACAUGUCUAUUGGAAUUGACUUCAGGUUCUGUUGCAACAAGUUACUAAUCUAUUGCAACAGAUUCUUACUAUGUUGCAACAGCCGACACGUCUGUUGGAAUCAAGUUCAGGUUCUGUUAUAAUAGAUAUUUACCCUGUUACAACAAAUAACUAGUUUAUUGUAAUAGAUGACCCAUCUGUUCAAUUCAUGUUACGACAAUAUAGAAUCAUAAACAUGAAUCCAACAUAUUGUUAUACCCUUUUUUCACUCCAAAAAAAGAAUGAUUUUAAGUUUCGAAAGGGUUUUCAUUAUUAAGUGACAAAAAUAAAAAUUUGUUUCGAAAAGUACUUUUAUAUUCAAAAUUCAAAGUCGCCACUUGGCAUAAAUCGGGUGUGCCAGUUACUUUUGAAAAUCCUUUUUCAAAAUAGUUUUGACUCUAAAACUGAUCCGCGAAUAGAGAUUCCACUUAGGGAAUUCUGUUGACCGAGGGGAAGGUGUUAGGCGCCCCUCAAUCCCGUGGUUCGACCAUGGUCACUUAGUGGAGCGUACGGCUAAUUUGACAUUACGAAUGUAUAAACCACACCAAAAAAACACAUAAAACAAUCAAUCAAACACACAAAAAAAAUAAAUCUAAAAUAUAGUGUCCGGUCCAAUUAUACAGUCCAAAAAUAGAAAAAAUACGAAAAUAUAAAUCCUAUUUUAAGCUAAUCCUGAAACUAUGCUCCAAUGCCUUACCCCGAUGCCUCAGGGCUUGAUCACGAACCUCCUUUGCAUACAUGAUAUGUCAGGGCAUUCCCCGGAUAAAUCAAUACAAAUCCCUCGGGGAAUUCCCUGGCCAAAUGAGUACAUUUUUAAAGUAAUAAAGAUGGAAAAAAAUCACUCAACAUAAAUAUUUGCACAUUCGAUAAUUAGAAUCCUAUGAGUUGUCUAUCCCAAAUUCUAGAAUUCGCCUAUAGAUUUAACAAUCUAAUCAUGCUACUAUCGUAUUCAACAAUAUUCAUACUCAAACCAAAUUAAACAAAGUCUUAAUCAAUCUAAAUUUACCCUUUUGUCAAUUCCUUAAUUCCACCCGCCGAAUCCAAUCUCAACAUGAUUAAACUAAUUUGAUACGUGGUUUACCAAUCUAGUUUUCACAUCUAAUUGCAAUAUCAAACAAUUCAGAACAAAGGUUCAUACAUACUAAACACACAAAUCAUUCAGGAUUACUUAAAAUUAAAGGGAGAAAAGACAGAAUUGGACCUCACGGUUUCUUUUAUUCAAUCAACUUGAACUAAUUUCAAUAGCGAAAGAGCCUCGGGAAUCAAUGAACCUCAACCUUGAACUCACCAAUCGAAUAAAACCAACCUUGAUAUAGUUUUUCAAUUGUGGUUUUCACCAAAAAACCGCAUUAUAGAACUAUUUUGGGCAAUUUUGAGACAUUUUUCGGUGAGUUUCAAACAGAGACAGAUGUGAAGCGUAUCAGACUUAGUUAAUUUGGUCAGAUGGAUUUGGGUUUACUUUUUUGUAUCGUUAGAGCUCCGGUGAGCUCCAACAAUGAAUAAAACAAAGAAGAAAGGACGGUAGCAACAUUUUCCAGCGAGAACUCACUGGAAAAAUCCUUCUCUCUUGUGAUUUCUCUCUUUUCCCAUUGGUGUUGUCUUGUCCGAUCUCCCCUCCCCCGUUCCUUCACUAUUUCUGACCUAUAUCCCUCCGUUCACCUUUCCUAAUCUCCAAUUCAUCUAUAUUUCUCUCUUUCCAGUGAUGUGUGCGUAUACUUGUAUGUGGGUGUGUGCAAAUCAGUGAGGAUGAACGAUUAUUAUGAGCUGUGUGUGUAGUGUGUAAAGAAUUCUGUGUGAAUGAGUGUAUAUGUGAGCAAAAUUGAAGAAUGGAAGGUUCUUGUAUGUGUGCCCAUAAAGAAGAAGGUGAAUGAGUGUGUGCUCUUUUUCUUUUCACUGUAUCUUCAUUGUUUUUCUUUUGAAGGGAAGCCGAAUUUGUGAGUGGUCCUUUUUUUUUUUCUAUUUGCCCUACGUAUUGAUAAUGAGGAGGGGUGCUGGGGUAGGUAGGGUAGGAGAGAUAGGGUGUAGUGAGGUGUCCACUUUUAAUUAGAGAGGUUGUUAGGAUAGGAUUAAAACAAGAUAAAAUUUUUUAAGGGUUGUUAUUUUUGUAUAUUUUUGCAGGGUAUAAUUACAUGGGUGAGGGUACAUGGUAGGAUAAAGUAAAAAAUGGGUAAAAACGAUAUGGGGGAGGGACGAAAUUAGGUGUCUACAUAAUGUCCUCUUUGAAUGUAAACAUGAAGUGUUUUCAAACAAAAAAGUAGACAACAAGAUAGAAUUUUGUCUCGACUAUUAUUCAAAGGAAGAAACAGAAAGAAGAAGAACAACCGAGUUCUGGCUUAAGCCAUCCUACCCACCUAAGUUAUGGAGGAAUCAAGUGACGGUGUCUCAAAUGAUUGGAAGAAAAUGGACUAUACGAAAUAGGAGAGUCGAGUGAGGUUCCAUCAAGGUUUCGUUCCGCGGAUCUGUCAUUACAUCAAAAUGAAAAUUACAAGUUGAAACAUAAAUGAAAUUACAAAAUCUUAUCUAUACAGCUUCUGUUGGACUCCUGACUUAAGUUUCAUCACCCUAUUCUUCAGCUGGGCUCCUGACUUGCAAUUUCAUCACUUGUUGCUUGGUCUUCAAUUGCUUCACCUUAUUGCUUAACUUUCCAUUUAUUCGCCUUGUGCUUCGGGUGGGCUCCUGACUUGUAAUUUCAUCACCUUGUUCUUUAGGCGGGCUCCUAACUUGCUAUUUCAUUAAUCUGUUAACUUUCAACUUUUCACCAUGUUUCUUGACUUUCAACUUCUUCACCAUAUUUCUUGAAUUUUCAUUUAUUCGCCCUACUCUUCAGGCGGCCUCCUGAAAUCACAUCAAAACUGAAAAGAAAAUUAUUCUAAACAAAGAUUAUUAUAAAGAGGUUUCAUUUGCCAGAAAAGUGAAGUUUCAACACAAGAAUUAAAUUUUUCCCCAGUUUAUCAUCAAAGGACUUUUGCGAAAGUCACAUCAUUAUAGAAAUCAAGGAGAAUGACUCGAAUAUAAGGUGCAUCUGAUUGGAAUCAAAGGAAUUGACUCGACUAAAAGGUACGUCUUCUAGGGGUCAAGGAGAAUGACUUAACUAAAAGGUACGUUUUAUAGGAAUCAAGGGAGAUGAUUCGACUAAAAGGUACGUCUUACUAGGAAUCAAGGGAGAGGACUCGACUAAAAGGUAUGUCUUAUAUGAAUCAACGGGAAUGACUCGACUAAAAAAUACGUCUUCUAGAGGUCAAAGGGAAUGACUCGACUAAAAGGUAUGUCUUAUAGGAAUCAAAGGGAAUUACUCAACUAAAAGGUACGUCUUAUAGAAAUCAAAGGAGAUGACUCAACUAAAAGGUACAUCCUAUAGGAAUUAAAGGGAAUGAUUCAAUUAAAAGGUACGUCUUAUAGGGGUCAAAGGGAAUGACUUAACUAAAAGGUACGUCUUAUAGGAAUCAGAGGGAAUGACUCAACUAAAAGGUACGUCUUAUAGGAAUCAAAGGGAAUGAAUCGACUAAAAGGUAUGUCUUAUAAGAAUCAAAGGGAAUGACUCAACUAAAAGCUAUGUCUUCUAAGGAUCAAAGGGAAUGACUCGACUAAAAGGUAAGUCUUAUAGGAAUCAAAAGGAAUGACUCGACUAAAAGGUAUAUUUUCUAGGGGUCAAGGAGAAUGACUCGACUAAAAGGUAUAUCUUAUAGGAAUCUAAGGAGAUGACAUGACUAAGAGGUAUGUCUUCUAGGGGUCAAGGAGAAUGACUCGACUAUAAUGUACGUCUUCUAGGAGUGAAGGUUCAAUUUAAGAAGUGUAUCACCCAGCAAAUGAAAACUGAAAACCCUGGACAAGAAAGUGUGUCUCCGAGGGAUAUAAGAUGAUGAAUUUUUAUCAUGAUUUAAUUGUCAAAACUGUGCAGUAACAUUGCUUCCUACAUUUGUAAAAGUGAGAAAUUACGGGCCUUGAUGUUUAGGCUUUGAAAUCCUUGAUUUGAAGGUAACAUGUGUUCCUAUUUCAUGCAAAGAAAGAUUGUGAGUUUAAAAACAUAGUGGAUGAUUUGUGGCUUUGGCUUUUGUGGCAAACGCUCUUGCCAUUAUCAUAUUUAACCUUGCUUCCAACCAUUAGCCUGUGUCAUUGACUUGUUGCUUCAUUGACCAAACUCAGAUUAUUAAGAGUGACUGAGACAAACACAACAUCUUUGCUUUUCCAUGCUUCUCAGAUAUACCACUUGGAACCUUGGUAUUUUAUGAGUUCCAAGACUUAUUUGUUGACAAAACUUUCUACUUGCCUCAUUUUGGCUCACAAUCAUGUCUCUUUCAUGCGUUGGCCUUUCUGCCUUGCUUUGUACAAUUGAAGAAGCUGGUAGCCAGUUUUGAAAUCUUUUCUCACUUGUUUUGACAUAGACUUGACUCAAAGACAAGAGAAAAAUGACAAUGAUUUUAUUUGGAUAAUUGAAUCAAGAAAAAUAAAAAUAUAACUAUAGAAAAUAAAGAAAUGAUAAUGAAUGUCCCCAUUGAAAAAUAUGAAAGAAAAGUUUAUCUAAAAAUGACAGUCAACUUUAAUGAUUAUGACAUGCAUAUUGGAUUAAACUGCCUGAUCUUUCCAUCUAAAACUCUCACAAAUUGUUAUUGAGUUAAUGACCCUGAAAGUGAGUUGCUUUCUUGGGCCAAUUGCAUUCGGAUACCUCAUUCGGCUAGUAGUGCCUUGAAGGAUUUUCGCCAACUAGCCUCUCUCAUUUCCUUUUAUCACCUGACCAUAGCCUUAUAGUAUCCGAGAGGGUUUUUUACCAAUAAGAUUCCCUUAUUUUUAUUUCUUUCAACUCACAGUCGUCUCACAGUGCCCAUAAGGGUUUUUACUGAUAAGACUCUCAUUUUUAUCUCUCUCAACUUACCAUUAUCUUACGGUGCCCGUGAGGGUUUUCACCAAUAAAUCUCUUAUUUUUAUUUCUCUCUUAAUUCCUUAUACCGAGGAAGAUAAGUAGUAUUCAAAAUGCGUCAUCACAUUCAUUGUAUGCCUAGCCCUAACAUUCUCAAAGAUUGAUCUGAAGGUCUUUUUUUAGUUGUAACUUGGCUUUUGAUAGGUUUAGAAAGAAAGAAUGACAUUGGGCCUAAAUAACACCUGAAAUGGGGUAUGACUUACAAUUUUUGGAAUCGACUCAAACAAUGAGGAUUAACUCAUGCCCCAGUUUCUUUUGACUGGGCAAUUUUAAAUUGUUUAUUUCGUUGGACUGAGAUCGGAGUAGGGCAGCCUAUGUAUCUCACCCCCGAGAGAGGAGAAUCAGGUCAUGCGUAGUUCUGGCAACUUGUUCUUUCUUUUGAUCUGGUUUUUCUUUCUUUUUUUUUCUUUUCUCUUUGGGAAUUUUUUUAUUCCAUUUUUCUUGACACACAUCUUUUCUUUAUUUUUUGACACAUUUUUUUCUCUUUUUUUUAUGAAGCUUUUCUAAUUUAAUUCUUUUGUUCGACAUUCUUCUUUUGAGCUUUGCUGACUCUAUCUUGAUUCCAAAAGAGAGGUAUGAAAGAAAAUAGCACUAAGGUUCAAAUAGGGUAAACAAAGGAUGGCACAAUAUUUGAAUAGCAGAAUAAAAUGCCUUCGUCAUAUCAACCCUUGAAAAUGUAAGUACAAAUCAUGCAAUAUAAAAGUAAAAGAUGAAGAUCAUUUGAGAUAUCUUUUACAGCAUUAACUCUGACUGAGUUUGUACGUCACUAUUUCUUCUGCACUUUUCUGGCAUACAACUCUACUUUUGUUGUGCAUUCCUCACAUUGAAUGAUUCAUGCUUUUGUGGAGCUGAUUUUUUAGUUACUUUUGAUAGGAUCACACAGACACUGUUUGACAUAAUUGAGCUAUGCUUUUCAAUUGAUGACCAAGUUAUUCUUGUGAUUCUCAAAAUAAUCGCCUUAAUUUUGAAAGAAGGCUUCAACUUGUCACCAAAUGUCUCAUCACUCUACCUAUUUUCUCAGAUGUUUUUUCUAAUCUUAGCCCUCUGAUUCCAUGUUUCAUGGUUAAAUUAGACUUUAAGAUCUGGCUGAAAAUUUUGCAAGCAUGUCAUAUCACUAGAGUCAACAUAAAAUGUACUGUAUAAAGAAAACAAACAAAAAACACAUAUUUAAAACACAAAGGAAAAAGGACAAUUCAUUUAGUUGAAAUAAAAGAUAGAAGGGUUUGAACAUAAACAACAAAAGGACAAAACAAGAUAGAUCCUGAACUACAACCCUGAAAUAAUUCAAAAAAUAGAAAAGAAAAGAAAACAAACUAACAAACUUCUUUCUAGUAGGAAGAGGGGUGACUUCUCAAUUGCUUAGCCUGACAACUUAGCCACUGGUUUGCAUAUCAGCAUAACUAGAGCUUCCCUUACUAUCAAUGUUCUGCACCAUAAUUGAUCUAUCUUGAAUCAUCUUUUCAAUUUCUCUUUUCAAAUCUUGACAAUCUUUAAUACUAUGACCCUGAGCAUCAGAAUGAUACGUACAUCGUACAUUAGGAUCAAAAUUUCUUGAACGCCGAUUAAGAGUGCACCCAAGGAGAAGAGUGAUCCUGCCCCAUUGUACCAAUUUCUAAAAUAAACUGGCAUAUGACUCUCCAAUUGGUGUGAAGCUAUCUCUCAAUUUCUGCCUCAUUUCAUCGUUUGACUUGGAUCGAAAAUCAGGCUUAGAAGAGUUUUGGUAUGUUUGUGGAGUUAGAGGAUGACUCUGAGGAGUUGGUAUGUUCCACUGUGGGUAAGAUGAGGGUUGAAUAUGAGGCUGUACAUUAUAUACUGGAUAUGGAGGUGGAGGAGCAGAGUAUAAUGGAUUUUGGGAGUGAUUAUGUAGAGCUUGGGCAUGAACUUGGGUUUUUGCCUAAGAGUGAUUACGAUGGGGUCUUCUUGACCGUUCCUGCUGUCCAACUACAAUAGAAGAUGCGUCUUCCUCAUUUUUUGUCUCCCCAAUACUUCCUGAACCCUUUUGAAUUGCUUGAAUAGUCUCUUUCAAUGUUACCAAACUUACAAUGCGACCCGUCUUAAUUCCCUCUUCUAUCAUCUCCCCCAUUUUAAGGACCUCAAUAAAUGAUUUGCCCAAUACAGUUAAUAAGUAUUGAUAAUAUAUUUUAUCCUGUACUUGAAUAAACACCUUCACUAUUUUGCUUUCUUUCAUUGGCGGUUUCACUCUAGCCGCUUGUUCGCGCCAUCUGAUCGCAUACUCCCUGAAGCUCUCUGUAUUCUUCUUCAUACUUGUUAGGGAUUUUUUGCCAGGGAUCAACUCCACAUUAUAUUAAAAUUGUUGUAAAAAUUCAUUAUCUAGGUCAUCCCAAUGAAUCCACUUGUCGAUGUCUUGGUCAACAAACCAUUCCAAAGCUAGGCCUAAAAGACUCUCCCCGAAAUAAGCCAUGAGUAGUUCUUCCUUCCCUCCAGCGCCUCUUAAUUGGUUACAAUAGCGCCUCAAAUGUGCCACUGGGUCCCCAUGUCCAUCAUAUUCCUCAAACUCUUGCAUUUUAAAGCCAGGAGGAAGGUUGGCACCUGGAAACAUGCAUAAGUCCUUAUAUGAGGCACUUUUGUCCCCCAAGUCCUUGCAAGUUCUUCAUAGCUAGUUCUAAACUUCUCAAUUUUCUGAUCAUUUCCUCUUGUUCUUCUGUCAUAACAGGCUUCUCAGUGUUAGGAGGAAAUUCAGGCGGGUGAGUAUCACCAUAAAGACCAGUCAACUUGAAUGUAGGUUCGAAAGUGUAACGCUGAUCACCACUAAUAUUCAAGCAGGCUCUCUUGUAGAGUAGGGAGGCACAACUUAUGGAUGAACAUCAAAAGUAGGAGCUUUAGGUAGGGGUGGCACCGCAAAAGAAUGAACAUCAGGUGGAGCCGAGUAUGUGGUAGUCUUGGAUUAUGGAGUGAGAAAAUAAACAUUAGAAGUGGUUGGAUAUUGUUUCCCCAGAAUCGAUCCUGAUGCAUGUUGUGGCAUAUCAACAAAAAUGGGAAAUUAUGCAUGUGACACGGGAGGCAAGCUAGAAAGAUAUUCCAGAUUAUCAGUGAGAACUGGAGGAGGCGGCAACCCAUUAGCCCAAGCUCGAUGCAUUUCUAUCAUUUGCUGCCUUAAUUUCUGAAUCUCUUUAUUAGAUCCUAAAUUCUCAUUUCCCAAACUCCCUAUCUGGUUAGUCACAACAAACUCGGUAUCCUUGUAGGCCAUAACCAUCUCUGUGACUUGGUGCAAUAUGGAGGACUAGCCAAAAUGCCAUAAACCAACCACCUCAAACUAACUAAAAAAGAGAUAGCAAAUGCGUUAGAGUUCAACACUUUCUCAAAAUCUCUCCAUUUUUUUUAUUUUUUUUGAAAAGAUCACCGAACCUAAGAAAGGCGCCUACGUAUCUCACUCCCGAAAGAGGAGAAUCAGGUGUGUGUAGUUCGUGAAGUCUUGCCAAAAUGGCCAAUCAAACUCUUUUUUUUCUUUUUUCUUGAAACUUUACAAAGAAAAGAAAAUAACAAAUUGUCAAAAGAAUUGACGAAAAUAUUUUUGAAUUUUUCAGCUUUAAUAACCUAUAAAAAAUGAAACCUAUGAUUACCAAAGAAACUCUUUUUGGGUUUUCAAUUUUGCACUUCAUACGAAAAUGAAACUUGAACCUAUUAAAGGAAAAUCUUUUGUAGUUUUCUUUUAUUGAUGCAUAUGACACCUACUCUAAAUCUUUUUUUUUUUUUGUAUUUUUCUUUUCAAGACAUGUAUGAAACACCUACUCAAAAAGAAAAGUGAAAAAAAUCUUUUUGAAUUUUUUAAAUAAGAUUCCCGAACCUAUAAUAGGCUACCUACGUAUCUCACUCCCGAGAGAGGAGAAUCAGGAGUGCGUAGUUUGUCUAGAUUGAACAAUUAAGGAUUAACUAGCAAACUGAACCCAGAUUUAAGAGACACUACCAAAGAAAAACAAUAAAAGCCGUUAAUAAAAUAUUUUUUGGGGUUUUUCAAUUUGACACUUCACAUAAAACUGACACCAAUAACUAUGAAAAAAAAUCUUUUUAAAAUUUUCGAAUUAUGAAUGCAUGGUAAAGAAAUAAAAGAAAAAUCUUUUGGAUGUUUUUUUUUUUUUGAGAAAAUGAGUGCAAAAGGUAAAAAAUCUUUUGAAUUGUGAAAAAAAAUCAAAAGCCAUAAAGAAUUGUAAAAACUUACGAAACACUCAUUUUUUUUACUCACCUUUUCCUUUUCUCCUUUUUUUUCAACAGUUUCUUGUCUGCACACUUUACUUCUAACACAUGUUUUUCCCAAAUCGUUCCAUCAAAUAACCACGCUACUCUCAGAGAUGCAACAUUUAGCAUAUACGGAUGCUUUAAAGGCGAGUCUCCUACAAAGGAUCAAGUGGAUCCCGCUAGGUCUCAAUAUGAGGCAGAUAAACAUGACCUAAAGGCUGACCUACGUUAUGGUUCACUAACAAGGCCAUUCGGGGAAGUAUAUAGUCGAUAGUGCCUGCUUUGAUUUCCACCUACUCCAUACAUCCAACGCUCCCCCUCCUAAAAUAAGGGUGACUCAACUAGAGUUCGUGCGCACACAUUCACUCUAAUACUUAUUGCAGAAAGAAUUGACUCGGGUUAUGCUCAUGAUGCCAGAUAUAAAGCGGUAACACACAAUAGAAAACUGUAAACACGUAGCACUCAAUAAUGAUAAAAUAAACAACAAAUGAUAACACAAACAAAGUUUAUACACCCAUAAUGUCAAACUAAGCCGAUACAACUCCAAAAAUAAGCUCGAAUUCUGAAAAUUCCCCAGCAGAGUCGCCAGAGCUGUCACACCCCCUUUUCACUUCAAAAAAAGAAUGAUUUUAUGUUUCAAAAGGGUUUUCAUUAUUAAGUGACAAAAAUAAAAAUUUGUUUCGAAAAGGACUUUUAUAUUUAAAAUUCAGAGUCACCACUUGGCAUAAAUCGGGUGUGCCAAGUCACCUUUGAAAAUCCUUUUUCAAAAUAAUUUUGACUCUAAAACUGAUCCACGAACAGAGAUUCAGUUAAGGAAUUUUGUUGAUCGAGAGAAAGGUGUUAGGCACCCCUCGAUCUCGUGGUUCAACCACCAUCACUUGGUGGAGCGUAUCGGCUAAUUUGACAUGGCAAAUGCAUAAACCACACAAAAAAAGAACAUAAACAAUCUAUCAAACACUCAAAAUAAAAUAAAUCCAAAAUUAGUGUCCAGUCUAAUUAUGCAGUAUAAAAAUAGAAACAAUGCGAAAAUAUAAAUCCUAUUCUAAGCUAAUCCUGAAACUAUGCUCCAAUGCCUUACCCGAUGCCUCAGGCCUUGAUCACGAACCUCCUUUGCAUACAUGGUAUGUUGGGGUAUUCCCUGGACAAAUCAAUAAAAAUCCCUCGGGGCAUUCCCUGGCCAAAUAAGUAAAUUUUUAAAGCGAUAAAAAUGGAAAAAAAUCACUCAACACAAAUAUUUACACAUUCGAUAAUUAGAAUCCUAUGAGUUGUCUACCCUAAAAUCUAGAAUUUGCCUAUCGAUUUAAUGACCUAAUCAUGCUACUAUUUUAUUCAACAAUAUUCAUACUUAAACCAAAUUAAACAACGUAUUAAUCAAUCCAAAUUUACCCUUUUGUCAAUUUCUCAAUUCCACCCCCGAAUCGAAUCUCAAAAUAAUUAAACUAAUUCGAUACGUGGUUUACCAAUAAAAAUUUCACAUCUAAUUCCAACGUCAAACAAUGCACAACAAAGAUUCACACACACUAAACACAUAAAUCAUUCAGGACUACGUAAAAUUAAAGGGAGUGAAGACAGAAUUGGACCUCAAGGUUUCUUUUAUUCAAUUAACUUGAACCGCUUUCAACAGCGAAAGAGCCUCAGAAUCAAUGAACCUCAACCUUGAACUCACCAAUAGAAAAAAACCAACCUUGAUAUAGUUAUUUGAUUGUGGUUUUCAUCGAAACAAUCGUAUCAUGGAACUAUUUUGGGCGAUUUUGAGACGUUUUCUGGUGAGUUUCAAAUGGAGUCAGACGUAAAACGUAUUGAACUUAGUAAAUUUGGUCGAAUGGAGUUGGGUUUAAUUCUUCGUAUCGUUAGAGCUCUGGUGAGCUCCAACAAUGAACGAAAUGGAGAAGAAAGGACGGUAGCAAUAUUUUCUGGUGAGAACCUAUAGGAAAAAUCCUCUUCUCUUGCGAUUUCUCUCUUUUCCUGUUGAUGUUGUCUUGUUUGAUAUCCCCUCCCCUAUUCUGUCACUGUUUCUAACCUAUCUUCCUCCGUUCACCUUUCCCAAUCUCUAAUUCAGCUAUAUUUUUCCCUUUUUGAUGAUGUGUGUAUAUACCCGUAUAUGGGUGUGUGUGCAAAUUAUUAAGGAUGAGCGAUUAUUGUGGUUGUGUGUGUAGUGUGUAGAGAAUUCUAUGUGAAUGAGUGUAUAUGUGUGGAGAAUUAAAGAAUAGAAGAUUCUUUUAUGUGUGCCCAUGAAGAAGCAGGUGAAUGAGUGUAUGCUCUCCUCUUUUUCACUUUAUCUUCAUUGUUUUUCUUUUAAAGAGAAGCCAAAUUCGUGAGUGGUCCCCUUUUUUUUCUAUUUGCCCUGAGUAUUGAUAAUGGGGGGUGCAUGGGGUAGGUAGGGUAGGAAGGGUAGGGUAUGGUGAGGUGUCUACUUUUAAUUAGAGAGGUUGUUAGGAUAGGAUUAAAAUAAGAUAAAAUUUGUUAAGGGUUGUUAUUUUUGUAUUUUUUGCGGGGUAUAAUUACAUAGGUGAGGGUACAUGGUAGGAUAAAGUAAAAAAUGGGUAAAAACGAUAUCGGGGAGGGACGAAAUUAGGUGUCUACACAUAUGUCUUCCAUUGUAACAGAUGGUUCAUCUGUCGCAACAGAUGAUUGAUCUAUUUAAACAGAUGUCUCGUACGUUGUAUUCGCGUUUGCAUGCUAUCUAUUGUUGAAAAAACAACAUAAUAAUAGUUAUAAUAUGGAAAAUUCAACUAAAAAUCAUAAUUUCAUUUACCAAAGUCUCCUAUGAAGUAAUGCCAAAGUGAAAAGUAAUGUAUGAAAUAAAAUUUGACCUAAGAAAUUGGUUAAAUAGCAGCAGUAACGGUAACAACAACAACAACAACAACAAUGGCCAAAAAGAAUAAGAUAAAGAUGAUGAUAAUGAAGCAUAAGAUUAUGAAUAAAGUAGAAGCAACAAUGAACAACAAAAAUCACUAAGAGAGAGAAAAAUAAUGGAUGAGAAGAGAGAGAAAUGUGUUUUUUCCCUCCAUUUCCCGUUAUAUUGUGUAAUCAUUUGGAUCAAAGUGUAAAUUUAAAAAUUUAUGAGUUAUUCUCAAACUUAACCAAAUUUCUUAAUCCAUAAUAAAGUAAUUGUCACCUACACUCAAUUAUUAGGACUUGAGUCACCUACACCUCAUUUUCAAACUCUUUUGUCACUUUUAGCUCAAAGCCCCAUGUAACUACUUAAUACACAUAAUAUUAAAACUAUAACAAAAAUAAAAAAAAAUCAAGAUUUAUAUUUUGAUUGAAUUGCCUCACAAAAUUAACUUUUAUAUGGCACAUUUGUAUCAUAAGUAAAAUAAUAAAGGUGAAAAGGGAUUAACAAUAUCAUUAUAUAAAAAGUUAAAUAGAGGGAUUCGAUGAAUUAAUUAUGUGUUGAAGAACUUGAUUUUCCUAAUAAAGCUAAACAAAAAAGAUGACUUUCACCUUUUAUUUUUUUAUUGAUUAGGAGGGAAUAUUGUCAAAAUCUAAAAUUCUAAUGCCGUGAUUGUAAUAUCCGGUACCUCCUAAGACUAGUCGAAUAUGGAUAAAUUUAUUCAAUAUUGAGAUGAUAAGAUGAUAAGUGGCUAAAUUAUUAACUAUCUAUUAUGUGAAGGUAUUUGAAGUAUUAAAUAAUGUUAGAGGUUAAAUGAUAAGGUCUUUGUUCUCAUGGUUUAACUAAAAGCCUUGCGGGGCACAUGAGAAUCCCCCAAGCAAACUUAAUAAUGAAAUACGUGUGGUGUACAUGGAAAUCCCACAUGUAAAAUUAAUAAUAAUGGAAUCUUUGGGUACAUGAGAAUCCCUUAAAAGGUUGGAUAAGGGCAUUACUUGAAAGCUAUAGUCAGUAUAGCAAUACCACUUCUUAUAGCCUUGGUCAGUAAUAAAUAAAAUUGGUGGUUUGGUUGCGUGCUAAUGAUUUUAAUUGGGUAAUAAUGGCAGGUUGUGAUAACUAACCAUGAAGGUGUGAGUCCAAUGGACGGAUACUAAAAACUCAUAUUUGCCGAUAUAAGGAUUGGUCAUGGAAACCAUAUACUUGUGAGUUACACGACAAUCCCAUAAGUUACACUUGUAUAUAUGUAUCAAGGAGGGUGAAGGGUACACAAGAAUUCCCUACCCCUAUGGUAUCUUUGGUUCAUGCAGCUACAAUACUGGGGCCCAUCCAGGGGGUAACACUGGACCCAUAUAGCCUAUGGGUGGUUUUAUGACGGUUAAGCUACACAUGCCCAGGUUAAUGGUUGUAAAGGAAUUCUAAACCCGGUUCUCUUUCCCAGCACAUAUAUAUAUAUAUGCGCAUAUGUGUAUGGAUGUGUAUGCAUAUGGUUGUUUACCUGGUUUUAAAGGUUGGAAUUAUGUUAUCCUUAUCCUGAGUGCAUGUUAGCGUUCACCCGCUUAUCCCAAUAUGUGUAGCCGCAUGAACCAGAGAUACCAUAGGGGUAGGGGAUUCCUGUGUACCCUUCGCCCUCCAUGAUACAUAUAUACAAGUUUAACUUAGGGGAUUACCGUGUACCCAAUAAGUAUAUGGUCUCUAUAACCAAUCCUCAUGUAAGGAAACAUGAGUUUCCAAUGUCCGUCCAUUGGACUUAUACCUUCACGAUUUGCUAUCACAAUCCACCAUUAUUGCCUAAUUAAAACCAUUAGCACACAUCCAAACCACAAAUUCCAUUUAUUAUUAACCAAGGCUAUAAGAAGUGGUAUCUUCAUACCGACUAUAGCUUGAAAGAAAUGUUCUUAUCCAAUAUUUUAAGAAAGGAUUCCCAUGUAUCUAUAAAUCUCAUUAUCAUUAAAUUUAUUUGGGAGAUUCCCAUGUACCCUACAAGUAGUUUAUUAUUAAGUUUGAUUGGGGGAUUCCCAUGUACCUCUCAAGGCUUUCAAUUAAACCAUGACCACCAAGACCUUACCAUUUAGAGAGGAUAUUGAGAGUGUUUUUGUCUUUCUAAGUGAGUUAUAAGAGGCCACCAAGUGUUAUAUAAUGUAGAGACUUAAGGGUUUUGAGGUGGGAAAGGUCCAAACUUUCCUCAAAAGCUGAAAAUUUGACUGCAGGAGGGUACGACCACACCUCCUAAACCGUACCCUAGGGUAUGAGUGGUACCAUUAUCUCAUACCCUAGAACCAUCUUGGACCCUCAUACUGACCAACAUAUGGCCACUUAGGGCUAACUCAUAUCCUAAUAUACGAGAAGUACCCCUUAACCCAUACCCUAGACAAAAUCUACUAGGCUAAGUUUAGGGCAUCAUACGACUUAGCCAUGUACACCUCUUACCCUAACAUAUGCAAAGCAAGAUGGCUACUCAUACUUUAGAAAGAAUACAACCCAACCAUGUUGAUUAUCAUACGAGAGGAGGCACUCUAAAUCAUACCACAUCAUCUACUAGUACUCAAAAGUCAUAUGAUGUCUACUGAGCUUAAAAUUAAGAAAUUUUCCUAGAGGUAAAGACCCAGGGUAUUUCAAACUCCUCCACUUGGAUCAUGCUUCUUUAAAUGAUGGGUAAAGGCAAGCACAAACACAAGUUAACACAUUAAUACACAUCAAACAUCCCUUCAACCAAAUUAGAAAAAAAAGUAAUAAAAUAAAGAUGAGAAGAUCAACACAUACCUCAAGCAUAAUUUUCAAAAUCAGUGUUAGGAAUGAGUACUUUGGACUUCAUAUCCUCUUGAGCGUCCCAAAUAGCUUCCUCAGACUUUUGGUUCCACCAUAGAACCUUCACUAAAGCCACUCCUUUUGUUCGCAACCGACGAACUUUCCAACCCAAGAUCCUUACUGGGACCUCCUUAUAGGACAAACAGUCCAAAAUAUCAAACCCUCCCAGAGGAACAACAAAUGAAAGAUCACUACACCUUUUUGCAACACAUACACAUGAAAUACUGGAUAAAUGGAACUCAUGCUAGAUGGAAACUCCAAUUCAACUUACAAUUUCCCAGAGACACACCACUAUGAGAUCCUGAAUCUAGCUACACACUACUUCCAAAUUUAAGCCUAUUCAGGUCUAAAAGAAUUUAACUUAGUGAAAUACCCUGGAUUUUGAACCUUAGAAAAUUUCCUAAAUUUUUGGUUUUUAGUCAAGAUACGACUAGAGGGUACAGGUCAUAUGCUGGAGUACAAUUGGUAAGGAUUGGUUGUACACUAACCAGUGAUGGUUGGUGUGUUGGAUUGGGUUCUGGAAUGGGUAUGACUUAGACAAUAUGGAACUAUUGCAUGGCAUGGCUUGGUAGUAGAACCCUAAAUGGAAUAAAUAGUUUAAAUAGUUUGGAAUGGUUAAAUUGUAAGGUUUAGUAGUCAUGGUUAUGGUUAAUUAAACAUCCUAGUUGGGCAAAGGGAAUACCCCAAGUAAACAUAUUAAUGAGCAACUUGUGGGGUACAUGGGAUUCCCUCAAGUGAACUUAAUAAUGGAACACUUGUGGGGUACACGGGAAUCCCCCAAGUUAACUUUAUAAUAUAAUCUAUGGGUACAUGGGAAUUCCUUUACUUAAAAAGGUUGGCUAAGGAGAUUAUUUGCAAGCUAUAGUCGGUAUGACGAUUCCACUACUUAUAGUCUUAGUUAAUAAUAAUGGAAUAAUGGUUUGGUUGGUUGGAAAUAGUUUUAAUUAGGAAUUAAUAGCAGGCUGUGAUAGCUAACUAUGAAGGUGCGAGUCUAAUAGACGGACAUUAGUGACCUUAUAUGAUACUAUGAGGUACAUGGGAAUCCUCUAAGUACACUGUACAUAUGUAUCAUAGAGAGCGAAGGGUGCUUAGGAAUCCCCUAUUAUUAUAGUAUCUCUGGUUUGUGCUACUACAUGCAUCAAGGCCCAUUCAAGGGGUUGCAAUUAACCCAUAUAGACGAUGGAUGGAUUUAGAAUAGUUAAGCUACACAUACCCAGGUUAAUGGUUUGAAAGGCAUGCUAAACUCGGUUUCCUUCCUCGACAUGGUUAUAUUUAUAUAUAUGAAUGGUUUGCUUACUUGGUUUUAAUAGAUGACAUUAUUUUAUCCUUAUCAUGAGUUUAUGCUAGUCUUUACUCACUAACCCAUCUUUGGGUGGCUGUAUCCCCAAAUGAUAGAGAAACCAAACAUUCUACUCUUUCUGCUUAGUGAUUGAAUUAAGGAUUAACUACUGGAUUGAAAUGGUGAGCUUCUAUAUUCUAAAAGGCUCUAUUUCAUAUCAUGGAUGUCUUUACAUACUUGGUUUAUUUUAUAGAUAUUGGUUUUUUCUAUGGUUGGGUGCAUGUCCCAACCAAAUAUUUUUUUUGGAUAGAGGCUUGUAUGACUCUGUAGAUUAGAAUGAGAGGGAUCGGUAUUGGUGUCACCCAUAGUAUUGGCAUUGGUAUUUAGGCUAAUACCGUUGGACUGAAUUUAUGAUUGUUCCAUCCUCUUUUAUUUUGGAUUAUAUAUAUUUAUAUUGGAAUUCAUUUGGUUCACAGUUUGGUUUUGUAGUGGUUAUUGGUUGGAUAAUGGAUAGUUGGACUUGUUUGGGUUAGUCAUGAUUAUAGACCUAUCCCAGAGUCUUAGGUUAUUCUUAAUUGCUAUCGUUAUAUAUAUUUGAGAUUUAUUCGACUCAGGAUAUAUGUAGGUUAUUUGGGUUAGGUAACAGGGGCCGUCUCCAGUCUUAGUUAGAUAUAGGAUAUCUAUUAUAAUAAGUCCUUAGUUUAAGUCGUGUCAAGUUGGUAUCAAAGCUUUAGGUUUAUGGUCAAUUGGGAGUCCUCAAGCCACGUCGACCAGAGUCUUUUUUAAGGGUGUGUAGUACGCCACACUUAUAAGGAAGAGGCUACAAAAUAUAUAGGAAUAUUUUACUUUCUUAGUAUUCUAUUUUCAAGCUUGGAGUCUAAGUCUUGGAAUCUUAUCUCAUUUUGGUUUUUUUAUUUUUCAAAUUAUGCCUCGACAAUCUGAGAUGCACGGUAUCUCUUAUGUUCUAAUUAGGGACCAUGUUGAACGAACAUGAGGGAUCCAUACUCGAUCUAGAGGUCUGGUCCUUGAUAUUUCUAGAGUUUCACCAGUUGGUACUCGUCUUCCUCGGGAUAAGGUGACAAAUGCAUUAUUUCAUCAAUUGAUUCAUGUUAUUGCACAGUUGGUUACUCAGGUUAAGCGGGAUGCAUCUGGUGUUACAUCUCUUGAGGCCAUAAGGGUUAGCCAGUUUAUGAAGAUGAAUCCUCCUAAUUUUACUAAUGUGAAGGUAGAGGAGAAUCCUUAGGGUUUCUUGGAUGAAAUGUAAAAAAUCUUUACAGUGAUGCAGUCCAUAAAUAUGGAAGGGGUGAUUUUUACUGCUUACCAGUUUAAGGAUAUGGCAUACUAAUAACACAAGGAGUAGGAUAGGGUAAGAGGUAAUGUUGAGGAGUCAACAUUAUAGGGGACUUUUUAUAAUACUUUUUAGGACCACUUCUUUCCUUAGGAGUUGAGAAAAGUAAAGACAAAGGAGUUUGCUAAUCCGAGACAAGGAAAGAUGUCUGUCAAGGAAUAUCUCUUGAAAUUUCAUCAGCUGUCAAGGUAUGCUCCAGAUUUGGUGUCUAAUAUGAGGGACAAGAUAAGAAAUUUUUCUUCUAGACUGUCUUGGGAUUUGACCCUUGAAAUCAAGAUUGCAUUGCUAAUUAAGGGUAUGGAUAUGUCUAGGUUAGUGGUUUGUAUGCAAUAGGUGGAGAAAGAAAAGAGAAAGUAGGAUGAAUUUGGGUAAAGGUAGGGUAAGAAGUUCAGGUCUUUUGAACAAAGUAGUGGGCAACAACAAGGUAGUCGGGAUGGUAGCAAGUGGCCAAAGAAAAAGUGGGGGAGUUUUGGUUUCUUCUCUACAACCAGUGCUCCUUACCCGAAAUAAUUGGGUGAUAGGCGUCAGUAGGGUAGAGAUAACUUUUGAGCAUAGGGUGACCAAUCCCAGGCAAGUGGGUCUCAGUCGGCCUCAUCAUGUGCUCCUUUUUUAUUUUAUGGUAGGUUGCAUAGGGGUUUCUAUGAUAAGAGAAGGGAUAGGUGUUUCAAAUAUGGUUAGCCAGGCUAUAUGCUUAGAAACUGUUUGGUUAGUAAGAGUUCUUCAAGAGCGAGUUAGGCUCUGGUUGCUUCAUCUAUAGCUCCUGAACCAAAAGAUGCUGUUUCUGUAUCUGUUUCUACUUUUGGUACAGGCACAAGUUGGAAUAGGUUAUAUGCUCUUGCUACUCUACAGGAAUCUGAGGCAUCACCUAAUAUUAUUACUAGUACGUUAUUAAUCUUUUCCCAUGACAUAUAUUAUUUGCUUAAUUCGGGGUCCACUCUUUUAUAUGUGACCACAUUUAUGGCUGUGUAUUUUGGUUUUGAUGCUGAGGUUCUUUUGGAUUCUUUUUCUAUUUCUACCCUGGUAGGUGACUCUGUGAUUGCUAAAAGGGUCUAUAGGGUGUGUGUGGUAUCUGUUGGUUGUAGACAAACUUUGGUAGAUUUGUUUGACCUUGAUAUGGUGGAUUUUGAUAUUAUUCUAGGGAUGGAUUAGUUACACUCUUGUUACAUGUCCUUAGAUAAUUGGACCCAUAAGGUUGUCUUUAGGUUCCUUGGUGAACUAAUUAUUGAGUGGGAUGGUGGUUCCCUAGCUCUUAGGGGAAGGUUUAUUUCUUAUCUUAGAUCUUGGAGAUUAAUCUCAAAAGGGUUUCUCUAUCAUCUAGUCCAGGUAAAGAUUUUAACUCGAAAGGUCCUUCUUUACAUUCGGUUCUAGUGGUAAAUGAGGUUUUUGAGGUCUUUCUGGAUGAUCUUAUUGGUGUUCCUCCGGAUAGGGAGAUUGAGUUUGGGAUUGAUUUGGUUUUAGACACUCGUCCAAUAUAUAUUCCUCCUUAUAGAAUAGCUCCUGCUGAGUUGAGGAAAAUUAAGAAGUAACUUAAGGAGCUUUUGAAUAAGGGUUUCAUUUUCCCUAGUGUAUCCAUGUGGGGUGCACCGGUGUUAUUCGUGCGAAAAAAGAAUGGUUCCCUUUGGAUGUACAUUGACUAUCGAUAAUUGAAUAUGGUACAGUUAAGAACAAGUAUCCUCUUCCAAAGAUAGAUGACUUGUUUGAUUUGUUGCAAGGUGUUAAAUUCUUUUCGAAGAUAGAUCUUUGGUCUGGGUAUCAUCUCUUAAGAUUAGGGAGGAAGAUAUCCCUAAGAUGGCUUUUCGUACUUAGUAUAGGCACUUUGAGUUCCUAGUUAUGUCAUUCGAUUUGACUAAUACCCUAGUGGCAUUUAUGGAUUUGAUGAGCAGGGUUUCAGGCAGUUUCUGGAUCUUUUUUUCAUUAUGUUCAUUGAUGACAUUCUGGUUUAUUCUAAGAGUGAGGUAUAUCAUGUUAAUCACCUCUGUAUGGUGUUGCAGACCUUGAAAAAGCAGUAGUUAUAUGCCAAAUUCUCCAAGUGUGAGUUUUUGUUGAACACUGUAACUUUUUUUAUCAUAUUAUUUAUAGUGAGGGGAUCAUGGUGGAUUCAUAAAAGGUGGUUGUGGUUAAAAGGUGACCUAGAUCUAUGACUCCAACCAAUAUUUAAAGUUUCUUAGGUUUGGCUGGAUAUUAUAGGAGGUUUGUGGAAAGCUUCUUGACGAUAGUUUCCCUAUUGACUAAGUUGACUCAGAAGAAGGUAAAGUUUUCUUUGUUGAAUGCUUGUGAGGGGAGUUUCAAGAAUCUAAAAGAUAAGAUAAUUUCAACUCUGAUUUUGACGUUACCUAAAGGUAAUGAGGGGUUUGUGGUUUAUUAUGAUACAUCUCGGGUAGGACUUAGAUGGAUUUUGAUUCAACAUGGUAAGGUGAUUGCCUAUGCUUCCAGGCAGUUGAAGGUACAUGAGAAGAAUUAUCCUACUCAUGAUUUAGAGAUUUUAGUUGUGGUGUUUUCUUUGAAAAUCUGGCAACUUUAUUUAUAUGGAGUGCACGUGGACAUCUUUUCAGAUCACAAGAGUCUACAGUAUAUGUUCAAUCAGAAGGAGCUAACUCUUAGGCAGAGGAGAUAGUUGGAGCUUCUCAAGGACUAUGAUAUGAGUCUUUACCACCACCAAGGUAAAGAUAAUGUGGUUGUUGAUGCUCUUAACAGGUUGUCCAUAGGAAAUUUAGCUCAUAUGGAUAAGAAGAAAUAGAAAUUGGUGAAGGAUACUUACUGCUUGGCUAAUUUUAGAGUUCACCUCUUAGAUUUCAAUGAUGGUGGUGUGAUGGUACAUGAAGUGGUUUGAUCAUAUCUUGGUAUAGAGGUCAAGGAGAAACAAAUACUAGAUCCCAUCUUGAUGAAAAACAAGAGUAAGGUUGAAGGUUAAGAUCAAUGAUAAUGGUUCUUUGUGGUACCAAGAGAGGUUAUAUGUUCCUGACAUCAAUGGGUUGCGACAAAGAGUUUUGGCUGAGGUGCAUGAAUCACACUAUGUUGUUCAUCCUGGUUCAAGAAAAUGUAUCAUGAUAUCAAGGAGAUGUAUUGUUUGAAUGGUAUGAAGAAGGAUAUAACUGAUUUUGUGGCCAAUUGCAUGGUGUGCCAAUAACUCAAAGUUGAGUACAUGAGGCCUGGAGGGUUGUAUCAGGAAAUUAAGUUACCUGAAUGGAAAUAGGAGGUAAUAAAUAUGGAUUUUGUUACUCGUCUUCCUUGGUAUCAAAACCAAUUUGAGUCAGUUUGGGUUAUCAUGGACAGGAUGACAAUGUCCGCUCACUUCUUACCGGUGCGAACUAACUUCUCGGUAGAGGACUAUGCGAGGUUGUAUAUUCAAGAGAUUAUAAAGCUAUAUAGGGUACCUGUUUUGAUUAUCUCUGAUCGUGGUACGUAGUUUUUAUCUUACUUCUGGCGAUCUUUUCAGAAGUGGCUGGGUACUAAGGUUAGUCUGAGUACUGCUUUUUAUCCGCAGAUGGAUUGGCAAGCAAAGAGAACUAUUCAGACAUUGGAGGACAUGCUUCGUGCAUGUGUGAUUGAUUAUGAUAUCAAUUGUGUUGAGCAUCUACCUUUGGUAGAGUUUGCUACAAUAAUAGUUAUCAUUGUAUGGUAGGAGGUAUAGAUCACCUAUUGGGUAGUUUGAGCUAGGUAAGGGAGAUAUUUUUGGUCCAAAUUUGGUUUAUCAGGAUAUAAAAUAGGUAAAGGUGAUUAAAGAUAGGCUUAAGGCUUCCCAAAUUCUCCAAUAAUCCUAUGCGGAUGUAAGGCGUAGAGAUUUAGAGUUUGAGGUUGGGGAUAAGGUAUUCCUAAAGGUAUCUCCCAUUAAGUGAGUGAUGUAGUUUGAUAAAAAAGGGAAGCUCAGUCCCUGGUAUGUGGGUCCUUUUGUGAUUUUAUGGAGGGUUUAUAACAUGGCGUGCGAAUUGGAGUUUCCCUCUAGUUUGAGCUCCAUUCAUUUGGUAUUUGAUGUCUCUAUGUUGAUAAAGUGUCUUGGUGAUCCUUUUUCAGUGGUUUCUAUGAGAGAAAUGGAUAUCUCGGAUUCUUUGUCUUAUGAAGAGAUACUAGUUGAGAUAUUGGAUCAACAGGUUCAUCGGUUAUGGACCAAAGAUGUUGCUUGGUUAAGAUUCUAUGGCGGAACCACAACGUGGAAGAGGCUACGUCGGAAGCGAAAGCAGACAUGAAGUCCAAAAAUUUGCAUUUGUUUUCUGCUUCAGAUAUUUGUGCGGAAGGUAUGUGUUCUUGAGCGCAUCUUUAUUUUCUAACUUAGUUAAGGGCUAGAAUAUAUAUUUGCAUAUUUAUUUUCUAACUUGGUUAAAGGUUGGAUUGAUAUUUGAUAAUGUAAAUGAAUCGUGCUUGUGUUUGACCUACCUUGUUCAUUAUUUGGGGAUGAAUGAUCCUAGUGGGAGAGACUGAAACACCCUGAUUUUUGAAAUCUUAGAAAAUUUCUGGGAUUUCUAGUUUCUGGUAAAGAUAUGACUAGCGGGUACAAGUCAUAUGUUGGGGUACAGUUGGUAAGGCUUGGUCUUAUACUAACCAGUGUUGAUUAGUGGUUUGGAUUGGGUUCUGGAAUGGGUACGACUUGGAGGAUACGGGUAGUAUGGUUUGGUUUGUUCCUUUACUUAAUAUGAGACUUAGUAACAAAAGUUGGAUCUGGGUACGAGUGGCUCACCAUGAGCCAAAAGAUAGGGUACAAGUCAUACCAUUGACUCGUAUGGAAGACAGUGAUCAAACCUCUUUUGAUUCUAUUCCGCCAGGGAUACGGUUUAGGGAUACUGAUUGUAUAGUUUGUGUACGACACGAAUUGGGUAAGUCAUAUGCUAGACAGUGUUGGGUUCAAGAAGGAGGUCUAGGGUAUGAGUGGUGGGUACCAGUCGUAUUGGAGGGUACGGAUGGUAUGGUGGAGUCGUACCUACCUGCAGGGAUUUUAUACAGUUAAGUUGGAGGUAAUCUGGAUAUUUUUCCACUUAACCACUUAAGGCCCCAUGACUUAUAACUCUAUUGGGAUAUCAUUUACCCUAUUAUUCUAAUCUUAAACACCUAGAAACACUCUCUAGUUCUCUCUAAGUAUCUUGGGUUAAAGAAGUCUAGGGUUUCAUCUAGAGGAGCAACUUGGGGCUUGUUUGAGUGAUUUCUUUCCAUCCACUUCAUAAACUAAGGCAUGUACUCCUCCCUCAUUGUUAGUUCCAACUAAAGGCAUGAUUUAUAUAAUGUUUUCAUGGCAUGAUUAUUGUAUGGUUUUGGGUUUUUAAAUAUAUGUUGGGGUUUUGGUAUUAAAUAUUUGGUUAUGAUUUUCCCAUGUUUUAAUUAUGUUUUACAUGCUUUAAUGGUGGUUUGGACAAUUGGUUGCAUGGGAAUGAUUAAUUUGUAAUUGGAAUUGGUUUUCGAAAAUACCAUGCCCCCAACAUAUUUGAUAAAUUGCCAAUAAGAAUGCUUUUAUUAGAUUAUUGAACUUUUAAUGGAACUAUUGCAUGGCAUGGUUUGAUAAUGGAGCUCUAAAUGGCAUAAAUGAUUUGUAAUGGUUAAAUGGUAAGGUUUAGUGGUCAUGGUUAUGGUUAAUUAAACAUCCUAGUUGGGCAAAGAGAAUACCCCAAGUAAACAUAUUAAUGAGCAACUUGUGGGGUACAUGGGAUUCCACCAAGUGAACUUAAUAAUGGAACACUUGUGGGGUACACGGGAAUCCCCCAAGUUAACUUUAUAAUAUAAUCUAUGGGUAUAUGGGAAUCCCUUUACUUAAAAAGGUUGGCUAAGGAGAUUGUUUGCAAGCUAUAGUCGGUAUGACUAUACCACUACUUAUAGUCUUAGUUAAUAAUAAUGGAAUAAUGGUUUGGUUAGUUGGAAAUGGUUUUAAUUAGGAAUUAAUAGCAGGGUGUGAUAGCUAACUGUGAAGGUGCGAGUCUAAAGACGGAUACUAGAAACUCAUAGUUAUCAACAUGAGGGGUAGUCAUAGUGACCUUAUAUGAUACUAUGAGGUACAUGGGAAUCCCCUAAGUACACUCUACACAUGUAUCAUAGAGAGCGAAGGGUACUUUCAAAUCCCCUACUCUUAUGGUAUCUUCGGUUCGUGUGGUUACACACAUUAGGGCCCGUUCAGGAGGUUUCACUGGACCCAUAUAGCCUAUGGGUGGUUUUAGGACAAUUAAUCUACACAUACCCAGGUUAAUGGUUUUAAAGGCAUGAUAAACCUGAUUCCCUUCCCUCGCAUGGUUAUAUAUAUGGUUGGUUUACUUGAUUUUACUGGAUGGUAUUAUUUUAUCCUUAUUCUGAGUUUAUGCUAGUGUUCACUCGCAAACCUAUCUUUGGGUGGCUCUACCCCUAUGCGAUGUAAGAACCGGCCAAUUUACUCCUCCUGCUUAGCAAUCGAAUCCAGGAUCAGCUAAUGGAUUGAAGUGGCAAGCUUCCAUAUUCCGAAAGGCUCUAUUUCAUAUCAUGGAUGUCUUUACAUACUUAGUUUAUUUUAUGGAUAUUGGUUUUGUCUAUGGUUGGGGACAUGUCCCAACCGAAUAAUAUUUUUCUUUGGAUAGAGGCUUGUGUGACUACUAUGGGUUGGAAUGGGUGGGAUCGGUAUUGGUGUAAGCCAUAGUAUUGGCUUUGGUAUUGGGGUUGAUACUGUUGGACUGAAUUUAUGAUUGUUCCAUUCUUUUUUUUGUUUUGGAUUGUAUAUAUUUAUAUUGGAGUUCAUUUGGUUCACGGUUUGGUUUGGUAAUGGUUAUUGGUUGGAUAAUGGAUGGUUGGACUUAUUUGGGUUGGUCACGGUUAUAGACCUAUCCCAGAUUCUUAGGUUAUGCUUACACACUAUAUUAUUAUACAUUCGGGAUUCAUCCGACUUAGGAUAUGUGUAGGUUGUUUGGGUUGGGUAAUAAGGGUGGUCUCUAGUCCUGGUUAGACUUGGGAUGCCUAUUAUGACAAGGCCCUGGUUCGGGUCAUGUCACUUAGGCAACGGGGUUCUAUUCCUUACAUCCAUCCUGAAUCACAGCUCCGCUUCUAUCACUAUAGUCAAGAUCAUGCCCCAUCAAGAUUCUCAAGUACUCAACAUAACGAUUUGGCAUAUCCGUCAAUCAUAACAUUCGAGCUUCUUUCUUCUAUACCUACGGUAUGGCCUACCCUUCUAAAGAUUUAGUAACCUCUUAUUAUCAUAAGGAUUCUUCACCACCAAAUCCUCUCCUAACUAGUCCCCAUGACAAUAACCUCACCUCAUCCUCCCCUUCUUCUCCAUAACCUUAGUUUUAGUAGUCACCCCAAAAUCUUCCCUUGAAGUCCACCACUAGAAGAAAAUAUAAGAUUAACCCACGACUUCUAUCUUAUUAAACCUAUAAGCACAAUAUUUCUCUCUAAUGGGUACCACCAAGGGCGUACACUAGGGACACUUGGUAAUCCUAUAACUAAAACGUCAUCCGUCCAAAUGCUACCUAAAGUCACGCAUGAUCUUACAAGCUCCAUGCCCUAACCCAUCCAAUGACUUAGCUCCAAUUUUAUCAGUUCAACCUAAAUGUCUGGCCUAUAAGUCACAACUUUCCCAUUCCUGUAUCCCCUAAGCCAUCAACCUCACCCUUUCUGCAUACCUCACUAAGCCUACUAUCUACCUCUAUGAUUCUCAUAUUGCUAUCUCCCGAGCUAACAGACUUCCUUUACUACUAUAAUACCCCAUACUUUACCUAGCUUAGUUUAUCUUUUAGUGUGUUAAUGGUUAGCUUUGAAAGGGUAUAACUCUUGAUGCAUGUGGAAUUUUCCAGAUCUAGGCCCACCAAUAUGUAUUGAAUCAACUUUCUAAUGAUACCAAUUUUUUCUUAAUUCGAUGUUCGGUUGGGAAGUUAUGACGUUUUUAGUAAAAGUAGUAUGGCAUCGCGACAGGCACUGCAUCGCGAUGAAGGACAAAUUUGCUAUUUUCCAAUUUCCAGUAGAGCACCGCGAUUAGCCCGCAUCGUGGUAAAGUUAUUAUUCCCAUUCAUUUCAUUCUAGGAGCUCAUCGCAAUUUACCUAUAUCGCGUCCAAAUUCCAAAAUGGACAGCCACUGCAUCGCGGUGGAGUGCAAAAUGGCACUCAUAUAUUUUACAUGAUGCAAUACAAUUACACCGUAUCACCCUAGAGGCCAAAAUGGCAAUUAUCCCUUAUCCAGUAAGCCACCGCAGUACCACCGCAUCACGGUUGGGCUAAAAAUUAGGUUUUCCAGUUCCGAGUAAGAUUUUAAAAACGCAAUCUAGUCUUUUUCCAAGCCCCCAAAUCGUGUAAAACACAAGAUUAAACCUAUUCUAAGCAUUAUAUGCUCACUUUUCAUCAAAUUACUCACCAAGAAAACCCUAGAACUCAAAACUUAAUCCCUAAGAAAUCAAAAUUCCACCAUUCUUUUUCCAUGAUAACUCAAAAUUCAAGGUUCCCAAUUUCGGACCUUCAAGAAUUCUUCUUCAAUAGCUCAAAUAGGAAUUCGAGUUCAAACUUCCUUAGUAAUUGCAUCAAUUAAGGUAUGUGGGGUUAUGAACAAGGAUAUACUUUCAUCCUUGUACCCAAAAUUACUUUUUAAUUAAAAAUUUACAUGAUUUUGUAUGUUUACCCAUGAAUUUCAAAUUAGGGUUCAUACCCAAAUAUUGCUAUUUGAAGAUUAUGAGAUUUUAAGUGAUUUAGAUGUUGAAUUGCAUGUCUAUUAUCGUAUUUUCAUGUGUAUGAUAUAAAUUCCCAGAUUUAGAAUUGAAUUAUUAUUAUUUUUAUUACCAAGCAUAAACCUUAUGAUGAUUUGACAUGAAUUUGAUGCAUGGGUUAUUAAGCCCUAAUUGAAUAUUGAUAUUUCAAGAAUGUUUGUGCUUCAAGCACCCUAUGAUUAGUUUAUUUUAAGAUUUUUGAUAAAGAUUUGAUAUUUUGAUCUCAGCUUAGACAUGGAAUCCACUCUACAGUCUUAGUUACAGUUUUAAUUAACAUAUAUAUAGUUGGUUUUCAUUAUAAACCAUUAUACUAGUUUUAAAGUGGAAUUCCAAUAGAAUGAGCAUAUAGAUUAAAGGGAGUAGUAUUUAGCACCGAGUUGGGUAUGUUCUUAUUCCCCAGAACUACGAGCCAACGUAGGUUCAGAUUAUCAGAUUACUCCUAUUUCUAUUUGGAUGACAGAUACAGAUGUUAUCACUUAGAUUAGGUUAUACUCCUUGCAAGAGUAUGAUACCUCUCCCCAACGUGAGGUUUUCCCAUAAAGGAACUAGAUGUUGGACACUAUAAUAGCUCGUAUAGUGUAUGUCAAUUAGAAGAAGCUCUCUAAAGCCUACAGACUACAGAUUUCAGAACAGAAUAGUCCUAACAUAAAAACUUUUAGAAACUAAGUGUAAAGGUUCACAACUUUAUUCAGAUAUUGUUUUACAAAAGACAUUAGCAAUAAGAUUUCAGAUUUUAGUUUACAGAUCUAAAAGUGAGUCCUUUCUAAACUUAGAUAGUAUGAUUUCAAGAUGGAACACAAGUACAACUUUUAGAACUAAGCGUUAUGACUCACUAGAUUUAUACAGCCUGCUUUAGAUUUUCAGCUUUCAGUUAUUCAAGCUUAUGUGAGUCAUCUACACUUAGUAUGCAUUCUUUUGCAAAUUUAUAAAGAUGUUGAGAUAUUGUUUUUACUUAUGCAUUCACCCCCGCAUACUCAGUACAACCUAGAAGUACUGAUCCAUAUAUAUGUCUAUGUGCUACAUUGUCUCAUAAUGUAGGUUCAGGUGCUCAGUUUCAGCAGUGUGAGUGAUUUUGAGCAUCUCUAUCUGCAUCCCAACAGUUGGUGAGUCCUCAUAGUUCGGGGACCCAAUUAUUCAGUUUUUUAGCUUUUUAGUUUAGAUGAUUCAGUAUUUACAAUAGUUCAAGUCAGCUGGGGUUUGUCCUAGUGACUCUCUAGUUUUAGUAGUAAAGGCUUGUCAGACUGCUAGAUAUGAUUUAGAUUAUCCAGUAUUGAUUGUUCAGACUCUUGAGUCUAGUAUUUUCAUAGAUUAUAUUCAGAUAAUUUCAGUUAGCUUAGAUAAGAUUCCAUAUUUUAGCUUUGAUUAUGUAUCCAUAUUUCUCUAUUUUGAGCUUCAGAUUUAGUAGAAAGCUGAUAGGGUUAGCUUAAGGUUACUCAUAGUCUUGAGCACUGUGUGAUAUCUCGGGACCUAUUUUUGAGGCGUUACAAACUUGGUAUCAGAGCCUAAGAUUUAUAAGAGUCCCAGAGAGUUAGACAUGCCGUGUUACAUAGAGUCUUGAUCAUGGGUGUGAAGCGUGCCACAUUUUUUAGCAAGAGGCUAUGGGAUAUUUUUAGGAAAUCAUUUCUUUCUUUUAUGAUCUAUCAUGGUUACAGUAUCUCCAUCUAAUUUUAACUCAUGCUUUUAUGUGAUAGUUGAAUAUGCCUUUUCGUCGAGCUAAUGCUCGCAGAAAUGAUAACCAGCCACCCCAGCCUGCUGACCCUCUUAAUGAGAAUGUAUACCAUUCUAAAUUUUGAGUUGCCUUUUAGGUAUUGGCUAAAGCUGUGAUUUCUAAUAUUUAGGAAAACCAUCAGGCGGUAGUCCCAUUUCAGUAAAAUGGGGAUUCAGUAGCAAGCAGAAUCCGAUACUACAUAAGAAUGAAUCCGCUAGAGUUCUUUGGGUCAAAAGCAGGUGAGCACCUACAAAUUUAUUUUGAUGAGGUGAAAAAGAUCACCCAGAUUAUGCAUGUUUCUGAGAUGGAGACUGUAGAGUUGGCAUCCUAUAGAUUGAAAGAUAUAACGUAUGAUUGGGUGGUUAUAUGAAAGAAUGGUAGAGGUAAUAUGUAGCUCAUAUAAGUUGGCAAGUGUUUCAGGAUGUAUUUCUAGACAGGUUCUUUACGUGUGAAAUGAGAGAAGCUAAGGUAGAGGAGUUUGUGAACCUGAGGUACAUCUCGAUGAUAGUGAAAGAGUACUGCCUUAAGUUCAAUCAGUUGUCUAAGUAUGCCCCUGAUACAAUGGUUGACCCUAGGGUGAGUAUGAGUAAGUUUGUUACUGGAUUAUCUGGUUUGGUAGUCAAGGAGUGUAGGAUUGCAUGUUACUGGAUUAUCUGGUUUGGUAGUCAAGGAGUGUAGGAUUGCAUGUUACUGGAUUAUCUGGUUUGGUAGUCAAGGAGUGUAGGAUUGCAUGUUACUGGAUUAUCUGGUUUGGUAGUCAAGGAGUGUAGGAUUGCAUGCUCAUAGGGGAAACAGAUCUUUCUAGAUUGAUGAUUCAUGCUCAACAGAUUGAGGCAAAGAAGUUAAAGGGGAGAGAGAGGAAUAAGAAGACUAGAAUCGAGCAGUUUGAGUAUAGCCAGACUAGGUUUGGAGGGGGAAAUUGUUCGUAGUUUCAAAAUCGUUAAUCUAUGCCAGUACCAUCUUCUGCUUUAGCUCCCACCCCUAAAUCUAGGCAAGAACAGUAAGGUAAGACUUCUGUCCAGAUCUUAGAAUAGUAUGAGUGAAAAGCCCAGUUAUCCUCCAUAUGCUAAAUAUAGUAAGAAUCAUCCUGGUGAGUGCUUGCUUGGAUAGAAAAGUUGCUAUGGUUGUGGUAAGUUAGGUCAUAGAAUCAAAGAGUGUCUGCAUGCUCAGCAGGGAAACAGGGAUGUUCAUCCCCAGACUCAGGAUACUAGUGCACUAGCUCCUCUAGGUUGCCCAGGCCAUUCUUAGGGUGCAUCAUCCAGUAUCGGUGGCGGUCAGCUCCAGAAUUAGUUUUAUGCUUUACCAUCCCAUUAGAAGUAGGAGGAUUCACUAGAUACUAUUACUGGUAUACUUCAUGUCUUCUAUCUUGAUGUUUAUGUGUUGUUAGAUCUCGGGUCAAGUUUUUUUAUGUGACCCCAUUAGUUGCAAUUAAUUUUGAAGUAGGUCCUGAAAAGCUUUCUGAGCCCUUCUUGGUUUCUAUCCCAGUGGGUGAGACAGUUAUUGCCAAGCAAAUCUGUAGAAAGUGUACUAUCAUUGUCCUUCAUAAGAUCAUGCUAGAAGAGUUAAUAGAGUUAGAUAUGGUUGACUUUGACCUUAUUCUUGGUAUGGAUUAACUCUAUUCUUUUUAUGCAGCUAUAGAUUGUCAUACCUGAGUGGUGAAGCUUUAGUUUCCAGAUGAGACAGUCUUUGAGUAAGAAGGUAAUUUAAUGUCUCCUAAGAGUCAUUUCAUAUCCUAUUUUAAAGCCAGAAAGUUGAUCUCAGAAGGGUGUAUCUAUCAUCUAAUCUGAGUCAAAGACACUAAGUCUGAGGCUCCAACAGUUCAGUCAGUCCGUGUAGUCAAUGAGUUUCCUGAUAUUUUUCCUGAAGAUUUGCCAGGGGUACCUCCCGAUAAAGAAAUAGAAUUUGGUAUUAACCUUCUCCCAUAUACUUAGCCUAUCUAUAUUCCUCCAUAUCAUAUGGAUCCAGCCAAGCUUAAAAAGUUAAAAGAGAAACUUAAAGACCUCUUAGAUAAAGGUUUCAUAAAUCCUAGCGUUUCUCCAUGGGGCGCUCCCAUCUUAUUCAUUCAAAAAAAAGAUGAUUCUUUGAGAAUUUGCAUUGACUAUCAUCGGAUGAAUAAAUUCACAAUCAAAAACACAUAUCAUCUUGCUAGGAUUGAUGACUUAUUUGACCAACUCCAAGGUGCAAAUUAUUUCUCAAAGAUAAGCCUUAGAUCUGGCUAUCAUCAGCUUAGAGUAAGGGAAUGUGAUAUUCCAAAGAUAACUUUUAGAACCCGUUAUGGUCAUUUUGAGUUUCUAGUCAUGUCCUUCGAUCUAACAAAUUCCCCAACAACUUUCAUGGACUUGAUGAAUAGAGUGUUCAAAUUGUAUCUGGACAUGUUUGUCAUAGUCAUUAUCGAUGAUAUUCUUGUCUAUUCUCAUAGUGCGGAUGAUCAUACAGAUCAUCUUAGAAUUGUGUUACAAACUCUUAGAGGUCACCAGUUGUUUGCCAAAUUUAGCAAAAGUGAAUUUUGGCUAAGAUCAGUAGAUUUUCUUGCUCAUAUUAUUUCCAGUGAGGGCACUAGAGUUGAUCCCCAAAAGAUUAAAUUAGUGAGAAAUUGGCCUAAACCUAUCUCUCCCUCAGACAUUAAAAGUUUCUUGGGUUUAGCUGGCUAUUACAAAUGUUUUGUUGAUAGUUUCUCAUCUAUUUCAUCCUUUAUGUCUAGAUUGACCCAGAAGAAAGUUAAGUUUCAGUGGUUAAAUUCUUAUCAGAAGAGUUUUCAGGAGUUGAAGACUCGACUCACUCCAGUCCCAAUUUUAGCACUACCUGAUGGUACAAAUGGGUUCGUUGUCUAUUGUGAUGCCUUUAGAAUCGGUCUGGGUUAUGUUUUGAUGCAGAGAGGUAAGGUUAUAGCCUAUUCCUCUAGACAUCUUAAACCUCAUGAAAAAACUACCCAACCCAUGAUCUUGAGUUAGCUGCAGUUGUGUUUUCUGUGAAAAUCUGGAGGCACUAUCUUUAUGGGGUGCAUGUUGAUGUGUUCAUGGAUCACAAAAGCUUACAAUAUGUGCUUACUCAAAGGGAUUUAAAUCUUUGUCAUAGAAGGUGGUUAGAAUUAUCGAAGGAUUAUGAUAUGAGUAUGUUAUAUUAUCCGGGUAAGGUCAAUGUGGUGGUAGAUACCCUUAUUAGACUGUCUAUGGGCAGUGUUGCUCAUGUGAAGAAUUAUAAGAAAGAAUUAGUUUGAGAAGUUCAUCGGUUAACUAGAUUGGGUGUCAGGUUGGUUGGAUUAGCUGAGAGGAAUGUUUGGGUUCAGAGUCGUUCAGAAUCUUCUCUAGUCUCUGAAGUGAAGGAGAAGCAGGAUAAGGAUUUUAGUUCGGUCAACCUGAAGGGUUCAGUUAAAGACCAAAAAGUAGAGGUUUUCUCCGAAGGUAGAGAUGGUGUAUUGAGGUACCAGAAUAGAUUGUGUAUCCUAUGUGUUGAUGAUUUAAGGCAAUGGAUUAUGGCAGAAGUGUAUGGUGUGCGUUACUCCAUUCAUCCAGGAGCCACCAAAAUAUACCAUGACUUGUGGGAAAUCUAUUGGUGAAGUGGUAUGAAGAGAGAUAUCACAAAAUUUGUAGCUAAGUGUACAACUUUCCAACAGGUUAAGGUAGAGCACCAAAGACCCGGUGGUACGUUGCAAGAGUUUGGUAUUCCCAUUUUGAAGUGGGAAGAGGUGAACAUAGACUUUGUGACAGGGCUACCCUAUUCGCGUCGACAAUAUAAUUCGAUUUGGGUUACAGUAGAUAGAUUGACUAAAUCAGCUCAUUUAUUGCCAGUUCACACAUCUUACAUAGCUGAAGAUUAUGCUAAGCUGUAUAUUAGAGAGUUGGUUAUAUUGCACAGAGUUUCUUUGUCCAUCAUUUUAGAUAGGGGUACUCAGUUUACCUCUCAGUUUUGGAAAGUCUUUUAGAAGGGUCUUGGUACCCAAGUUCAUCUCAGUUUAACUUUUCAUACGCAAAGAGAUGGUCAAGUAGAGAGGACCAUUCAAACUCUAAAGGAUAUGUUGAGGGUAUGUGUUCUUGAUUUCAAAGGUAGUUGGGAUGACCACUUGCCGUUGAUCAAUUUUGCCUAUAAUAACAAUUACUAUUCUAGUAUUGAGAUGGCCCUGUUUGAGGCUCUUUAUGGGUGGAGAAGUAGAUCACCAUUUAGUUGGUUCAAAGUGGGUAAAGCCACUUUGAUUGGGCCAGAUAUGGUGUUUGAGGACAUGGAGAAAGUUCAGUUGAUUCUAGAGAGAUUGAAAUCAACUCAGAGCCGUCAGAAAUAUUAUCCAAACGUAAGAAAGAGAGAUCUUAAGUUUGACGUUGAUGAUCUUAUUUAUUUGAAAGUUUUACCCAAGGUGAAGAGAUUUUGCAAAAAGGGGAAGCUUAGUCCCCGAUAUGUAGGCCCCUAUAGGAUUUUGAGUCGUGUAGGAAAGGUAGCGUAUGAUCUUGAGUUACCCACAGACUUGUCAUCAGUUCAUCCAGUGUUCUAUGUGCCCUUAUUGAAGAGGUGCAUGGAUGAUUCAGCUGUUGUAGUCCCUCUAGAAAGUACAUAUAUUCGGAAUAACCUUUCAUACGAAGAACUUCCAGUAGAGGUUCUUGAUCAUCAGAUCCGUAGACUAAGGAACAAUGAAGUUCCCCAGGUCAAAGUUCUUUGGUAAAAUUAAUCUGUUGAGGGUGCAACUUGGGAAGCAGAAGCAAAUAUGCGAACCAAGUAUCCUCAUCUCUUCUCUAUGAACUCAAAUUCAGCCGAAGGUAACACUCUUCCUUAAUUCAGUUCUUUUCUAGUCUCUGAUUCAACCAUAUAGCCACCUUCAUAUAAAAUUCAUGCAUUCGCAAAUCAGUUCAAUCACUCAGUAUAUUUAGAUUCAGUCAUGCUGUUUGUUUCAGUUGUGCAUGCCAACAUAUAAACUUGAUUUCUCAGCAUUUUUAGUUUAAAUAGUCUCAUUCGAGGAUGAAUAUUCCCAAGGGGGAGAUAUUAUAAUACCACAUACUUUUUCCUAUCUCAGUUUAGCUUCUAGUAUGUCAAGGGUUAGCUUUGAAAGGGUAUAAAUCUUGAUGCAUAUGGAAUUUUCUAGCUCAAGAUCCACCAAUGUGUAGAUAAUUAAAUCAGCUCAGUUGGGAAGUUAUGGUGUUUUUAGUAAAAAUAGUAUGGCAUCGCGAUAAGAACCACGUCGCGAUGAAUGACAAAUUUGCUAUUUUUUGAUUUCCAGUAGAGCAGCUCAAUUAUCCCGCGUCGUGGUGAAGUUUCGGUUCUUGUUUUUCCCAUUCCAGAAGCUCAUCUAGAUUUGCCUAUAUUGCGUCAAAAUUCCCCAAUGGACAACCACUGCGUCGUGAUGAAGUGCAAAAUGGCAAUCGUCAUUUUACAGUGGUGCAACACGAUUACACCGCAUCACGCCAGAGGCCAAGAUGGAAAUUUUCCCUUUUCCAGUAAGCCAUCGUGAUAGUACCGCAUCACGGUGGGGCAAAAAAUUAGGUUUUUCAGUUCUGAGUAAAAUUUUAAUAAGGGCAAUCUAGUCUUUUCCCAAGCCCCCAAAUUGUGUAAAACACAAGAUUAAACCUAUUCUAAGCAUUAUAUGUGCACUUUUCAUCAAAUUACUCACCAAGAAAACCCUAGAACUCAAAACUUAAUCCCCAAGAAAUUAAAAUUCCACCAUUCUUUUUCCAUGAUAACUCAAAAUUCAAGGUUCCUAAUUUUGGACCUUCAAGAAUUCUUCUUCAAUAGCUCAAAUAGGAAUUCUAGUUCAAGUUUCCUUAGUAAUUGCAUCAAUUAAGGUAUGCGGGGUUAUGAACAAGGAUAUUCUUUCAUCCUUGUGCCCAAAAUUAGUUUUUAAUUAAAAAUUUACAUGGCUUUGUAUGAUUACCCAUAAAUUUCAAAUUAGGGUUCAUACCCAAAUAUUGCUAUUUGAAGAUUAUGAGAUUUCAAGUGAUUUAGAUGUUGAAUUGCAUGUCUAUUAUCAUAUUUUUAUGCGUAUGAUAUAAAUUCCCAGAUUUAGAAUUGAAUUAUCAUUAUUUUUAUUACCAAGCAUAAACCCUAUGAUGAUUUGACAUGAAUUUGAUACAUGAGUUAUUAAGCCCUAGUUGAUAUUGAAUUUUCAAGAAUGUUAAUGCUUCAAGCACCCUAUAAUUAGUUUAUUUUAAGAUUUUUGAUAAAGAUUUUGUCUUUUGAUCUCAACUUAGACAUGGAAUCCACUUUACAGUUUCACUUACAAUUUUAAUUAACAGAUAUACAGUUGGUUUUCAUUAUAAACCAUUAUACUAGUUUUAAAGUGGACUUCCAACAAAAUAAGCAUACAGAUUAAAGGGAGUAGUAUUUAGCACCGAGUUGGGUAUGUUUUCAUGCCCUAGAACUAUGAGCCAGUGUAGGUUCAGAUUAUCAGAUUACUCCCAUUUCUAUAUGGAUGAAAGAUACAGAUAUGGUCACUUAGAUUAGGUUAUACUCCCUGGCAAGAGUAUGACACAUCUCCCCAAUAUGAGGUUUUCCCAUAAGGGACUAGACGUUGGACACUAUGAUAGCUCACAUAGUGUAUAUCGAUUACAAGAGCCUCCCUAAAGCUUAUAGACUAUAGAUUUCAGAACAUAAUAGUCCUAACAGAAAAGCUUUUAGAAACUAAGUGUAAAGGCUCACAACUUUAUUCAGAUAUUGUUUUACAAAAGAUAUUAGCUAUGAGAUUUCAGAUUUCAGUUUGCAGAUCUAAAAGUGAGUCCUUUCUACACUUAGACAGUAUGAUUUCAAGAUGGAACACGAGUACAACUUUUAGAACUAAGUGUUAUGACUCACUAGAUUUAUACAACCUGCUUUAGAUUUUCAGCUUUCAGUUAUUCAAGCUUAUGUGAGUCAUCUAUACUUAGCAUGCAUUCUUUUGCAAAUUUAUAAAGAUGUUGAGAUAUUGUUUUUACUUAUGCAUUCACCCCUAUAUACUCAAUACAAUCCAGAAGUACUGAUCAAUAUAUAUAUCUAUGUGCUAUAUUGUCUUAUAAUAUAGGUUCAGGUGCUCAGUUUCAGCAACGUGAGUUAUUUCGAGCAUCUCUAUCUGCAUCCCGAUAGUUUGUGAGACCUCAUAGUUCUGGGACCCAAUUAUUUAGUUUUUCAGAUUUUUAGUAUAGAUGAUUUAGUAUGUAUAGACAGUUCGAGUCAUCUAGGGUUUGUCCUAGCGACUCUUUAGUUAUUAGUAGUAAAGACUUGUCAAACCGCUUGAUAUGAUUCAAAUUAUCCAGUAUCGAUUGUUCAGACUCUUGAGUCUAGUAUUUUCAUAGAUUAUAUUUAGAUAAUUUUAGUUAGCUCAGACAGGAUUGCGCAUUUUAGCUUUGAUUAUAUAUCCAUAUUCUCUACUUUGAGCUUCAGAUUUAGUUGAAGGCUGACAGGGUUAGCUUAAUGCUAUUCAUAGUUUUGAGCACUGUGUGACGUCUCGGGACCUAUAUUUGGUGCAUUACAACUACAAACAAUUCCUUAAGUUCCACUCAGUAUCUAUCAACCAUUAUGCACUACUAACAGAGUGCCCCUUAUAGAAUAUGCAUAUGAGGUCCGCACCACAAGGAGGACACCUUAAAUUCCUUAUUGACCCACCGACAACCUAUACAGUCCCAAGGGAAACCAUCCUACUUAUGCAUAAAAGAAUGGAAGCACCCUGUGGAGAAAUAGUUGGACGGAUGAAACCUUUAUCUAAGAGAUCCUUUAAUUUCUCCUUUGAAUCAAUCGGAGCCAUUAUAUAAAGAAAGGAUAGAAAUUAGACAAAUGUCCAAAACAAGAUCAAUCCCAAGCAUAAUCUCCCUAUUAGGAGAACACCAGGAAGUUUAUUAGGGAAGACCUCAGGAAAUUAAUUCACCAUCAGAACAAAAUGCAAAGAAGGACCUUUCGAGUUAGAGUCUGCAACCCGAACCAAAUGAUAGUGACACCCUAGGAGAUUAAUCUUCGAGACCUAUGAUAUGAUAUAAACUUCCUGCUAGGAGCUAGGGAACCACCCUUCCAUUCAAUAACCGGCUCACCAGGUAACUUAAAUAUUACCUUACGGGUUCGACAAUUUAAGGAUGCAUAGAACCAGUGCAACUAAUCCAUCCCAGAAUAACAUUAAAAUCCACCAUAUUUAAUUCAAACAAAUCCAUCAAAGUCUCCUUGAUACCAACAGAUACCACACACCACUAUAGAUUUUUUUAGCAAUCAAAAAGUCACAUACCAGGGUAGAAAUAGAAAAAGGGUCCAAAAUAACCUCAUGACCAAAACCAAAAUACAUAACCACAAAUGGGGUCACAUAGGAUAGAGUGGACCCUGGAUCAGGUAAACAAUACAUAUCAUGGGAAAAGAGUUUCAACAUACCAGUGUCAGCAUCAGUAGAUGCCUUAAACUCUUUAAGGAUAGUUAGGGCGUUGAGACGGUCGUGAUUAGUGUCGGAGCCAGAAGGGGAACCCCUUGGUGCAAUAGCUAUAGAAGUGGCAACUAGUAUCCUAUUUUCCCCAGUGGUAAUCCUUGUGGGACACUCUCGCUGUAUGUGACCUAAUGUCCAUAAUUAAAAUAUUGAUUCCUCUCUUUAUGGCAAUAACUGGGAUGUAACCGACCAUAAAAUUGGCAGAGAGGAUAGAGUGGUGCUGAUCGAGCUCCACCAGCCCUAUAAUGAAUUUUCCUGAAGUAUUUGAAUAAGAGACACUUAAAACUACAUAGGGAGUUCCCAAAAUUCCCUGCCCAGACUAUUGUCCACUAUCUCUACCAUUAUUUCUCUGACUUCUCCCCCACUCUGAAUAUCGAGACUUCCUACUCUUCCUAUUUCUCAAAUUUACCUUAUUGUUUCCUAUACCAAUAAAACUGGAUUGGCAUGAAAGAUAUGCCACUACUUGGGUCAAUAGAUGAAUAAAACAUUAAAACUCAGCAUUGGUAACUUCUCCUUAUGGUAACUGAGUAUGAGUGCCACCUUCUGGAGUAGGGUUAGUGGAGAUUAGUGAAACUCCGCGGGAAAAAUUAGAAAUUACGACCCUUGACCAUAUUUGUUCCCUAUGAAUUAGAUAAGAUCCAUCCAUUACAUCUUCAAGUGGGACAGGUGAGUUUCCAUGAACUUUAGAUCAUCGAGAGAGUAUAAUCUAAAAGGUGAACAAAAGAAGAUUUAGGGGAGAGUUUAAGAUCUUAGACUCUAUAGCCUAAAAAUAGAACAAUAAGAAAGUGAAACAUUUCUAAAUGUCUUAUAGCUUCCUGAUUAUAAGUGUGAUGCACAACACACUCAUAAGAAAGACUCUACUUGACUCGGCUUUGUGGACACCCCAUGACACCAAAACCUAGGCUCUGAUACCAACUUGACACGACCCAAAUCGGGCCUUGUCAUAAUGGGCAUCUCAAGUCUAACAAGGACCAGAGACCACCCUCGAUACCUAAUCCAACAAACCAACAUAUAUCCUUAGUCGGAUGAAUUUCGAACAUAUAACAAGAUAAAAAUUAUCAAAAUGUAAUAACUUUAGGAUAGGUCUAUAACCGAGACCGACCCAAGAAAGUCAAACCAACCUAUAGAAAGCCAAACCCAAUAAUAAACAAAACUAUAUCUAUUCCGUACCCAAAUCUACAGUUGUCCAUCAAAGCCUCUAAACCAAACCAGAGAGUAUUUAGUCAGGACAUGUCCCUGACUAUAGCUAAAACCCAAAGUUUGUAAUAUGGCAAAAAUAUGUAAAGAAAUCCAUGACAUGAAAUGGAGCCUUUCGAUAAUGGAAUCUUACCUCUUCAAUCAAACACCGGCCAUUUGAAAAUCUAAUUAAUGAGUAGAAGAAGUAGUAUGGUCGAUUCUUGCAUCGUGAGCAUUAUAUGUGCACUUUUCAUCAAAUUACUCACCAAGAAAACCCUAGAACUCAAAACUUAAUCCCCAAGAAAUUAAAAUUCCACCAUUCUUUUUCCAUGAUAACUCAAAAUUCAAGGUUCCUAAUUUUGGACCUUCAAGAAUUCUUCUUCAAUAGCUCAAAUAGGAAUUCUAGUUCAAGUUUCCUUAGUAAUUGCAUCAAUUAAGGUAUGCGGGGUUAUGAACAAGGAUAUUCUUUCAUCCUUGUGCCCAAAAUUAGUUUUUAAUUAAAAAUUUACAUGGCUUUGUAUGAUUACCCAUAAAUUUCAAAUUAGGGUUCAUACCCAAAUAUUGCUAUUUGAAGAUUAUGAGAUUUCAAGUGAUUUAGAUGUUGAAUUGCAUGUCUAUUAUCAUAUUUUUAUGCGUAUGAUAUAAAUUCCCAGAUUUAGAAUUGAAUUAUCAUUAUUUUUAUUACCAAGCAUAAACCCUAUGAUGAUUUGACAUGAAUUUGAUACAUGAGUUAUUAAGCCCUAGUUGAUAUUGAAUUUUCAAGAAUGUUAAUGCUUCAAGCACCCUAUAAUUAGUUUAUUUUAAGAUUUUUGAUAAAGAUUUUGUCUUUUGAUCUCAACUUAGACAUGGAAUCCACUUUACAGUUUCACUUACAAUUUUAAUUAACAGAUAUACAGUUGGUUUUCAUUAUAAACCAUUAUACUAGUUUUAAAGUGGACUUCCAACAAAAUAAGCAUACAGAUUAAAGGGAGUAGUAUUUAGCACCGAGUUGGGUAUGUUUUCAUGCCCUAGAACUAUGAGCCAGUGUAGGUUCAGAUUAUCAGAUUACUCCCAUUUCUAUAUGGAUGAAAGAUACAGAUAUGGUCACUUAGAUUAGGUUAUACUCCCUGGCAAGAGUAUGACACAUCUCCCCAAUAUGAGGUUUUCCCAUAAGGGACUAGACGUUGGACACUAUGAUAGCUCACAUAGUGUAUAUCGAUUACAAGAGCCUCCCUAAAGCUUAUAGACUAUAGAUUUCAGAACAUAAUAGUCCUAACAGAAAAGCUUUUAGAAACUAAGUGUAAAGGCUCACAACUUUAUUCAGAUAUUGUUUUACAAAAGAUAUUAGCUAUGAGAUUUCAGAUUUCAGUUUGCAGAUCUAAAAGUGAGUCCUUUCUACACUUAGACAGUAUGAUUUCAAGAUGGAACACGAGUACAACUUUUAGAACUAAGUGUUAUGACUCACUAGAUUUAUACAACCUGCUUUAGAUUUUCAGCUUUCAGUUAUUCAAGCUUAUGUGAGUCAUCUAUACUUAGCAUGCAUUCUUUUGCAAAUUUAUAAAGAUGUUGAGAUAUUGUUUUUACUUAUGCAUUCACCCCUAUAUACUCAAUACAAUCCAGAAGUACUGAUCAAUAUAUAUAUCUAUGUGCUAUAUUGUCUUAUAAUAUAGGUUCAGGUGCUCAGUUUCAGCAACGUGAGUUAUUUCGAGCAUCUCUAUCUGCAUCCCGAUAGUUUGUGAGACCUCAUAGUUCUGGGACCCAAUUAUUUAGUUUUUCAGAUUUUUAGUAUAGAUGAUUUAGUAUGUAUAGACAGUUCGAGUCAUCUAGGGUUUGUCCUAGCGACUCUUUAGUUAUUAGUAGUAAAGACUUGUCAAACCGCUUGAUAUGAUUCAAAUUAUCCAGUAUCGAUUGUUCAGACUCUUGAGUCUAGUAUUUUCAUAGAUUAUAUUUAGAUAAUUUUAGUUAGCUCAGACAGGAUUGCGCAUUUUAGCUUUGAUUAUAUAUCCAUAUUCUCUACUUUGAGCUUCAGAUUUAGUUGAAGGCUGACAGGGUUAGCUUAAUGCUAUUCAUAGUUUUGAGCACUGUGUGACGUCUCGGGACCUAUAUUUGGUGCAUUACAACUACAAACAAUUCCUUAAGUUCCACUCAGUAUCUAUCAACCAUUAUGCACUACUAACAGAGUGCCCCUUAUAGAAUAUGCAUAUGAGGUCCGCACCACAAGGAGGACACCUUAAAUUCCUUAUUGACCCACCGACAACCUAUACAGUCCCAAGGGAAACCAUCCUACUUAUGCAUAAAAGAAUGGAAGCACCCUGUGGAGAAAUAGUUGGACGGAUGAAACCUUUAUCUAAGAGAUCCUUUAAUUUCUCCUUUGAAUCAAUCGGAGCCAUUAUAUAAAGAAAGGAUAGAAAUUAGACAAAUGUCCAAAACAAGAUCAAUCCCAAGCAUAAUCUCCCUAUUAGGAGAACACCAGGAAGUUUAUUAGGGAAGACCUCAGGAAAUUAAUUCACCAUCAGAACAAAAUGCAAAGAAGGACCUUUCGAGUUAGAGUCUGCAACCCGAACCAAAUGAUAGUGACACCCUAGGAGAUUAAUCUUCGAGACCUAUGAUAUGAUAUAAACUUCCUGCUAGGAGCUAGGGAACCACCCUUCCAUUCAAUAACCGGCUCACCAGGUAACUUAAAUAUUACCUUACGGGUUCGACAAUUUAAGGAUGCAUAGAACCAGUGCAACUAAUCCAUCCCAGAAUAACAUUAAAAUCCACCAUAUUUAAUUCAAACAAAUCCAUCAAAGUCUCCUUGAUACCAACAGAUACCACACACCACUAUAGAUUUUUUUAGCAAUCAAAAAGUCACAUACCAGGGUAGAAAUAGAAAAAGGGUCCAAAAUAACCUCAUGACCAAAACCAAAAUACAUAACCACAAAUGGGGUCACAUAGGAUAGAGUGGACCCUGGAUCAGGUAAACAAUACAUAUCAUGGGAAAAGAGUUUCAACAUACCAGUGUCAGCAUCAGUAGAUGCCUUAAACUCUUUAAGGAUAGUUAGGGCGUUGAGACGGUCGUGAUUAGUGUCGGAGCCAGAAGGGGAACCCCUUGGUGCAAUAGCUAUAGAAGUGGCAACUAGUAUCCUAUUUUCCCCAGUGGUAAUCCUUGUGGGACACUCUCGCUGUAUGUGACCUAAUGUCCAUAAUUAAAAUAUUGAUUCCUCUCUUUAUGGCAAUAACUGGGAUGUAACCGACCAUAAAAUUGGCAGAGAGGAUAGAGUGGUGCUGAUCGAGCUCCACCAGCCCUAUAAUGAAUUUUCCUGAAGUAUUUGAAUAAGAGACACUUAAAACUACAUAGGGAGUUCCCAAAAUUCCCUGCCCAGACUAUUGUCCACUAUCUCUACCAUUAUUUCUCUGACUUCUCCCCCACUCUGAAUAUCGAGACUUCCUACUCUUCCUAUUUCUCAAAUUUACCUUAUUGUUUCCUAUACCAAUAAAACUGGAUUGGCAUGAAAGAUAUGCCACUACUUGGGUCAAUAGAUGAAUAAAACAUUAAAACUCAGCAUUGGUAACUUCUCCUUAUGGUAACUGAGUAUGAGUGCCACCUUCUGGAGUAGGGUUAGUGGAGAUUAGUGAAACUCCGCGGGAAAAAUUAGAAAUUACGACCCUUGACCAUAUUUGUUCCCUAUGAAUUAGAUAAGAUCCAUCCAUUACAUCUUCAAGUGGGACAGGUGAGUUUCCAUGAACUUUAGAUCAUCGAGAGAGUAUAAUCUAAAAGGUGAACAAAAGAAGAUUUAGGGGAGAGUUUAAGAUCUUAGACUCUAUAGCCUAAAAAUAGAACAAUAAGAAAGUGAAACAUUUCUAAAUGUCUUAUAGCUUCCUGAUUAUAAGUGUGAUGCACAACACACUCAUAAGAAAGACUCUACUUGACUCGGCUUUGUGGACACCCCAUGACACCAAAACCUAGGCUCUGAUACCAACUUGACACGACCCAAAUCGGGCCUUGUCAUAAUGGGCAUCUCAAGUCUAACAAGGACCAGAGACCACCCUCGAUACCUAAUCCAACAAACCAACAUAUAUCCUUAGUCGGAUGAAUUUCGAACAUAUAACAAGAUAAAAAUUAUCAAAAUGUAAUAACUUUAGGAUAGGUCUAUAACCGAGACCGACCCAAGAAAGUCAAACCAACCUAUAGAAAGCCAAACCCAAUAAUAAACAAAACUAUAUCUAUUCCGUACCCAAAUCUACAGUUGUCCAUCAAAGCCUCUAAACCAAACCAGAGAGUAUUUAGUCAGGACAUGUCCCUGACUAUAGCUAAAACCCAAAGUUUGUAAUAUGGCAAAAAUAUGUAAAGAAAUCCAUGACAUGAAAUGGAGCCUUUCGAUAAUGGAAUCUUACCUCUUCAAUCAAACACCGGCCAUUUGAAAAUCUAAUUAAUGAGUAGAAGAAGUAGUAUGGUCGAUUCUUGCAUCGUGUGGGGAUACAACGCUUGAAGAAGGGUUAGCAAAUAAAUGCUAGCAUGCACUCAGGAUAAGGAUAACAUAAUGCCAACCUUUAAAAUUAAGUAAACAACCAUAUUCAUAUGCAUACAUAUAUAUAUAUGUUCUAAAUCUAUGUCAGGAAAGGGAACUGGGUUUAGCAUGCCUUUAAAACCAUUAACCUGGGUAUGUAUAACUUAACUGUCCUAUAACCACCCAUGAGAUAUAUGGGUCCAGUGUUACCCUCUAGAUGAGCCACAGUAUGUGUAUCCAUAUGAACCAAAUAUACCAUAGGGGUAGGGGAUUCUCGUGUACCCUUCCCCCCAUGAUACAUAUAUACAAGUUUAACUUAAGGGAUUCCUAUGUACCCCAUAAAUGUGUGGUCUCUAUGACCCAUCCUAAUGUAAGAAAAUAUAAGUUUUUAGUGUCUGUCCAUUGGACUCACACCUUCACGAUUAGCUAUCACAAUCCGCCAUUAUUGCCUAAUUAAAAUAAUCAGAACACAACCAAAAUACAAAUUCCAUAUAUUGUUAACCAAGUCUAUAAGAAGUGGUAUCUUCAUACCGACUAUAGCUUGCAAGCAAUGUUCUUAGACAACCUUUUAAGAAGGGAUUCCCAUGUACCCGUAGAUCCCAUUAUUAUUUACUUAGGGGAUUCCCUUAUACCCCACAAGUAGUUAAUUAUUAAGUUUGCUUGGGGUAUUGCCAUUACCCUGCAAGGCUUUCAAUUAAACCAUAACCAUGACCACCAAUACUAUACCAUUUCACCAUUUAAAACUAUCUAAACCAAUUUAGGGUUCCAUUACUACUUUAUACCAUGCAAAGUUUUUAAUAAAAGUUCAACAAUGUAACUAAAGUAUUCUCAUAGGCAUUUUAUCAAACAUGUUAAGGGCAUAGAGUUUCCAAAACCAAAACAAAGUACUAAUGAACCUUUCCCAUGCAACCACAUGUUCAAACCACCAUUAAAAUAUGAAAACUAUAAGUAAAAACAUGGGAAAACCAUAACCAACCAUUUAUAACCAAAAACCCUAAUAUAUAAUUCAAAACCCAAGACCAUACUACAAUUAUGCCACGAAAACUAUCAUUAAAUUAUGCCUUUAGUUAAACUAACAAUGAUAGAGGAGUAACAUGCCUUAUUUACGAAGAUUCACGGAGAGAUUUUGAUCUUUAAGACACUAGAUGGAUACCUUAAGAAAACCCUAGCCCAAUCUUCAAGAGAGAGUUUAAAGGAGAUUUUAAGUGUUUUUAUAUUUCCAAGUGAGUUAUGAGAGGUCACAAAGUGUUAUAUAGUGUGGGGACUUAAGGGUUUUGGAGUGGUAAAUGUCUGCACUACUCUCAGCUUAAAAGCUAAAAACUUAACCGUAGGAGGGUAUGAUCACACCCCCUAAACUAUACCCUAGGGUACGAGUGGUACCCUUAUCUCAUACCCUAACACCAUCUUGGACCUCCAUACUUACCAAUAUACGACCACCUAAGGCUAACUCGUAUCCUAAUAUAUGAGAAGUACCCCUUAACUCAUACCCUAGACAAAAUAAACUAGGCUAUGUUUAGGGCAUUAUACGACUUAGCCAUGUACAACUCGUACCCUAACAUAUAAGAAGUUCUUACUUGUACCUUAGACUAAAUUUAACCCAACUAUGCUAAUUAUCAUAUGAUACGAGGGACCAUAAACUAUACCACAUCAUACUACUAGUACCCACAAGCCAUAUUUUGUCCAGUGAGCUUAAAAUUAAAAACUUUUCUAAGGGUCAAAACCCUGGGUAUUUCGUAAAUAUUUUUUUUGUAGUUUAUAGGUUUUGUAUGGACAACUGUGAAAUUGGGUAUGGAAUGAUUAUGAUACAAAAAUGGGUUAUUAUUUUGGUUUGGUUAUUUAUUGGAUGGAUUGACUUUAUUAGGUUGGUCUUGGAUAGAGACUUAUCAUAGAGUCGAUAUAUCUUAAAUUUUGCUAUCUUGUUAUAUGUUCAGAAUUUAUCCAACUUAGAGUAUAUGUUGUUUGGUUGGAUUGGGUAUUAAGGGUGGUCUCUGGGUUUUAUUGAACUUGAUAUUCCUAUUACGGUAAGGCCCCGAUUUGGAUCAUGUCAUAUUGGUGCUGCUUAAAAUUAUUUGUAUGCUUUUACUACCCAUCAGGAAUUAGAGGCUUCUCCUAAUAUUGUCAUUGGUACAUUACAACUUUUCUCUCAUGAUGGGUAUUAUCUGCUUGAUCCAUGGUCUACCCUUUCUUAUGUAACCCUUUAUAUGGCUAUUCAUUUUGGUUUUGGUCCUGAGUGUAUUUUUGAUUUUUUUUUGUGUCUACCUUGGUGGGUGACUCUAUUGUGGCUAGUAAAGUAUAUAUGGGUUUUUUGGUAUCUAUCUAUGGUAUGGAGACAUUGGUGGAUCUAAUAGAGUUGGAUAUAUUAGAUUUUGAUAUUAUUUUGGUGAUAGAUUGGCUCCAUUUAUGCUACGCAUAUCUUUAUUGUAGAACCCAAAGGGCCAGUGUCCAAUUCACAAAUGACUAAUGAUUGAGUGGGGAUGUAGAUCUUUAGCACCUACGGGGAGGUUUAUUUCAUAUCUAAGAGCCCAGAAGUUAAUUUCCAAGGGGUGCCUGUAUUAUCUAGUUUAGGUUAAGGAUUCUAAUUUUGAGGGCCCUUCUUUACAAUCUAUCCUUGUAGUUAAUAAGUUUCCAAAAAUUUUUCCUGAUGAUUUUCCCUAUAUUUCUCUCGAUAGGGAAAUAUACUUUGGGAUUGAUCUUCUUCUAUAUAUCUAUCCUAUCUCCAUCCCUCUUUAUAGAAUAGCUCUAGUUGAGUUGAAAGAGCUUAAGGAGCAAUUGAAAGAUCCUCUUGAUAAGGUUUUCAUUUGCCCCUGUGUUUCUUCAUGGGGUGCUCUUGUACUUUUUAUGCAUAAGAAGAAUAGGUCCCUUCAAAUGUGUAUAGACUAUCACCAGUUAAAUAAGGUGACUGUUAAGAAUAAGUAUCAUCUUCCAAGGAUUGGUGGCCUAUUUGAUUAGUUUUAGGGUGCUAGAUAUUUUUCUAAUAUUGAUCUUUGGUCGAGUUAUCAUCAUUUGAAGAUUAGGGAGGUGGAUAUUUCUACGAUUGCUUUGUGUACCUGGUAUGGACAUUAUGAGUUCUUGGUCAUAUCGUUCUAUUUGAAUAAUGUCCCGACGAUAUUUACGGAUCUUAUAAACUGGGUAUUCCAUUAUUUUUUGUACUUGUUUACCAUUGUGUUUAUUGAUGAUAUCUUGGUAUUUUCUAAGAGUGAGGAGAAUUAUGCCAGUCACCUUUGUAUAGUAUUGCAGACUCUUAAGGAUUAGCAUUUAUAUGCCAAGUUUUUAAAGUGUGAUUUUUUGUCGCAUGCAGUGAAAUUUCAUUGUUAUAUUGUUUCUAGUAAGGGGAUCAUGGUGGAUCCAUAGAAAGUUGAGGCAAUUAAGAAGUGGCCUAGAUCCAUAACUCCAACUAAUAUUCAGAGCUUCUUAGGUUUAGGUAGGUAUUAUAGGAUAUUUAUAGAGAGUUUUUUUUCGAUUGACGCUCUAUUAACUAAGUUAACUUAGAGAAAGUUGAAGUUUCUGUGGUUCGAUUCUUGUGAGGAUAGCUUUGAGAAGUUGAAGGAUAAGUUUACUUCAGCUCUAGUUUUAACCCUAUUCGAGGGUACCGAUGGUUUUUUUGUGUACUAUGAUGCAUCAUAUGUAAGACUGAGUUGUGUUUUGAUACAACAUGGUAAGGUUGUGGCAUAUGCUUCUAGGAAGAUUAAGGCACAUGAUAAGAAUUAUUCGACUCAUGAUUUUGAAUUACUGGCUAUAGUUUUCUCUUUAAAGAUUUGGCGCCAUUACUUAUAUGUAGUUCAUGUUGAUAUAUAUUCUGAUCACAAGAGCUUUUAAUACGUGUUCACCCAAAAAAAGUUGAAUCUCAGGCAAAGAAGAUGGCUUGAGUUGCUAAAAAAUUAUGAUAUGAGUCUUUACUAUCACCCAGGUAAAGCUAAUGUGGUUGCUAAUACUCUUAAUAGGUUAUCUAUGGGGAGCUUAUCUUAUGUAAAUGAGGAGAAACAAGGGUUAGUGAAGGAUAUUCACUAUUUGGCUAAUCUUAGAGUUCAACUUUUGCAUUUUGAUGAUGGAGGCGUGAUCUUUCAAGAGUUGGUAAAGUCUUUUCUUGGUAUUAAGGUAAAGAAGAAAUAGGUUUUAGAUCCUAUCUUGAUGCAGAUUAAGGAUGAUAUGGGUCUGCAGAAAGUCAUGGCUUUUGAGAUUGUGGAGAUGGUAUCUUGAGGUACCAAGGUAGGUUGUGUCUUCCUAAUAUUGGUGGUCUAUGAGAGAGGAUCUUGGUUGAGGCUCAUAAGUUGAUGUAUACUUUUCAUCCUAGUUCAACGAAGAUGUGCCAUAAUUUUAAUGAUAUCUAUUGGUGGAACAACAUGAAGAGAGAUGUGGCUAAUUUUGUUGCCAAGUGUAUAGUUUGUCAAUAGGUGAAAGUGGAGCACUUAAGGCCUAGUAGUUUAUAUCAAGAGAUUGUGUCGUCCGUGUGUAAGUGGGAAGUAAUUAACAUGGACUUUGUUACUGGUCUUCCAUGGUAUGAUAGUCAGUUUGAUUCAAUUUGGGUCAUUGUGGAUAGGAUGACCAAGUAUGCUUAUUUUUUGCCAGUAAAGACUACUUAUUCUAGAGAUAAUUAUGCUAAGUUGUUUAUUCAGGAGAUUGUAAAGUUUCAUGGUGUGCCUAUUUCUAUUAUAUCAGAUCGAGGCACUUAGUUCUUAUCUCACUUUUGGUGGUUAUUUUAGAGAGGUUUAGGAACUAAGGUGAACCUUAGCACCAGUUUCCACCCUCAGAUGGAUAGACAGGCAGAGAGGACUAUUCGAAUCUUGGAAGAUAUGCUAAUGGCCUGUAUAAUUGACUUUGGUAGUAGUUGGUUUGAUCAUUUACCUCUCAUAGAGUUUGUGUAUAAUAAUAACUAUCAUUUUAGUAUUCGAAUAGGCCCGUUUGAGGCUUCAUAUGGUAGGAGAUAUCAUUCUCCUAUUGGGUGGUUCAAAGUUUUUAAGACUAGAUUUUUUGGUCCUGACUUAGUUUAUCAGACCAUGGAGAAGGUGAAGGUGAUUAAGGAUAGGUUUAAAGCCGCCCAAAGUUUCCAAAAGUCCUAUUAGGAUGUGAGACAUAGGGAUUUGGAGUUUGAUAUUGGUGACUGGGUCUUCUUUAAGGUAUCUCCCAUGAAAGGGUAAUGAGGUUUGGAAAGAAGGGGAAACUUAGUCCCUAUUAUAUUGGAUCAUACUCGAUUUUAAGGAGAAUAGGCAAUGUGUCUUGUGAGUUAGAGUUGCCUUGAGUUUGGGUUCUAUCUAUCCGGUGUUCCAUGUUUCGAUAUUGAAGAAGUGUAUGGGUGAUCCUUUCUUGGUUGCCCCUUUGGAGAGUGUUGGCAUUUUGGAUUCCUUGUUUUAUAAGGAAGUCCCGAUUAAGAUUUUAGAUAGGCAAGUCCAUCAUUUGAGGAAUAAGGAUGUGGUUUCAGUGAAGUUUCUAUGGAGGAACCAAAAAGUUGAAGAAUCUACAAAGCUAAAGAGGACAUGAAGUCCAAAUAUCUAUUCUUAUUCCCCAUUCCAAAUAAUUGUGAUUAAGGUAUGUAUUUUCCUUAACAUCUUUGUUUUAUGUCUUUGUUAAAGAAAGUGUGGUUGCCUUUUUUGUUAAAUCAUGCUAAUGGAUGCCCUAUCUCAUUAUCACGACCCAAGGCUACCCCCAAGUCAUAACAUGGUGCUUAAACCACAAGUAAUACAAAAAUAACCUAUGUACUAGCAUACUGCUUGAGCAACUAAUUUAAAUUAUAUAUAAAAGCUAAAUUUGCUAAGCGGAAGAAUAAUCAUGAGAAAAUCUAAAAGAAUGUUGUAACACCCCAAAUUUUUGGCCCUUGAAAAUUCUUGAGCUUUAGGCUUAUUGCCUUGGUCAUGACUCGUGGUAACAAUUCGUGAGAUAUGGUUAUGGGUCAUCGGACCCUGGCCAUAACCAAAUCAAAAACUUAGUGGAAAAGUUCUUCUCUGAGUAUGAAUGUCUCACUAUGAGCCGUAAGGAUAUGUUAUGAGUCAUAGGUUCAAGUAAUAGGAUGUCCAGUGUUCAAUUUAUUUGGGUUCUGUGUUGCUCAUGACUAUACCUUAUGAUUUGUAAGACCUUAUUAUGAGUGGUUUGGUGGAGUCAUAAAGUAGCAGUGUAUGGGGGUCCUAGUCACUGUCAUGGUUACGAAUCGUGGUCAUGAGUCGUAAGGUGUGGGUACUAGUCAAGGGGUGGACUCGUAUCCAAAGGCCAUUUUUUCCAACUUUUAAGUUGAGGGCAUUUUAGACAUUUCUCUCUUUCCCAACUUAAAACCUAUGAACUAUAAUUUCUUUAGGACAUCAUUAGCUCUCAUAAACACAUCAAAUAACCUCUAAGAACACUCCCAAAUCCUCAAGGUCAAGAACACUUAGGGUUUUCAUCAAGCUAACCAAUUGGGGCUUUCAUGGGUGAUUUAUCUCCAUACUUCUUGGUGAUUAAGGCAUGUUACACUUCCCUCAUUAUUAUUUUAUUAAAAGCAUAUAUUUUAAGGUAUGGCUUUCAUGGUAUUGAUAUGGUUUUAAACCAAGGGUUGGGGGUUUUAAAUGCUUGUAGUGGAAUGAUGUUUUCCCAUGGUUUAAUUAUGAUUCUUCAUGCUUUAAAUAUGGUUAUGAACAUAUGGGUGAAUAGGUAUGGUGAAUGGACUUGGAAACUUUGAUUUUUUAAACUUGUGACUCUUAAAGUGGUUUUGACCCCAACCCUGUACAGUGAAACUGGUUUUUAGUUAUGAGAAAUGUGGGAAUUUUAAUUGUGGCAUUAUGAUGUUGAAUUGAACCUUAUGGAACUAUGUUUUCACAAUCCAUGGUUUUAAUGAACUAAAGGAGGUCGAGGUAUUCUUCCAAAUUAAUUUUAUGAACUAAAUGGGGGUGUGGUGUUCCCCUAGGUUAAAUAUGAUUAAUUUGGCAUGAAGUUAAACUUGCAAGUGACGAUGCUCAUGUGUGCCUUAAUGGUUGGUUCAUUCAUCAAUAAUUUGAAUUAUGUGCAACUUGUUUUAAAUUGGACUUAUUAGGGGCUAUGUAUCGAUGCCAUGAAGGUGUGGGUCUUGGACGACUUGUACUGGAAACUCGUGUUCGCCGACAUGAGGUUUGGUCUUGAUGACCUGUGUGCAUGAGUCACACUUGAUAUAUUUUGGUAUGGCUAAUUACUAGAUGUCUUAGCUUUCCCUCAGAUUUUCUUGGGUAUGUGCGGCUAACACGUACCGGGGACUUUUCAACAGGGGGAGAUGAAUCCAUUUAGCCUAUGGGUGCCUAUUAUGAUGGUUGAGCUACAUAGCCAGGAUAAAAAUUUUACUUUAUGAUUAAACUUGUCCCCUAUCCUAACAUGAUAUAUAUAUAUAUGUAAUUGCAUAUGGUUAUGUGUAUUGGUUUGACUUGGUUUUGAAUUGAUGGUAUUACCUUACCUUUAUCCCUGAGUAUAUGCUAGUGUUCACCCCACUAAUCGUCUCUGGAUGCUACAUCCCUAUAUGAUGUAGGCACUGGAGCAACUUUACUUUUCCUGUACAAAGUUAGUUAGAUCAGCUCAGUUUAUUAGUCUUUGGUAGUGAAGUGGUGAGCUUCCAUUCCUUUGGAAGACUUAGUCAUUUCAUAAGUUUCUUUCAAUAAUUUAGAAGUGAAGAGUUCACAUUAACAUUAUCAUUGUGAUUGUCAUUUUCAAAGUCAGGGGUAUGUCUUAAUAUUUUAUUGGUACUAAUUUGGAACAGGCUUUGACUAUGGACUUUGGAAGGCUUGGUAUGAUUUGGUUUGGUUUGAUUGUUUUUGGUUAUAGACUAUUAUAAUAUCUUUAAGAUUGAAUUUUCUUAUCUUGUUAUAUGUUUGGAAUUUAUUCGACAUGAGCUGUAUGGUUGUUGGUUGCUUGGAUAUUGGGGGUGGUCUUCGGUCCUUUUUGGACUUGAGAUACCCGUCACGACCAGGUGCUAGUUCGGGUUAUGACAAGAUGGUAUCAAAGCGCUAGGUUCAUGAUCAGUUGGGUGUCCAUAAAUUUGUAUCGAGUAUAGUCUCUUUUAUGGGUGUGUAGCGUGCCAUACUUAUAAGGGAGAGGUUACGAGGCAUUUAGGAAUAUUUCCCUUUUUUAUUAUCUAUUUUGGGUUGUAGAGUCUAAGGUCUUGUAUUUCUAUAAUUCUCGUUUGCUUACUUUUCAAAUCAUGCCUCCUAGAUGAUCUAAAGCUCAUGGAAACUCCUCUGUCCUUCUUGAGGAGAACACUAAUGGGACUUGCCCUACUUAUAAGGUUUAGACCUAGUCUAGGGGUCCAAUUCCUGAUUGUCCUCCUGGAGUCCCAUCGGUUCCCUCUAGUCCUCCUCGAGGUCUUCAGGAUGAUGUGUCAAAUGCUGAGUUUCGUCAGUCUAUCCAUAUAUUAGCUUUGUUGGUAGCUUCUCAUUCUGAGGGCGGUGCUUUAAGUUGGGCAAUUUAUGAGGUUUAUGAUGCCACAAGGGUUGGCUAGUUUAAAAGGUUGAGUCCUCCAACUUUUACUGGUGUUGAGGUUGAGGAUCCUCAAGGUUUUAUUGAUGAGAUGGAGAAAAUCUUUUGGGUUAUGCAUGCUUUAGAUAUUGAGGGAGUGGAGUUUGCUGCUUAUCAAUUAAAGGGUGUAGGUUACUAAUGGUAUGAGAAAUAGGGGCAGUCUAAGGGAGAUGAUGUUGACUCUGCACUGUGGGAUAUUUCUCUAGUGCCUUUCUGGACCGCUUCUUUCCUCAGGAGUUGAGGGAGAAAAAAAUAGAAGAAGUGGUUAAUCUGAAUCAAGGUAGGAUGACAGUCAAAGAGUGUGCCUUGAAGCUCUAUUAGCAGUACCAGUAUGCUCCUGAGUUGGUGUCUAGCAUGAGAGCUAGAAUGGAGAAAUUUAUUUCUGGGUUAUCCCAUGAGUUGAUUUUAGAGAGAAGGAUACCUUUUUAAAUAAAAAUAUGCACAUCUCUAGUGCUCCUUGUCUGAAGCUAUAGGGUGAUCAUCAUUUUUAGAGUGAUGAUGGUUCUAGGGAAUAAGGAGCCCAAUCUCACAUUAGUGGGGCUCAUUGAGCCCCAUUCCAUCCUCCUUGUAGAUUCUAUGGGCAGUUGCAUCAUGGCUUUUGUAUUGAAGGGAACAAGAAAUGUUUUAGAUGCGGUCCGCUUGGCCACUUUUAGAGAAACUUCCUUUCAGGUAAUGUUGCUAUAGGGGCAAAUAAGGUUCUUGUUGCCUCUUCAUUAGUUUCUAUACCAAAAGGCGUUGCUUCUAUUUCUAGUAUCGGUACUGGUCGGAAUUGCUUAUAUGUUCUUGCUUUUCGCUAGGACUCUGACGAAUCUCCCGAUGUCGUUACUGGUAUGUUGAAAGUCUUUUCCCCUGAUGUGUACUAUUUUCUUUAUCCAAGGUCCACUCUUUCUUAUGUGACCCUAUUUGUGGCUGUGUAUUUUGAUUUUUGUCCUGAGUGUAUUCCUGAACCCUUUUUUGUAUCUAACCUAGUGGGUGACUCUGUGGUUGCUAGAAGAGUCUAUAGGGGAUGUGUUGUAUCUGUUGGUGGUAGAGAAACCUUGAUAGACUUGAUAGAAUUAGACAUGGUUGAUUUUAAUGUCAUAUGAGGGAUGGAUUAGUUGUAUUCGUGCUACAUCUCCUUAGGUUGUCGAACCCGUAAGGUCAUGUUUAGAUUUCCUAAUGAGCCGGUCAUUGAAUGGGAAGGGGGUUCUUUGGUGCCUAAGGGGAGGUUCAUAUCAUAUCUUAGAGCCCAAAAGUUGAUUUCAAAAGGGUAUAUUUAUCAUUUGGUCCGGGUUAAAGAUGCUAGCCUGGAGGGUCCUUCUUUAGAAUCCGUUACUUUGAUUAAUGAAUUUCCUGAGAUUUUUCCUGAUGAUCUUCCUAGUGUCCCUUUUGAUAGGAAAAUUAAUUUUAGGAUUGAUCUUAUUUCGGAAACUCGCCAUAUCUCUACACCUCCUUAGCUCUGACUGGGUUGAGAAAGCUUAAGAAGUAGCUGAAAGACCUCAUAGAUAAGGGUUUUAUCCAUCCUAGUGUGUCUCCAUGGUGUACGCCUAUUUUUUUCAUGCGUAAGAAGGAUGGUUCUCUGCGGAUAUAUAUUUAUUACCCUCAGUUGAAUAAGGUGAUGACAAAUAAUAAGUACCCUCUCCCUCGAAUUAAUAAUUUGUUUGAUCAACUUCAGGGUGCUAGAUAUUUCUCUGUGAUUGAUCUUAGAUCAGGUUAUCAUCAGCUAAAAAUUAGGGAAGUGGAUAUCCCUAAGAAUUCCUUCAGAACCCGGUAUGGUCAUUAUGAGUUUUUUAUCAUGUCUUUUGGGUUAACCAAUGCCCCGGCAGCAUUCAUAGACCUGAUAAAUAGGGUCUUCUGCUAGUUCUUGGAUUUAUUCAUCAUUGUAUUCAUAGAUAAUACUCUAGUGUACUCUAAGAGUGAGGCAGAUCAUGAUGAUCACCUCCAUAUCGUGUUGCAGACCCUGAAAGAUCAGCAGUUGUAUGCCAAAUUAUCUAAAUAUGAAUUUUGGUUGAAAACUGUUACUUUUCUGGGCCAUGUCUUUUGUAGUGAAUUGAUCAUGGUGGAUCCGCAAGAGUGGAAGUAGUUAAAAAGUGGCCAGACCCAUGACUCCAAUGAUAUUUGGAGCUUCUUGGUUUUUUCGGUUACUAUAGAAGAUUUGUGGAGAGUUUCUUUAUUAUAGCUGCCCCGUUAACUAAGUUAACCCAGAAGAAAGUAACAUUUUUAUGGUAUGAGGCUUGUGAAGGGUGUUUUGAGAAGCUAAAAGAUAAGUUGACUUCUACUCUAGUUUUGACCUUGCCCGAGGGUAAUGAUGGAUUCUUGGUCUAUUGUGAUGCAUCCAAUGUAGGAAUUAGGUAUAUGUUGAUACAACAUGGCAGGGUGGUGGCCU
This 92268-nucleotide long non-coding RNA is filed under the name Capsicum annuum. RNAcentral describes it as "long non-coding RNA (CANN_LNC009915)". The record is from RNAcentral. Lineage: Eukaryota; Viridiplantae; Streptophyta; Magnoliopsida; Solanales; Solanaceae.